This 138116-nucleotide long non-coding RNA is filed under the name Vitis vinifera (wine grape). RNAcentral's name for it is "long non-coding RNA (VVIN_LNC001549)". Lineage: Eukaryota; Viridiplantae; Streptophyta; Magnoliopsida; Vitales; Vitaceae. The record is from RNAcentral.
CCUUAUGGGAACGUUGUCCACCAAGAAACUGAUGAAAAAACCAACACCCAGUUCAGUUUUAGUUUAUAGAAAAAUAAUGGAAGUAGCGUUGGAAUGUAGGGUUACGUACAUGAUGUGUUGGGCGCUCCAGGCGAUGGAGUAGGUGUGGAAGUUACGGGUGGGGUCGAACCAAAGGUAGAAUUGUUGCUCCCUGUUGCCCUUCCCUUGAGUGAAUACAUUGGUGUGGAGGAUAUAAGGAUCUCCACUUAGGUUUCCCAAGAACUCGAAGUCGAUCUCAUCAUGGGUUGGCCCUUGAGAAGACAACUGCAUCACAAAUAUAACCUCAAUUUCCAAUUUCAUCCUACGAUUUCACGUGCCCAAAAAUAUACAUAGCAGGUAUCAAGUUAUGUUCCUUAAAGAAGUUUGGAGAGAGAGUUGAUGAAACAGGACUUGUUGGUUGAUAAUAAAAACGACAACUGUUUUCUAUUUUUAAAACUAAAUACUGUUUUUGACACACUUUAAUAUUUCAAAACAAACAAAAUAAUACCUUCUAUAAUAAUUACUCUAUACCCUGAGGGGACAAAACUACUCCCGAGUUCCCAAAAGGAAAAAGAAAGAAAACGGUCACCCACCCACCAUUUUAAAGGAGGUCACGAGAACAAGUAUGUUGAGAAAUCUUAUCUUUUACGCAAACAUAUAUUCAAGCAACUUUCAUCUUUUGUGAACAUGAGAAAAGCACUAUCAUCCCUAACAAAAUAGAGUUUUGUAAUGAUAUCGAAGUAGAAGAGGAAUGAAGUUUGAGAAUGAUGACAUACGUAGUAGGCAGUGACAGUGCCAGCGGAGUUACCAGCAACAAGCUUGAGUUGCAUAUCAAUCCUCCCAAACAAAUACUCCUUCUUGGACUGAAACCCAGACCCAGAUGUCUUGUCCAGAGAGAGAGACAGAAGCUGUCCUCCAUUGAAGAUCUUAGCACGAUGAUCGCCCCAUGUUAUGUCAAAGUCUUGAUAGAAGUUACUAGCAGAGGCAGUAGCCAGAACCAUUGCAAAAACCAAGCCAAAAAAUGAAUACCCAUUUGAAGAAGACCCCAUUUUGAGAAGAGAAUAGUGGGUUUUGUAGAGUAUUGGAUGUGAGGUUUAGAGGAAGAGAGGGAUUGGUAUAUAUAGGGUUGAGAGAGAGAGCGUAUGAUGUGGGAGACGCGUGAGUGACCAACAACUGGAGACAGCUGAGCAAAGUAGCAGAAGCUGGAAGGCAUUGGUGUUAUCUGAGGGGAGUUGGGUGGUUUUAGGCAUCGGGUUGUUUGUGGGAGAGAGUUUUUAAAGAAUGAUUGGGAUUCUCUCUGUGUAGGGUCCUCAAGCCAUGAUUUCGACAGCUGGUCGAUAACAACUUCUUUUAUGCGUAGGUUCGGCUCACCGCCAUCCCCCCUCUUUCCUUCUCCUUUCUAUUUUUCAUAUAUAUUUAAUUUUCAUAUACAUCUUAUCAUUCUUCAGAAUAUUGAAAACUCUUACUUUUGUGGGCUCAAGAUUUUAAUUCCAAAGUCAUUAUACUUGGUAAUAGAUACUAAUAGGUUUUAAUAUAUCCAAAUAAAUAAAUAAUAUAAAUAAAAACUCAUUUAUUUUAAAUUAUAUUUAAUUUAUAAAAUAUUAGAUAGUUUUAGAAGCAAAUGAUAUAUAACAUUUAUUUAAAAUUUAAUUCACUAAGAUAGGAAAUAAAAAAUUUGUUUCAAAAUCAUAUUAAGAAAUAAUAUCCAAAUAUUUUUAUAGUUGUGAAUGAGUUUUUAUUUUUCAUUUUUUUAAUAUAUGAAGCAAGACAUAUUUUUCCCAUUUAGUUUUAGAAAGCAGUAAAAAAAAAAAAGUAUUGAGAAAAAUAGUUUUUCAUAUUUGGUUUUACCAUGAAAAAAAAAAUCAUAUAUAAUUAAAAUUUAUAUAUUUUAAAAUUAUUUAAUAUUUAUAUAAUAAAGAGAAAUAACUAAAAUAAAUUUUAAAAAUCAUAUAAAAAUAAUUUAUUAAGUUUAAACCUUUUUUUUUUUCACUUUUUUUUUUCUGCAUUUCAUUUCUAUUUUCUUUUCCUUAUAUUUUUCAUCAAUUUUUUUGGGAACUAAACAAAGGCUUAAUUUUUUUUCUUUCUCAAGCUACAAUACCAUCAUCUCAUUAAGCUAAGUAAAAUGUGUUAGAGAUAUAAACAUUACAAAUUGAACCAUUGUUUAAGCUAUGUUUGAUUCUCGAAAAUUUUAAGAGAAAAUGAAAGGAAAAGAAAAUAUAAAGAAAAAGUAGAAAGAAAAUAAAAAAUAAAUUAAAAGUUGAUAAAUUAUUUUUUAUUUAUUAUUUCAAACUCAUAUUACUUAUUUUAACUCAUCAAUAUAAAGAUUAAAUAAUUUAAAAAUAUAUAAGUUUUUAACUAAUUUUAAUUAUAUUUUAUUUUAUUUUUUUAUAUUUUUCAUAAACAACCAAACAUGAUAAAAUAAUUUUUCUUUACAUUUAUUUUCUUACCUUAGUAAUUUUCGAGAACCAAACAUAAGCUUAAUAUUUUAAGCUUUUAAAAUGGAUGUAUAAACUAAUGGCCAUAUUUGAUUAUCACAUGGUACUAAGGAAAAAAAAAAUAUGAAGAAAAAUGACUCUCUUGGGUUUGAUUUUACUAUAAAAAAAUAUGAAAGGAAGUCAAAUAUAAUUAAAAUUAUUAAGAAAUUUAUAUAUUUUAAAAUUAUUUAAUCUUUAUUUUAAAAACUUAAAUAAGUAAAAAAAAUUUAAAGUGGUACAUAAAAAUAAUUCAUUAAUUUUAAAUUUAUUUUUUAUUUUUUUCCUUUUUCUUUCAUUCUAAUUUUCUUCUUUUUCAAACUUUCCAAUAACUAAACAUGAAGAAAAUGUUUUACUAAACCACUAAACAAAAAAUAAUAAAUUUAAAAAUAAAGUGGUGUAAAGUAUUAAUAUGAUAAUAAUUAGUUAAUAAUAACUGAAAAAAAAAUUCUUUGAUAUUUUACCGUUUGAAUGUAAAAUUGAAAAAAUAAAAUAAAAUAAAUUCAAAAUGUAUGAUUAUGGCAUUGGAAACAUGUGAAGGCAGAAGAUAAAUUCCAUGUCGCUUUCAGAUGUAGUAAAUAGGAUCACGGGACACGACAUUGUUAUGUGGGUCGAAUGAAUGACUUGUCAAUUCCAAUGGCCGUGGGAUAUGUUUCUCAAUUGCUUUUCCCUUACUCCAAAAUGUAAGAAAAAGAAAAUAGGAAGGAAGAAUACGAAGGAAAAAAAUUGAAGAAAAAUAAAAAUUAAAUUUUAAAUUAAUAGAUUAUUUUAAUUUUUUUUAUUUGUUUAAUUCUUUUAUAUAAAUAAAUAAAUAAUUUAAAAAUAUAUAAAUUUUUUAAUAUUUUUAAUUAUAUUUGAUUUUUUAUAAUAAAAACAAAUAUGAAAAUAUAUAUAUAUAUUUUCUGGAACCAAUCGUACCCUCAUGUUUUUUAAUUCUCUAAUUCUUUGUUUCCUUUUUAUAUUCCAUAUUUCUCUUUUUUAUUAACUUGAUAUUUGAAUUAAAGUCUUAUUUCAUGAGGAUAAAAUUGUUAAAAAGGUUUCUAAUUACUCUUUAAGGUAUAUUAAGGGUGUGUUUGGCUGUGGGAAUGUGAAAAAAUAGUAAAAAAUUCAUUUGAACUUUCUAUUAUUCUAUAAUUUUUUUUAAAUAUAUAUAUAUAUUUAAACAUAUUUUCAAAAUUUUCACUUUAGUUAGAGUAUUUUCUUGUGUUUCACAAUUAAAAAUUGAGAUUUAUUUUUAUUUUUUCUUUUUUCUAUUAUUUGGAUUAAAAAGAAUUAUAAAUAUUUAUUAUAGUCAUUUAACUUAUAUAAUACAUUAAAAUUUUUAAACAGAUAGUCCAAAAAAUAAGUCAAAUUAAUUCCAAAAAAAAGUCACUAACGUAAGGUUCAAAAAUAAUUUGAUCUUUAAUUCUUAAGUAAAGAUCCAUUAAAUAAUAGUUAGAUAUAGAUGGAUGGAUAGAUUUAAGGUGGUAACAAUACGGGAUUGGCUUGCCUCCACAACUGUAACAGAACAAUGUUCUUCCCUUGGAUUAGCUAACUACUAUAGACGGUUUAUUAAGGGAUCGAUACUCUAAUAUGGCUAUCCCUCUCAUUGACUUGAAGAAGGGGAGGGAAUGGAGGUGGGCACUGGAGUCUCAGACUAUCUUCCAAAGGUUAUAACCUCAAAGCCAGGGUUGAGACUACCAGACCUUAUGCUUUUACUCCUCCCUUUUGUUUAUAAAGGCAUCAUUUCAUUGCAAAGCUUGGAGAUUGUGAGAUUUAGAUGAGUUAAUUUCACUCAAAAUUGAAUUUUAUAAUUUUAAAAUAAAUUAUAUUAAUGUUUUUGUUUUUUUUUUGUUUUUUUUUUUAAAAAAAAAACCAUUGCAAUUACAAAAGCAACCAUUGUGUAUUUCUUUUGUUUGGGAUCGAUUUUUUUUUUUUCCUCAAAAUUUGCCUCUUCUUAAUUAUCAAUUUAGUUUUGAUAUUUUUCUCAAAAGCAAAUUUGAAUUGAAUAUAUAAUUGAUGGGUGGCGGUGGAAAAGGGUUAUUUCCAACUAGCUGUCAUGUACAUUGAAAGAAAAAGCUAUGGGCCAAAACGAUGUUGACCAAAACAGGGUCUCUACAUUCAUUGGGUGGAGAUGAGUUUGGAUUCACAAAGCAUUAAAUUUAUAGUGUAAUUUCCACCAUCAAGGGUCCUUCCUUUUUUUUUUUCCUAAUAAAAUUGAAAAAAAAAAAAAAGGAAAAAAAGGCAACUAAUGAGAGAAUUUAGAAAAAAAAAAAAAACCAUUUAAAGUACAGCCAACAUUUUUGUUUACGCGUAGAAAUAAGAUUGGAAAUGUUGAUAUGGAGACAAGGAUGAGGUAGUUGCCAUGAAACAUUAAAAAACAAAGGCAUUGGUAGUAGGAAAAAGGCCAGGAAUAAUCAAUGGGUAUGCUAUUAUUGAAGAGUGUUUGUUAAGGAUUCCUUCUAAUUUGGAUUACUUCCAUUUCACAUAUAGAUGGGUCUUCCUUUCCAAAUUUUCCAUUUUUAAGUGCUUAUUUAUCACAUGCAACCAUUUUCUUUAUAGAUAAAAAUAAAAGUAUUAAGUGUUACAAACUUUUAUAUUAUGUAUAUGACAUUAAGAGGGUAUUCGUUUUUUUUAAUUUUUUGUUGAAAAUAAUUUACUUUUGAUUAUUUUUCUUUCUUUUUCUUUUUUUUCUUAAGAUUUAUUAUAAAUUUUUGAAUGAAUAAAAGACAAAAAUAUUUAGUUUUUUUAAAAUAAAAAAAUAAUAUGUUGAUUUUUUUUAACGCUUAAUAGAAAUAAAAUAUUAAAAAAAGAAUAAUGUAAUAUUUAACACUAUUAAACAAUGUUUAAUUUGAAGUUCUAUUUAGAAUUAAGUAAAAAAGAAACAAACAAACACCACAUAAUUAUUUAAAGUAGUUGAUAUAAUUGCUUAUUUGAUUUGAUUGAUGAUAAAAAUUUAUUUUCUAUUUCAUAAUAGAAAUAUUUUACUGUGACAUUUUAAAAAUAAAUAAAUUAUUUUAUAAAAUUAAUAACAAUUGUUUUUUUCUUUUUUUCAUAUGUUAGGCAAAAGAAAUGCCUUCAUACAAUUGAUUGAGAAGUGAUUCAGCCUUACUCAGUGCUAUAUAGGAUCUAUUUUUGUUAAAAUAAUGUAGAAGUCUAGGUUUUUUUUUUAUAGAUAUAUUUUAAAAUUAUAGACAUUUAAUUAAUUAUAAACCUAGAAAAGCAUUUUAGAGAGGAUGUAAAGAGAAAGUAACACUAAUUAAUGACAUGAUUAAUCCAUACCACCACUCAUUGUAUAGGUGCUCAUCUUUAUGGUAGGACCUACUAAGUUUUGAAAUCCCAUUAUUCCACCAUGUACAGAAGAAAUUAUUAAAAAAAAAAAAAGAUAAAGUAAUUUUUUUAAUAUUGAAUAUUUAUUUUUUUCUGUAUGAAAUAAUUUAGUAAAAAUUACAAUUCCAUAAAAAAUAAGCAUAAAAAUUUUAUAUUUGAAUAGCUCUUUAACAACUUUAUUUUAAUUUAUUUAUUUUUUUCAACCAUUCCAUAUAGUUGUAAGUAAUAAUAUCUCAAUUAUUUCUUGUAAUUGUAUUAUAAAAAAGGAUAAAUGGAAAAAUAGAAAUAUUCCCUUUCUCUUGGGUACAUGGAGCUAAGGUAGUAGGUUUCUUUUCUUUUUCUUUUCAUUUUUAUUUUGCUUUUAUUUGUUCUUUGAUGAGCCUUUCCAACAUGUUUCAUUAGUGGAAAAGGUCAGGCUGGGUGUUGUAUUCAUAUUCCAUUAAUUCUCUUAUUUGAUUCAAUAUUUUGAAUUUGCAAGUUUAAUCCAAGUAUCUAGAAAUCAUCUCCUAGAAGUUUGGAUUUUAUGGAUAUAUUAAGAAAUAUCGAUCAAAAAAUAAUUAAUAAAAUAAGAAAUAAUACAUAUGUUCAAGUUGCUAUCAAGUCUCAUAUUUUUUUCUUUCAUGAGCAAGAUGAAAAUAUAGGUUUUCAUCAAUAUAUUAUAGUUAGAUUUUAUGAAUAUAUAAAUAAUACCAACCAAAGAAAUUUUGAGAAAAAAAAUUGAUAAAACAAGAAAUAAUAUAAAUGUUCAAAUUGUUACUUUUAAAUAAUAUAUGUAUAAUAAAUUUGUAAUAUCGAGUAGUAAAUCAAUAAUAUGUAAAACUUUAAAACAUAUUUUAUACAUAAAUAUCUAUUUUAGAUGUAUUUGAUGAUAUAAUAAAAAUGAUGAUAUAGGUAUGAUUUUUAAAAUGUUUAUAAUUUUAUUUUAAAAUUUAUAUUUCUAUUAUAUAUAUAUAAUGUUGGUUAUACAAAAAAAAAAUAUCCACAAAAGUUGAGGAUCAACAUUCCAUAAAAACUAGGGCUUCAACCAAAAUUUUACUUACCCAAAAAAUUUGGAGUAACAUCCAUAAAAAUUGGAGCCUCUAAAUAAAAAUAAGAGGGAUCAUUGGGAUAGUUUUCACAUAGUGAGUGUGCUACUGUGUAUGAUUACACAUUGGAUAAGACUUACAAUGAAUCGUGACAUUAGUUAUAAGGUAGUCAUGAUUCAUCAAGAUACUAGCUAUGUUGCAUAGGGUCCCAACCUUGAGAGAAUUAAGCUAGUAUUGAAAUUUUUAGUGGCUUUGACUUAUGUGUAAGAUCUGAAAGUGGUUGUAUAUUAUUUAUGGAUUGAGUCACCACUAAUUAAGGCAUAUGACAAAAGAUAUUCUCAACAUAGACACCAUGAUAUCUUAUGGGAUUGAGAUAGUGUAUCCCAUUGGGUGAUUAUAAGGACUAGUAAUCAUGUAAAUUAUGGUCAUAUAAAUUCUUUAAGUGGAAUUUGACAUAUGCUCAUAAAGAGUUGAAGUAUGUAAGUUGAUUAAAAAAUAGAAGAAUUUGAAACUCGAGGAUUAGAGAGCUAAUCUUGAGAGGUUGAUAGUAUUUAUCUCGUCAAAUUAUGGAUACCAAUUUAUAGGAAGUUUUUUAUACAAUUGAUUAAUAGGUCAUGGAGUGAGCUUCAUAUCUUGAUUUCAUAUUGAAGAAUACUAGAGUGCGGUUGACUAUCUUGAGUAUGAGGUUGAGUAAAACUUCAAAAUUAAAUUAUGAGGGAAUCAAUAUUCUCCUAUAGUUUCUAGUGAUCUCCACUCAAGCUCACAUUCCUUGGUGGCACAUCAUUUGAGGAAUAAAUGAGUUUUUUUAUUCACAAGUGCACUAAAGGGAUUUUAGUAAAACCACAAGGUUGCAUAGGAGUUUAUCAAUGGUCUUUCUAAAUUAAGCUAAUUAAUUAAUUGGAACCUAAUAGAGCUAAUUAAUUAAUUAAGGCCCAGCGAACUAGAUUAAGUGACCUAAACUUAGGAUGAGCUUAACUUAUUUAAGCCCAUAGGUAGGUCUAUAUAAACCCCCUUAAGGAUUAGGACUUAUAUGAUAUAAGUUAUUCUAUUUUCCAAAAAGAAGAGAGAACUCUAGUCUUCAUUUCUAUGGAGAAGAUUACAUUUUUCUCACAUGCCAAGGUUCGGGAGAAAGUUAUGAAGUAGAAGAUCAUGAGGUAAAUUUUCAAGAUCCACAUCAUCUUAUUUUUCGUUUGGAGUUUGAUUUAGGAACAUUUAGAUCAAAGUUAUACUUUUAGGCCUUACAUAUAUAGUUUCUAUAUCUUUAUCACUUAUGUUGUGUAGAUCUAGCGUCCUUAGGUUGUUAGAGAGCAUGGACCUAUGAUCUAGGGGUUUCCCAACAGUUACCUUGAUAUAUGACUCCUGUGGACCUGCAUUUUUCACAUGCGUUCCCACUCAAUCGGCGAGACUUAUUUUUAUUGGUGAAAAAUUAGUUUUGAAAAAGUUGGAGUCGCCACUUAUUUUAUUUUAUUUUAAAAGGGAAAAUAAAACAAUAAAGAAAAUCCUAAAGAAGUGACUCCAUAGUUUUGGAAAAGCAAGUUUUGAAAAACCUGAGCCUUGGUUUGGGAAUCAAGUUACUUAUCAGGAAGGUACCUCUAAGAGGUAGCACCCCUCUAAGCCUUAAAGAGGUCUCUAGUGACUAAGUUGAGGGGAAUGUGACAAUUAAUUAAUUGAUUGAAAAUACCUAGGUAGACUAAGGUGAUUUUAGAAUUAACAUGCCAAGCCAGAAAGUCAAAUCUUGAUCAUAAAAGAGAGUCAAAGUGUGUAUCUGGACUGCUUCUUAAGUGCUAUCAUAAAACAUCAAAGUUAGUAUAAAAAUAUAGUAUACUAUGCAUUUUUAUCAAAGAUAACCAAACGAUCCAACCUAUAUCAAGGCAAUCAAAAGGGCAAAGUGUUAGAGAUGUCCAUGGUGUGCACUCUCCAUGGUGCGUGAUCAAUCCCAAAUUGGACUGUACAUCCAUUGAAUUGCAGCCCAUGGAGGUUAUGGACUGGCAGUAGAAUGAAGCCUUCAUCCAUGCGUGUUGCCUUGUCUCUUCUUACCUUUGGAAAAUGCAACCUACUCGCUUUGGAUCAAUGGCGUACAUGGUUCUCUUGAAGAUACCAUGGAGAUCUUUAUGGAAAUUGGGAUAUGGACCCCUCAAAAGUUGCAACCCUGGGGAUGCUUGUGCGUGGAUUGGUUGUCUUCAACCCAUAGUGCGUUCCAUGCUUAGUGAACUCUCCCAAAAAUUAAUCCCAUUCAGCAUGUAAGUUUGAGCAAGGUGAUGUUCGGAGUCCUGAUGGAUGCAGCCUCAUCCAAAAAUUUGGCCAUAAUCUACUUUUAAAAGUCAUCCCAAGCAUGAUUCCCCUUUAAAAGAAUGUCAACCAAUCAUUUUUUGUUUGAGAUGGUGUUAUGUGAGUGAUUUUUCCUAAAAAAUCCAUUACUGUGUGUGCUGUGUAGAAUGGAGAAUCAUGGUCUCCCAUGUCCUCCCUUAUGGCAACCUCCUUUUUACUCUCUCAUAGCCUGGAAUCUCCCCCUACCCCAAAUAGAACUAUCCAACAUUCUUCAUUCAACAUACAACCUUGCCAUUCUGUUUGUAUCCAAAGAUGAGAUUUAUCCAAUGAUGUAGAUUUUCUGAAACAAAAUCGGAUUCUAGUGUUUUUCUAUGCUUCUUGAUAAACUUUCUAGCACUGCGUUUGGCCUAAGGAGGUAACACAACAUCACCGACCUUUUCUCCUGAUCAUUUUUAUCCCAGGUCAAAAUUGAAACGAUUUCCCAAGAACUCUAGCAUGUAGAAGAAUUAUGGAAUUAGUUCAUUCACAUUUGAUGUGUUGCCCUUUCUAGCUGCACUUAACCAAGUAUCUCUUACACUAUUGAAAAGACGAUCAACAUGGUCAAACUGACCACCUUGUAACUUUUGGUUGUUUGCACUAAAUGGUGGCAGGCAUAGUAGAUCGAAUAAGACAAUUCUUGCACUAGAAUAAUGAGAACCAUCAUAAAAAUUGGGGACCUCCCAUUUUUCCUUCUUUCUCCAAUCUUCCCAUCCCCCGAGUAGAUCCACUCUUCAGAAUGAAUCUCUUCCCAACGUCUUCUCCAACAGCUCCUCAUUGGAAAAUCCUUUCCAAGACUAGAAUUUGCCCACAUACCUCUCUGCUCCAUUUUCUUUCCCACCUAGCUCUUCCUAUGUCUUUAGAGUUGUGAACAGAAGAGACAACCCUAACCCCCUCUACAUUUUCACUGAUUAGACAGUCUCGACUCCGAUCGCUUGGCUUCCCGUUGUCGUUCCUCUCCAAAAUCCCUUCAAAACCAAUGUACCACCAGUUCUGUUCCUUCCAAAAACAUUCUAAAUCUCCCUUCAUAACCUACGCAUCUCGUCAAAGAAUUUUUCCAAGAUACAUUUGUCUGGGAUCACCUUCCAUACCACCAUUUUUUCCUAUCAUUUCCUUAUUCCAAAAAAAAAUCUCUGCCACUUUCAUUUCUCGAAAAUUCUAGUGAUUCUCUUUCCAAAUAAAUGGCAACCCGUUUUCUCAUGCAAAAAAGCCAAGAAAUAUUAGUUAGAAAACUUAUAAAAUAAUAUAAUAUAAUAUAAUAAAAAUAAUAUAGAAAGCCAUACAAUCCACACAAGUCAUGCAGGUCAUGCAAUCAUGCAAGUCAUAUAAAAAGUGAGCCUAAAAGUGCCCAAGUGACCUAGGGUGAAUGUGUGCAAGAUGGAAGGUGUCUAGGAUGUUUAGGACAAUGCAUAAGUCUAAAUUAGGGCUGCCAAGAGUCACAACGGGGUUAGAUAAAUCAUUCAAUCAGAGUCUCCAAGGUGGUUAAAAAAGGGUAAGUAGUAUGAGUAAUAAUGAGCCACCAGGGAAUUGUUGUAAAGCACCAAACGAACACAUAAUGCGACAUAUGCUAGAAGGACAAAAUGGAGGGUUUGCACUCCUUACCAUUUCAUCAUUCUAUUAUUGUAGCCAAUGUUGCCUUUAAUCCUAACCUUGCUCAUGUUCAUGGAUGAGACAAAAUCAAUUGAUUUUACAUGCCAUAUUAGCCUCCCUGUGAUAUGUUAUAAUUACUUUGAUGUAAUUUGUUGGAAAUACCUAGAUAUCUCCAUUCCUAUCCCUAGAUCAUUAGGGUGCAAGCAAACUAUCCUAAGGGUUCUCUAAAUAUAAAGUAGAAGCAUAGUACACAUUCAAACUUAGAUAUAGAGAAAAAGAAUGUUUUAUCUAUGACUUGGAUGUUCUUAGGUCAAAUCUAAUUAGUGAAGAGUCAAUGUGGAUCUCGUAGACUAGUAGAUUUUCCACUCGAUAAGACUUUUCUAGAUUUUGGCACAUGAAGAGGUGGAAUCCUCUCUUGAGGAUGGAGACUAGGGUUACUCUUUGUGGAAAAGUGAAUGGAAUACUACAAGUCUUAAACCUCUAAGGGGGUUUAUAUAGGCUUACAUGUGGGUUUAAGUGACUUAAGUCCAUUUUAGGCUUGAAUCACUCUUGAAUCCUAAUCAAUUAACCCUAUUGGACUACAACUAGCCAACUAGCUCAAUCCACAAAGAUAAUUCAUAAGCUUUUGUCCAGCCUUGCAUGUUUGACCAAAUGCCCUCAUGCACACCAAUGAAUAUAGAAUCCACAAAUCCCUUAAAAACCAUGCUAGCAUGGAAUAUGAGCUCAAGUGGGAAUUAUUGAGACCCAUAGGAAAAUAUUGGUUCCCUUAAAAUUCAAUUAUGAAGGUGAAUUAACAUCCCAUUAUAAAGAGUCAACUGCUCUUUUAUAUUUUACGAUAUUAUAACGGAAUACUAAUUUUAGGUUUGUGACAUACUAUCCAUUAUAUAUAGACUCCCCAUGAACUAGUAUCUAUAAUCUAAGGAGGUGAAUGUUAUCAACCUUCCAAUACACCUCUACAAUUCUUCAGUCUUAGAUUCUCUUAUUAUGUGAUCAACUAACAUACUGUAACUUUCUAAGAGCCUAUGUCAAAUUCCAAUUAAGGAAUUAUUAUGGCCAUGGAUUUCCUAUUCAUAUAUCCUUAGGAUCACCUAAAAAGACAAAUGAUUUCAAACCUAUGAAAUAUCAUGAUGUUUGUCUUGAAUAUACUUGUGCCACCAACUUUUAUCAACAAUGACCUAAUUUAUAGAGAAUACAUGGGAACCUUAAGGUUUCACCCUUAGUUAAAAGUCAUUGAAAACUUUAGUACAAGCUUAGUACCCUCUCCAGGUUGAGAGCUCAUAUAAUAUAGUAGCUUGGUGAGGUCAAGACCAAUUGAUAGCCAAUAUCAUGACUCACCCUAGGUCCUGUCCAAUGUGUAAUCAUAAACACUAGUGUACUCACCAUGGGCAAACCAUUUUGAUAACUAAGAAAAGUCAUUCCUCCUAUUAGGAAUUAGUACAUUGCAACCUUAAAUGAAUUGCCUAAGUUUAUGAACCAGUUGUGAAUAACUCAUCUAUUUCCAAGGAACCUAUGACUUGGAUCAUUUGUGCAACUCCUAAUGCAGCUAGGUUAUAUGCACUGCAAGAUAUGUCAAACCUGAAUGCUUUGAUAAUGUAAUGCAUGAAGAGGAUAAAUAAAAAAGGACAUUAGAAUCAUAUUAUAGAUAAUAAAAUCCUUUAUUGUUACAUCAUGUCAUGCUUUUUAGGGUUUUAUUCUAAUAAUCUCCCAUUAGCCCUUAAAACAUACUAGGAAUACAUUUGACACCUAUGCUACGCUAUGAUCACUAAAAUGAUCAAAGGCUUUUGACUUUCUCUUGGAAAUGUGAAAAAUGAUUAUACUAAGAGAAGUCAUCAACCUAACUACGACAUACCUCUUACCUUCCAUGUUCAUUGUCUUUAUAGGAGCCAUAAAGUACAUGUGAAUCAAAAUUGGUGGCUUAUUAGUAUUGACUUCAUUAAUUCUUUUGUAAGGCCUUCUAACUUGUUUUGCAUUGAGACAUUCUUCAAAAAAUGGGAUUAUUAGGUUCACUUAGCUUAGGGACAUCUCUAGUAAGAUUUCUAUUUUCCAUGGUGAUUAAAGUCUAAUAGUUAAUGUGUCUUAACCUUUUGUACACUAACUUAAUUGAAUCUAACUGAGCAUUGUUUCAAUCUACCGAAGGACUAGAACUAAAUGGUACACUAAAUAUGUUGGAAUAGAGCCCUCAAAAGCAUGACAUGAUGUAACAGUUUUAGAUAAUUAAUUAAUUUAUUUAUCUACUUUCCUUUAUUAUCUUAUUUACAUUAAUUGGUUAUUUAAACAUACACGCUCAUAUCGUUUACAUUGUACGUGACUCAGAUGCAUUAGGAGUUGCAUAAACGAUAUAAGUCAUGGGUUCCUUACAAGAUAGUAAGUUAUUCACAAUCGAUUCAUGGAUUUAGGUAACUCAAUAGAGGCUAUAGUACACUAUCUCCUAAUUAGAGAGAUGACUUGUCUUAUCCAUUGGGAUGAGUUUCAAAUGGUGAAUGCACUAGUGCAUACGAUUACAUAAUGGAUAGGACCUAUGAUGAAUCAUGAUGUAAGGCUAUUGGUUGUCAUGAUUCACUGAGCUACUAUAUUACAUAGACUUUCAACUUUGAGAGGAUAUUGAGCUUGUGUCAAAAUCAAUAGAAGACUUUGACCUAUGAGUGAAACCCUAAUAUGGUCAUAUAUCCCUAUGGAUUGAGUCACUAUUGAUGGAGACUAGUGGCAAUAGAUAUUCUCAAUAGAGGUACUAUGACAUCUCUUGGGAUUGAGAUAGUAUGUCUUAUUUGAUGAUCUGAAGGACAUGUGAUCAAGAAGACCAUGAUCAUAUCAAUUCCUUUAGUGGAAUUUGACAUAUGCUCUUUAGAGUUUGAAUAUGUCAAUUGAUCGCAUAAUAAGUGGAUCUAUAACUCAAGGAUUGUAGAGCUAAUCUUGAUAGGUUGAUAGUACUACCUUGUUAGAUUAUGUGCAUUAGUUCAUAAAAAGUUUGCAUGCAGUGGAUAGUAGGUCACAGACCUGAGCUUCACCUUAUUGUAAUUUCAUAGGAUACUAGAGUGUAGUUGAAUUUUUUUAGUGGAAUGUUAAAUUGACUUUAAAAUUGUAUUCUAAGGGAGCGAGUAUUUUCUCAUAGGUCACAAUGGUCCUCGCUCAAGUUUCUCAUUCAUGGAGGCACAUUUUUAUUUAAGGGAUUUGGGUAAAAAUACAAGAUUGCACUAGAUAUUAUGAAUUAACUUUUUGGAUUGAUUAAUUAAUUAAUUAAUUGGAGCCCAAUAGAACUGAUUAAUUAAUUAGGACUCAUGCAUGUGGGUUGGAUUAGAUGAACCAAGCUUAAUUUGGGCUUAAAUCACUUAAACCUAUAGAAAGCCCUAUAUAAACCCCCUUAGAGGUUUAGGGUUAAAUAUUUUUGCCAUUUUGUCUUCUAGUAAGCCACUAGAUAGAAACCCUAGCCAUACUAUAAAGAAAAUCCUAUACUUUUCUCAUGCCUAAAUUUGUGUGAGAAGAGAUUUAGUGGAAGACCAAUAAGUAGAUGAGCUCUACAAUGCUUUCUAUGGUUUUAGAAUCUUCAUCAAUAUCUUCUACAAAUUAGAAUCAAUAUGAGAAAAUCCAUAUUGCAAGUAUGGUUUCUAUAUUCUUAAGAUCUAGGUCCUUUUAUGGUUUUUGAAUGCCAUGUUUCCACUAUGUUAGAUCUAGAGAGCCAAGGGUUAGAUUGCAUGCACCCUAUACAAUCCACAACUAAGGAAUGGAGUAAUUUGGGUGUCCCAGCAUUAUACUCAAUCUAGUAAGAAAACACUUCCCUCACUCAUCCUAGAUUUCGCAUUUGUCCUAGGAGAACAUUGCACUAAACAGUUAUCAUAAAUUUGGAUAAUAUUAAUCAAAUUAGCUUUUAGUCCAACAACAUACAUCAUUUCGUAGAGCCUAAGGCAUCCAAGUAACCAAAUAGACUUUUUUCCUUUUUACAUAGGUCAUCUCCAAAAUGCCUCCUUAGGAAUCAUUACAUCAUUUUUAUUAAGUACAUUGCAAUCUUUAAACUUUAUAAAUUUUAUCUUAUCAAACAAACUAAAUUUUUUAGAUUCCAUAGUGUGGACUCGCAUUUUUCACAUGCGUCCCCACUCGAUCGACGAGACUUGCUUUUUAUUUGUGAAAAAUUAAUUUUAGAAAAGUCAGAGUCGCCACUUACUUUAUUUUAUUUUAAAGGGAAAAUAAAACAAGAAAUAAAAACCUAAAAAAAAUGACUCCGUAGUUUUGGAAAAAAACAUGUUUUUUAAAAACCCAAGUUUAGGUCCGAUGAUCAAGUUACCUAUUGGGAAGCUACCUCUAAAAGGUAGCACUCCUCAAAGCCCUAUAAAGGUCUCUACUGACUAAGUUGAAGGAAACGUGGCAAUUAAUUGGUUAAUUAUAGAUACCUAAGUAGGCUAGGUGAUUUAAAAAAAUAGCAUGCCAAACGAGAUCAAAUCAAUCACAAUCAUAUAGAAGAUUUAGGGUGCAUACCUGAACCACUUCUUAAGCUCAAUCACAAAACAUCAAAGGUUAGUUUAGAUAGUAUAUCACCCAACAUGCACUUCAUCGUAAAUAAUCAAAUAAUAUAACAAUAUAUCAAGACAUCCAAGCACUAUCAAACAUAGACAUAAUUUACAAUGACAAUCAUAUUUAUAGAAUUCAAAAAGUGGGUGUUAGGGGGCAUACCCGGAUAGCAUAGACAACUCAUAAUAUGCUUCCUCAUGACAUGGGGGGUUAGAUAAUAAAUAAUAAAUAAUAAAAUAAGAAAUCCUAACAUGCUUAGUAUCUAAUUAGCAUAGCAAAAAUGAUCAGAAUAUACGAAAUAAUCAAUUAUCACACACAUCUUGUAUACAAUUCCUAAAAAAAAAAAAAGAUAGAUAUGAUUACAACAAAUGGCAAGGGUGGUAGCAAAAAAAGUUUUGAAAAGAUUUUUUUAUGUAGGGUUUCACCAAUUCCCCAAUUGAUAUACACAAAUUUAGCCCAAAAUUAGCCCAUUUAUUUGGGACCACAAGCUUUGAUUCGUGUUUUGUUCAAAACCAAAAUUUUCAUUAAAAACUAAGAAGGAUGCAAACCGAUCAAGACAUGGUUGCAUGCUAUUUAAGAAGACGAGAUUUUGAUUCUAAGAACUCUAGAUGAAUUUUUUUAAAAUAGAUUUCCAAAGAGAUCUUUUGAGAAAAAAGUGUUUUGUUUUUAAAAUAAAAGAAAUUAAUUUUUAAAAUAACAAAACAUAGAAAACAAAAUACCAACCAAAACAAAAGGAAAUGAAGAUCACAAAAUAAAGAUUUAGACAAUCAUGCCAAUCAAAGUGGUGAGAGUAGGGCCAACCUUCAUGGGUUUCCAGUGGCCUUACAAAAAAAAGGAUUUGGCCAACAAUCACUAAGGCAACAAACUAAUGACUUCCUAAUCAAACAAAUUAACAAAAAUAUUGUCCAAGACUAACAUCUGGAUUUCAAGAAACACAUGAUAAAAAAGAACAAUCAAGGAUUAAAGUCAACAAAUUAAGCAUAUGGAGAUAAUAAUAUGGGAUCAAUUAAGGUAAAUUAGUAUUCUAACAAAAUAUGAUAAAUCAAAAACCAAAAUUUAGCAAUCUUGAAAAUAUGAAAACAAUAACAUGCAAUUAACUAGAUUGACUAUCCAAAAUUCCUAAAACUCAUACUAAAUAUUAAUAGAUCAAAGCCAAAAUUACCAUACUUAAAACAUGAAAAUAAUAACACGUGGAAUUAACUAAAUUAAAUGACUGAAACUCUAAAAACACUAAAAAUGAAUAUUGAUGGAUCAAAUUGAAAUGGCCAUACAUAAGACAUGAAAAUAAUGAGGAAUCACUAAAUUAAUUAAUUAAAAUUAUGAUCAACUACAAAAUUGGAUGUAAAUGGAUUAAAAUCAAGAUUAAUGAAAAUCAUAAAUGCACAAACUCAUUCAAACUAAAAAUAAUAAUUAAUACUAGAUUAAAUUAGAAUUAAAAACAUCAACAUCAUCUAAAAGAUUGGCUAAACUAUCCAAUUGAAAUUGCAAAGACAUUUAAACUAGAACAAAUAAAUAAAUCAACAAGUUAAAACUAAACUAAAAUCGGAAUUAAAAAUAUGGAAUUCAUCUAAGGGGGUUAAUUAAAUAAUUGAAUUAAAAUCAUAAAUGCAUUCAAAUUAUAAAAUAUUAAAAUUAAACUAAAUUGAAAUUAAACUCUAUCCUAUGAGAUUAUUUAAACUGAUGAAUUAAAAUCAACAAAUGCAUUUAAGCUAAAAACAAGUUAAAAUCAAACUAACUGAAAAAAAAAAAAAAAACAUACUUUAUUUGACAUGAUUAUUUGAACUAAAGAAUUAGGAUCACUAGAUGCAUUUAAACUAAAAACAAAUUAAGAUCAAAUUAAUAGGAAUUAAAGACGCAAACUUUAUUCAAUAAAAUUAUUUAAACUAAGGAAUUAAGAUCAAUGAAUGCAUUUAAACUAAAAACGAAUUAAGAUCAAACUAAUCGGAAUUAAAAGCACAAACUUUAUUUGAUAAAAUUAUUUAAACUAAAGAAUUAAGAUCAACUAACACAUUCAAACUAAAAAUAAACAUAGAACUAAACUAAUCCGGAAUUAAAAACAUAAACUUUAUCUCACAAAAUUAUUUAAACUAAUAAAUUAACACCAUAAGUGCAUUUAAACUAAAAUCAAACUAAUCGGAAUUAAAAAUAAAUAAAUAAACUUUAUCUCACAAAAUUAUUUAAACUAAUAAAUUAACAUCAUAAGCGCAUUUAAACUAAAAUCAAACUAAUCAGAAUUAAAAAAAAAAAAAACUUUAUCUCACAAAGUUAUUUAAACUAAUAAAUUAACAUCAUAAGCGCAUUUAAACUAAAAUCAAACUAAUUGAAAUUUAAAAAAUAAACUAUAUCUCACAAAAUUAUUUAAACUAAUAAAUUAAAAUCACUAACAAACUUAAACUAAAAGGUGGAUUAGAACUAAACUAAUUGAGGAUUUAAGAAGAAAAUAAUAUAAACUUUAACACAAGGAAUUAAUCAAAAACUGAAAUUUCAAAAAAAUCUAAGCUAAAUAAAAAUACUAUAUAGAAAGCUAACCUGUGAAGUGAAAGAGAAAAUCCUCUCGUGAUGCGUCAAAAUAACAGCCCAUCCCCGCCCGAAAUCCUUUGUUCUCCUCCAAAAUCCCACGUACUUCUCUCUAGAAAAAUUGUUCUCAGUGUGUCGAUCUCCCUAAAAAAAUCUGUGCGCGUCCUCUCUAGAAGAAUUCUGCUUUAUGUCUUGAUCUCUCCACAAAAAAAAAAGUCCCUUGCGUGUUCUCUCUGACCCUUAUUUAUAUGGAAGUACCUUCCUUCUAUCGGAUAUUCUAUUUCCUUUUUUAAUGCACAUGGAUAUGGAAAGCGCAUACAUGGUGGCUCACUGGGAGAUUCCCUCAAGGAUGCAGCCGUGUCUUAUUUGGUAAGUGAUCAAAUCCUUACCAUGUUGACUUUUCUUUCUAGAAAAACAAAAAAGAAUCUCCUCACAGCCCACCAUAUGCGUGUUGUGCACAAAGUGGCCACUUCUUACCUAUUUUCAUGCUAUUUUCCUUUCUACUCAUCCAUCUGCACCGCAACGCUGCAUCCCAUUCCAUCUCACUCUGUAGUUGCAUGGCAAUCUUUGCAUACCAAAUUAUAUUUGAUUCUGAGGCAAACGCGCUGAGCAUUGCUUCCAGAACCGAUUGCUCCACCGCAGUCCAAUCCGUUGCGAUACCCAGAUUGUGUUUCUUCGCCAUCCUGUUGCAUGGGUGUCCCUAAUGCGAUACCGAAGAUGAAGCUUUUGGAGCAGGCGACCAUCUCCGUUUUGGUCAUUGAUGAAGUCCGGAGUCUUCUUUUUCUGAUACAAUCGAGGCAUGAAGUCCCCAUUCUUUCGUAGUUGAUGCACGUGGUGCUGAUGCUGCUGCGGAAUUGAGGAGUUGUCAUCCACCAGAUUGGGCCGUAGGCACAGCUUUGAGCUGCUUGGAUGGAGCUGCGUGCGUGUGAUUUUUUUGGCCCGUUCCUCUUCAUCCUGGGUGCGUGUUCCAGAUUUUCUGUAGGCGACCCCCCAUUGACCAUUCCUAAUGGCUUAUUUAUUGAACAAUUACCAUUUGCCACAGAAUUGUCUAUUAUUGUAUGAGGUAUAGUGCUUGUUGCUUAAAGGCUCCUGUGGACAAGUUAUUUUACUGUCAUCUGCAUAUUUCUUGAUCAAGUUACUCCCUGAAUAUGCAUUCUCUGGCAUGACUGAUGAUUGCACCCGGUUAGGAAACAAUCGAAUGGGAGAUAUGAGACUUUUUGAUGCAUGUUUGCUUUUUGCCUUUUCAUGAUGGGAAAGAGAAGUAUCAGAAUCAUUUUCAUUGUUUGAAGAAGCAUCCCGGAAACUCCCUUUCAAAAAGGAAGAAAUCGUAUCAUCUUCAUCCCCUUCAUUUAAUGAAGUUCCUAAUUCUGGGUCACCAAGGAGGCUCCUUGCUCUUAGCAAUGCAUCACUAGAAACUGAUAUCGACCUUCCACCUGCAGUAUGAAACUUGAUUGGUGGUGGAUUUUGUGCAGGACUAUACAUUUCAGACUGCUUAAGGUUGGGAGCAGCCUCAUUUGUUGAUUCUGUUCUCCAAGAAGUGCUAGUACUAAAAGGUCUUGGAACUGGUUUGGCAUUCUCACUUUUUAUACUGUUCAAAUCUUCUUGCAUCUCUAAAUGAGAUGAAUUUUGUCCACCAUCUAAGCCAUUCAUCACACUUUGCUUUGUGAUGUGUUCUUGACAAGAAUGGUGAUUAUUAUUUUCUUCUAACCCCAACAAACCUUCUACUGUAGCAUCUCUUAUAUAUAGAUCUAGCUUCAUUUAUCUGGCCUGCUUCAAGUUCCAUCACAUUAUAGCCUUCCCAGGCUCCGAACAUUGAACUACUGUUCCUAAGUAAGCUCUCCCAAACUCCACGAGCUGCAACUAGAUCUUUAUUCAGAUUUAGCUCUAAAGGAGCCCAAUAAGCAUGCAAUCGCACCAAAUCAUCUGUGCAAUGCAUACUGAAAAGCGUCCUCUAUCAAUGCAUAAUCUAAAACCUCUUCUUGCCGAGGUAUUGAAAUUCUUCUCCUCCAGAUCUGUCAGUCUCCACUUUCUAUAUAUAAAAAAUAAAAAUAAAAAUUCCUUUCCUUUUACCUUCAGUUGUGAUCUGCCUUCCUUUUUUAACAAUAUAAAUCUCCUUUACAUCCUCCAUUCAGCCGUGAUCUGCCUUCCUUUUUUAACAAUAUAAAUCUCCUUUCCAUCCUCCAUUCAGUCGUGAUCUCCUCUACUUGAUGGCUCCAAGUCUCAUACAAAAUUAAAAAUAAAGUGGAGAUAAAAAAUCAUAUAAUUGGAAAUUGAAUAAAAUAAAAUAGAAAAUCAAAUCACAUUGUCACGAAAAUCCAAUAUGUCAAUUCAUGGAAUUAAAGAAUGAAUGGAUAAGUGAGUAAAUAAAUAAAUAAAUUGAUAAGGGUAUAUAAAUAAAUAUUAGAUGUCUGCAAUUAGAAAAAAUCAAGAAAUUAUAUUAAUGCAACGGAUUAUAAUAAUUUAAAUGUCAAACUCAAACUCUCAAAAAUUUUAAAAAAUAAAAAAUUCAUUUCAUCAAUAAAUAGUCAAGUCAAUACUCAUCCUAUCUCAGAAAAGGAAGUAACCAAGAUCAAGAACACGCCUAAGUGGGCUAUGCCAAAAGAAGUGUCCAAGUGACCUAUUCUGAAAAGGUGCUUAAGUGACCUAAGGUGAAUGUGUGCAAGCUAGAAGGUGUCUAGGUGAAUCUAAGUAGGCUUGGGUGAACCUAGAUGAGCCUAAAAAUGCAUAAGUGACCUAGGGUGAUAUGAAAAGUCCCUAAGGUAAUAAAAAAGGUAUCUAAGUGAAUCUAGGUGAAGUGUAAUGUGCCUAAGUGGCCUAAAAUGAGUGAGUGUAGGCUAGAAGGUGCAUAGGAUGUUUAGGACGGUGUCUAAGUCUAGAUUAGGGUUGCCAAGGGUGCUUAAGUGGGCCUAAGGUGGUGUCUAAUAGGUUAAAGGUGGUGCCUAAUGGGCCAAGUGUACCUAAGUGGGCCUACGGUGAGACUAGGUGAGCCUAACUAGGUCUAGCCUAAAGUGCACCUAAGAACUAUCCUAAAAAGGAAGGAAAAAACCAAACUCUAAAUUAAGGUUGCCAAGAGCACAAAGGGGUUAGAUAAAUCCCUCAACCAAAGUCCCCAAGGUUGCUAAAAAAAAAAAGAUAAGUAGUAUGAGUAACUAUGAGCCAUCAAAGAACCAUUGUGGAACACUGGAAGUGAACUUAAAGACAUGUGCUAAAGGGACAAAAUUGAGGGUCUACACAUAGCCAUAACAUUGUUGCACAAACUAUUAUUUUUAUAAUUACAAGAAUCUAGAAUACCAUGCAUUUCAUGAAUUUUAACAUUCAAAAAUUCAAUAUUACAAAUUGUUUUUGUCAUUUUUUUAUUUUCACAUUUUCACAUUUCAUUUUGAAGCUUUCAUUCUAUAGAAAAUUAUAAGUAUCUUAUAAAUUUUUAGGUUCUUGCUCUUUAUUUUAUUCAAAGGAAUUUCCAUAUUCCUUACAAUAUUCUUUUUUUUUUUAAUUUCUAAUUUAGCUACUUUAAGAAAGACUAUAAAAACAACAAAAUUUGAGCUUUUAUUACUCUCACUAGAGUCAUUUGAUUUAUUCCCAUUAAACUUUGAAUCGCAUUAAGUCACUUCCAUUACUUUCUUGUUUCUUUUGGGAAUAGAGUAGUAAAAAAAAAGUGCCUUUUUGUACCAUCUUCAUAGAAAUUGGAUUAGGAUGAUGGUUUCUAUUUCCCUUUAUUCUUAGUGAUAUUUCCUUUCUUUUUCUUGAAGUUAAUUUUUUGUUAUAUUUCUUUUAAAGUUUCAUAGAAGAUUUAAAUUUCCUAAUAAACAUUGAUAUUUCGAUUUUAGUAAGGAUUUGCAUCUUUAAUCAUGAGCCUUUAUUUAUUUUAAUCUUCCAUAGAAGCUUUUAGACUGGACUCUUUUGACUUCUUUGAAGAUAGAAGGAUUUGACUAGCUCAUACACUCUCAAGGUAUUUACAUUCUUGUUUUUUUUUUCUUUAGUGAUAACCUCAAGCCUAAAUCUCAAAAGGAGAGAUCUCAAUAUUUUUCUUACUACCUUAGAUUCUAGGGUCCUUUUACCUAGAUUAAAGCUUGAAUAACUUAGUUUAAUGCAAAAUUUAGAGAAAUAUUCAUCUUUUUUCAUUCCCAUACUCUCAAAUUUGGAAUAUAUAUAUAUAUAUAUAUAUAUAUAUAUAUAUAUAUAUAUAUAUAUAUAUACUUCUCAAUAGAAAUACUGUUAUGAGUAACAACCAUGAUAUCCCAAACUUCUUACUAUAUUUACAAUUGUACUUUUCUUCUUCAAUCAUAACAACAACAUAUUCAAAUUUUACAUUAAAUAUCACAUAACUUUCUUUACCAUUCUUUGAUCAUCACACUUCUAACAUAUGGUUUCUGUAGGACCUCAGGCGCUACCAACUCUCCUAAAAGCAAUUGCUUGUAGGAAAGGCGCAUACCNNNNNNNNNNNNNNNNNNNNNNNNNNNNNNNNNNNNNNNNNNNNNNNNNNNNNNNNNNNNNNNNNNNNNNNNNNNNNNNNNNNNNNNNNNNNNNNNNNNNUUUGGGGAAAGGGCCCUUCCCUAACCUUUUUGGGCCUUCCCCCAAGGCCCCCCGGGGAACCAAAGGGGGGUUGGGGGGGGGGGCCCACCCUCCGAUUUCCCAAAAAUUUCCCCCCCCCCCCCCCCCCCCCCCCAGCAACACCCCUGGGGUUCGAACCCGUAACCUCAGCUCUGAUACCACUUGUAGGACCUGCUUUUAGGAGAGUUGGUAGCGCCUGAGGUCUUACAAUUGGUAUCAGAGCUUGGGUUGAAGAUUUCUGGAAGAGUAAAAGAUCACAAAGCACACAAGAUGAAAACAAAGGAAUUUUCACUGAAGGUGGAGUCGAUUGCUCUUUCGUGGUGAUAUGAUACAAAAAGGUUUGUGUCAUAGAGAGAUUGAAGAUUAACUUCAUGUAAUUUGGUCCAAGGUGGAGAUUGUUGGGAAGUGUCCCAAAUUCCUAAUUAGUAUAGAUUCCUUUUUGUAAAGAAUAUUGUAUAGAAUAUUUCUAGGUUGAUAUAUUAUUGUAAUAUUAGACUUCCUUAUAGAAUAAGGAAGGUUGUUGGAAAUAUCUCUAUAAAUAUUCUAGGUCAUGAGGGGAAAAAGUUAUGAGAUGGAGAUGGGCCUAUAGAGACUAUACGAGGUGGCUAGAGAUGUGAGGAAGAACGGGAGGUACCUGGUGGAGCGAGAGAGCUCGUAGUAAGGUAUGGAUACAAGGAGUGGGGAAACAUGGGAUGUUUCGGGAACCCAAUAAUUGUAUCUGGUUCUAUCCUCUGUAAUAUUCUCUAUUGUAUAGUGGAAUUAUUCUCUCUCAUCCGUGGACGUAGGCAUGGUUGGCCGAACCACGUUAAAACCUCGUGUACCGUAUGUGUGAUUGUUUUAUCUUUGUGUUCUUGAACUAACAUUGUUGGAAUCAAAGCUUUCGCUGGCGCUACAGUUUCCAAUUAUUUACACCUUAUCAAAAUAAUUUGAGAUUGAUUUCGAGUCAUUCAUGUGGAUAUACUCAAAUUUACUUAUUCCUAUUUGCAACUUCAUUCUUUUGAUGUGAUCAUCAACUUUGUAUAAUUUUUUAUUUUUUUUUAGUACCGUACGUGUUUUUUUUUUUUUUUUUUUGUUUACUAUUAAGCCCUUUAUUAGUAGGGUUGUUGGGAAUCAAUCCCUCCUUGAAAGCAAACCACUAAUACUCAAUGGCUAGAUUGAAACCUAUGGAAUUACCCUAGCAUUGAUUUAAGGAUCCUCUUGACCCAAAUGAUCAAACAAAAAAUAAAACCUCUAAUUCCAAUCAUUGGAGAUAUUAAUGGAAAAUGAAUCAAUAACUGUAUUCCGGAUAAAUGGUUGACUUACAAUAAAAUGACAUUAGAACUAAGAGAAUUGGGUAGCUAUUAUGCUAUCAAUUAGAUCACUAACCCUUGUUAGUUGUUGGUUAGGUUCUGGUGUUCCUCUAUUGCUUUGAAUAUUGCAUAGGGUGUUUUUUUUUAUCUUUCUUUAGAGAAUCUUCAAAUAAAUAUUUAUGCUCAUUUGAUGGUGUUUUCAUAUUAGCAAACAUUGUUGUAGUUAUUAUUAGGUUGUAUAAAUUUUAAGAUAUAAAUAAUACAUACAUCUUAAUACAUCAAUUGUCGAAAUUCUUAUAAGUAAAAUUGGGAAUUGAAAUUGAAUUUAGUUAUUAUUUGCAUCCAUAAUUUAACUAAUAAAAAUUGUAGAUUUCUUGAUAUUCUAGCAACUCCUUAGUAUUAUAGCUUUGAUCUUCUAGUACAUUUUUUUAUUUUAUGACUUUAAUAUCACAUGUUUGAGGAUCGUUUCGGCGCCGUUUUGGAGCCGUUGAUAACGCCGCAGUCGGGGACCUUAGGAUCGUUUGGGGUUGUAGUAAAUAAAUAAAUAAAUAAAAUAAUACCACCCAACCCUAUCUGCAAUGUGGCACUAAUAGAAUCAACCCCCUGGUCCCACAUAUAUUAUAUAUAUAUUCAACCGAAUAUAUAUAUAUAUAUAUAUAUAUAUAUAUAUAUAUAUAUAUAUAUAUAUAUAUAUAUAUACCUACCACAUUGGACCUCUUUAUUGUGCUUACAAUACAAAUUUGAAAACCUUGCACACGUGUCGUAGCUUGGUGGCUAGUCCAAUAUUGGAAAUAGAACAAAUGGACAUGCUAUAAUAAUAAUAAUUUUAAAAAAAAGGGCCACUGUGGGGCUUGAACCCACGCGAGCCCAAGAUUGAGAGCCUUGCACUCAACCAACUGAGCUACGAGAUCCUUUUGUUUGUUUAUGAUUUUAUACCAAUGAAAUUAUGAUUUUGAUAUAGGAAUUUACCAUUUCUUGUUACAUUUAUGUUUAAUAUUUUUAAAAUAAAUAAGUUAUGUAUAUUUGUUGUCAAAGUAACUUAUAUUAUAUAAUUUUAUUUAUUUUUGAAAUAUUUAACAUAUUAUUAUUGUAUAAAAUAAUCGGACCAAAGGAAGAUUAUUUUAGUAUAAUAAUAAAUAAAGUAUUCAUAAAUAUAUGACAAAUAAAGUUUACCUUACUUGCUGUAUGUCAGUCUAAAGACAAGCAUAUUGCUUCGGUUAUGUUGUCAAUAUUUAUGAAUUAAUUUUGUAAAAGGAUAUCAAUUACAAGUUGAUAUUUUUUGUCCAAAGACUAAAUAUUAAUGUUUGUGCUAGGUAGCUUGUAAUAGGCUCACAUGCAUAUAUAUAUAUAUACGUUAAAUUUUUAUUUAUUCAUAUAUGUGUGAUAUUUUUGUGACUGAUUGUGAACUUUAUUGUUAUGAAUUCAACAUUUUCUAUAUCUGCUAAUGUGAAUAAUAUUCCUAUGCUUGGCACAAACUUCAAGAAAUGGAAAGAGCACGUUAUAAUUGUGCUCGGAUGCAUGGAUUUGGACUAUGCAUUGAGAGAGGAUCACCCUCCAGACCUUAUUAGUGCCAGCACUGCUGAGCAAAGGGCUGCUAUGGAAAAAUGGGAGCGGUCCAAUCGCAUGAGUCUAAUAAUAAUGAAGCACUCAAUUCCAAAAGCUAUAAGGGGUGUAAUACUUGAGGAAACUCGAGCCAAGACAUUCUUGGACUAGAUAGCAAACCGAUUCGCUACAAACGAAAAUGUUGAGACAAACACUAUUCUUAGUAAGCUUGUCUCCAUGAGGUACAAAUGAAAAGAGAAUAUAAGGGAGUACAUAAUGGAAAUGUUCAAUCUUGUGACUAGAAUCAAGGCACUAAAGUUAGAGUUGUCACAAGACAUACUCGUGCACUUGGUCUUGAUCUCUCUGCCUACACAAUUUAGUCCAUUCAAGAUCAGUUACAAUACACAAAAGAAAAAAUGGACUCUGAAUGAGCUUAUUGCUUAGUGUGUACAAGAGGAGGAGAGAUUGAAACAAGAGAAGAUAGAAAGUGCUCACUUGGCUUCCACAUCUCAAGGAUUUAGUACCAACAAGAAAAGAAAGAGGGACAAUAAAGGAAAACAAACUGCAUUUUUUGGGACAUCAAAGCAAAAGGUGCAGAAGAAACAAGAUAAGAAGAUCACUUGUUUCUUUUGCAAGAAGGUUGGUCAUAUGAAGAAGACAUGUACCAAAUACGUUGCUUUGCAUAAAAAGAAAUGUACACUUCUCAACCUUGUUUGUUCAUAAAUUAAUUUAGCUAAAGUACCUAUUAACACUUGGUAAAUAGAUACGGGUGCAACUACUCACUUAAGUGUCACAAUGCAGGAUUGCCUAAGGAGUCGAAUGCCAACUAAUGGUGAAAGAUACAUCUAUGUGGGAAAUGGAAACAAGGUUGCAAUGAAGGCUAUUGGUAUUUUUAGGUUACAAUUAGACUCUGGAUGUACUUUGGAUUUGGAAGAGACUUUUGUAGUACCAUCGUCUAGACAGAAUUUAAUUUAUGUUUCAUGUCUGGACAAAUGUGGAUAUUAUUGUUCCUUUAGAAAUGGAAUGGUUAGUCUUUAUUUAAAUUCAAAUAUUAUUGGUACAGGUAGUCUAACAGACAAAUUAUACAAAUUGAACAUAAAGGCCUCUAAUGGAAAUGAAACCUUGCAUUCAAGUAAUUAUGGUAUUAAGCGAAAAUUAAUAAAUGAGAAUUCAUCAAUGCUAUGGUACAGACAUUUGGGUCAUAUUUCAAAUCAACGUAUUCAAAGACUUAUGUCAGAAGGAAUUCUUGAUUCACUUGAUUUCUCAGACUUUCAAGUCUGCAUAGAGUGUAUUAAGGGUAAACAACCAAAUAUGAGGAAAAAUGACACCAAUAGGUCCAGUGAUGUCUUGGAAUUGAUACAUACGGACAUUUCUGGUCCAUUUCCUACCCCUUCUUAGAAUGGACAACAAUAUUUUAUCACUUUCAUUGACGAUUACUCAUGCUAUGACUAUCUUUAUUUGAUUCAUGAGAAGUCUUAGUCAUUGGAUGUGUUCAAGAAUUUUAAGGCUGAAGUUGAGAAUCGACUAAGCUAGAAAAUAAAGACCGUUAGAUCUUACCGUGGAGGUGAAUAUUAGAGUAGAUAUGACGAAUCUGGUGAACAACGUCCAGGGCCAUUCGCCAAAUAUUUGAUGGAGUGUAGUAUCAUUCCUCAGUACACCAUGUUGGGGACUCCAAGCCAAAAUGGUGUAGCAAAAAGGCAAAAUUGUACUCUUAAGGAUAUGGUAAGAAGUAUGAUCAAUCAUUUCACCUUACUAGAAUCACUUUGGGGCGAAGCUGUCAAAACUACAGUUUACAUUUUGAACAGAGUCCCAAGCAAAGCAGUAGCCAAAACCCCAUAUGAGUUAUGGACUAGCAAGAAACCUAGUAUUAGGUAUUUACAUGUCUGGGGUUGUCCAGUUGAGGCUAGGCCUUACAAACCAAAUGAAAAGAAAUUGGACUCCAGAACAAUGAGCUGCUACUUUGUAGGGUAUUCUGAAAGGUCGAGAGGUUUCAAGUUUUAUGACCCCUCAUCUAGAUCCUUCUUUGAAACGGGUAAUGCUAAGUUUAUUGAGGAUGUUGAGUUAAGUGGGAGAGAGCCAUUAAGAAAGGUGGUCUUUGAAGAGGAAUCUAUUAGUAUUCCUAUUAUUACAACUAGACAUGGUCAUAUUAUGUUUGAUGACACUAUCCAAAAUAUACAACUAAUAACAAAGAUUGAAGACACACCUGAGAUUCUUCCUACGCAAGUUAUAGAACCAGUUCAAGUUCAUGAAGAGGUAACUCAACAACCUCAAGAACCUCAAGUAUAAGUGCCACUAAGAAGAUCCACUAGAGAAAUGAGAAGUAUAAUUUCAGAUGAUUAUGUUGUAUAUCUCUAGGAACAUGAGUUUGACAUGGGUUUGGAAAACAAUCUAAUUUCAAUUAGUGAAGUCAAAUAAAGUUCUGACUCUGAAAAGUGGAUAGAACCAUGAAGGAUGAGAUGAAAUUAAUGAAAGACAAUGGUGUUUGGGACCUAGUAGAGUUGCCUGAAAGUGUAAAACAGAUUGGUUGUAAAUGGAUUUUUAAGACCAAGCGGGAUUCAAAAGGCAACAUUGUUAAGUAUAAGGCACACCUAGUUGCAAAAGGUUUCACUCAAAAGAAAGACAUUGAUUAUAAGGAGACCUUUUCGUCGAUUUCGUCAAAUGACUCCUUUAGAAUUAUCAUGGCACUUGUGGCUCCUAAUGAUUUAGGGCUGCAUCAAAUGGACAUUAAAACUAAGUUUCCUAAUGGUAACAUUGAUGAGACAAUAUACAUGGUGAAACUGGAGAACUUUGAGUCUAAUGAUUCAAAACAACUUGUAUGCAAAUUAAAAAUGUCCAUAUAUGGUUUAAAGCAGACAUCUCGACAAUGGUACCAAAAGUUUGAUCAAGUGAUUACUUCAUUUGGUUUUAAGGAGAACACCGUUGAUCAAUGCAUACAUCUCAAGUUCAAUAGGAGCAAAUUCAUUAUCUUGGUGCUAUAUCUAGAUGAUAUUCUACUUGCCAGUAGUGAUAUAGAACUCUUGCAUGAAACCAAGCGAUUUCUAUCUAAUAAAUUUGACAUGAAGGAUCUUGGUAAUGCAUCUUUUGUGCUGGGUAUACAAAACUAUAGGGAUCAUUCAAGAGGUAUACUUGGGCUAUCACAAAAGUCCUACAUCGAUAAGGUGUUAAGUAGGUUUGGCAUGAGCAAUUGUGCACCAAGAGACACGCUUGUGGCAAAAGGUGAUAAAUUUAGUUUGCACCAAUGUUCGAAAAAUGAACUUGAGAAGAAGGAUAUGGAGAGGUUUCCCUAUGCCUCGAUAGUAGGAAGACUCAUGUAUGCACAAGUUUGUAAGCGUCCGAAUAUUACAUACAUUGUUGGAAUAUUAGGUAGAUAUUUGAGUAACCUAGGUAUGGAUCACUGGAAAAAGACAAAACGGGUUAAGCGGUAUUUACAAAGAACUAAAUAUUAUAUUCUCACAUAUCGUAGAUCGAGUCAUUUAGAGAUCGUGGGAUAUUCGAACUCUGAUUUCGCGGGAUGUCUUAAUAGUAGGAGAUCCACUUCAGGCUACAUCUUCAUGUUGGCUGGAGGAGCAAUUUCAUGGAAAAGUGUUAAACAAACACUUAUUGCCUCUUCCACCAUGGAGGCAAAAUUAAUAGCUUGCUACGAGGCAUCAAAACAUGGGAUAUGGCUGCAGAAUUUUAUCACUCAGUUGCGAAUCGUUGAUGGGAUUGAGAAACCAUUGAGAAUCAACUGUGAUAAUAAGGCCGCAGAAUUAUAUUCUAAGAACAACCGAAGUUUGUCAAAGUCCAAACACAUUGACAUCAAGUUCUUGGUUGUGAAAGAAAGAGUUCAGAGUCUUCAAGUAUCAAUUGAACACAUAAGCACAAACUCUAUGAUUGCGGAUCCACUCACUAAGGGUUUGCCACCCAAAGUAUAUCAUGAGUAUGUCACACAUAUGGGUGUUGUAAAUAUUAAUGAUGUACUAGUAUAGGGAGAGUUUGCAUUUAGAUUUUGAGUAUUGUUAUAUUUGCGUUAUCUGUACAGACCUUGGUUUUAAAGACUAUUGUGUUUAAAUACUCUGAAUUGAAAUGAUGACUUUCAGAAGUAGUUUAGCAUCAAGUGUUGAAAGUGCAAUUUGACUAUUUUUUUAGUCAUAAAGUAGGACCAAUUGGAAAUAGACAUAUUAAAUAUCACAUUCUAUGUAAUUUCCAUGCUACACAUCCAUACUUGAUCCAUGUUGCUAAUUUUGUUAAUGUUGUGAUCAUUGAUGGGUCUAGUUAUAAUUAUGAUUAACAAAGGUUGCUUUAAUCCUAUGUUAGCAUAAUUAGUAGACCGGAUUGUUUAAGGAUAUUUAUAUAUAAUAGUUAAGAUGAGCUCAAUAAAGUACUAUCAUGAACAUUGUUCUGUAAUAUAUGUGGUCCAAGUGGGAGAUUGUUAAAAUAACUAUGAACUCACAUAUGGAGCAUAGUUUAUGAUUAGGCUAUUCACAUUCACGUAUUUAUUUUUUUAUUUUUUGUUCUAAGGUAUGGGCCACCUCAUGUGUAGAGCCCAAUACCAUAUGUGUCUUAGAUGAUGGGCCUAAGACACAUAUGGCCAAAUAUUUAAAGGGAAUGGUCCCUAAGGCAUAGAGGAUAUAUAAGGCAAGUGUCUGCUCAUUUUUUAAUAUAUUUUAGAAUAGAACAAAACGUGCUCUCUCCCGGUUCCCAUCAUCAGAGAGAUUACAAAAGGGUGGUUUCCCUGCUAUAGCCUUUGAAGAUCCAUACCUCAUUCAACAAACGACAAUGGACUUAGGUUUGUUUUCUUUCUAUAAUAAACGUCUGGUAUAAUUUCUUCACAUGAUUAAACAUACGAUUCUUGUCUGAUGUUAUUGGAUUUACAAUGGAGUUCCUUCACCAAGUGCAAUUGUAAAGGUUGGGCUAAUAACAGGUGAUAUGCAGGUGUUACUAAAAGUAAUUAUUAAAGGUUCUCACUUUGUCAAUACACUGAUAGAAUUGGUGGGAACCCCACUUUCUCUCGUAGCAGUUUAAAGACUUUUCCUAUCCAUAUUAGUAAAAUGAUAUGUAUGUGCUAUGCACGUGACUAAAAAUAAUAAUAUAGAGAGAAAAAUAAUAUAUAAUAAUAAUAGACAAUAAAUUAUUUAAUUUAAAAAAAAAAAUUUAAUAAUACUAAAAUAAUUUGUAAGAGUGAUUAAUAUGUGAUAUCAUAGGAGAGAGUUUUUAACGCUAUAUACAUAUAGGUUCCUUAAUUAUGUAGGCGCAUUUUAAAGUUGUGAGGGCUCUUGGAUUCAAAGCAGACAACAUCAACAUAGUUGGAUAUGAGUUAUUACAAAUUUUAUCAGAAUCGAUCUCUGACUCUGGUAUGAGGGUUUGUUUGGCCCUAUGAGGGGUGCCUAUUUGUUUGGCCCAACAAUUUCGUAGGAUACAACGAAGACGUUGUAUUUACAUGAGAAGUGUUUGUGAUAUCCCACAUCGGAUAUGAGAUAAAGUUCUUAAUACUAUAUAAAUACAAGUUUCUUAAUUAUAUAGACGUGUUUUAAAACCAUAAGAACUCUUUUGAAUUCAGAGUAAACAAUAUCUACAUAAUUGAGUAUGGGUAUUUAUAAAUAAUACUAAAGUCAAUCUCUGACCCUGGUAUGGGGGUUUGUUUGGUCCCAUAAGGGCGUUUGUUUGUUUGAAUCCUAUGGGAAACAACGAAAAUGGUGUAUCUGUAUGAGGGGUGAUUAUAAUAUCCCACAUUAGAAAAGGAAGAAAGUUUAUGACACUAUAUAAAUAUAAGUUCCUUAAUUAUAUAGAUGGGUUUUAAAACUCUUAAUUAUGUAAACGUGUUUUAGACGUGUUCUAAAGCAUCAUAUGCGUGGUUACAUAGUAUGUAAUUAUAUAUUAUUUAAAAUUCCUUAUAUAAAGAAUAAUAUAUUAAAUAAAUAUAGAAAAUAAUAAUAAAUAAAAAUUAUUUAAAACUCUUCAUAAAAAGAAUUUAAAGAAAUAUGAAAAAAUAAGUAUUAGAAUAAUAUGAUAGUUUGUUUAAUUUAAGUUGAUAAUUUUAUUUCAUUUAUCCUAAUAAAAUAUUUUUCAUAUUUAUCAUGUUUUAUAAAUGAAAUAAUGUGAAUUUUAUGUCACUUUUAAUUAAGCAUAAUAUUUUUUAUUUUUAUAAUAAAAACAAAAAUCAUUUGGAGUGCUCAAGCUCUCGAACCCUAGCGACCAAGCACUACUUUGCAAUAAGAUUUUUCGUGUCAUGAAGUAUGACAUGAUGCGUCACCAGACUCACCACCAUCCACAUACCAUGGUUGAUCGUCAAUGAUAGUAGGUGGUACGUCGGAAGAUUAGGUAAGACUUCGAGUGUGAGAGUUGUCCUUAACGUAGACUUGCACUCUCUCCACACAAUUGUUUUUGACGUUUUCCAAAAUCAGUCCUUUGUAAGCUGGACCACGUAAAUGUAAAUUCUUUAAUUAAAAAUGGACUUGGGAUAAUAAGGGAUAUUGUGAUUUGGUAAAGCCACCAAGUCGAUCCACAGAAAUUUUUGUGUACCUAUAGAACUCACAAAGCCUAGCAAAAGGUCAACAUCUUUAUCAAUGUAUCAUACGGAAAUACUAGUGAGAACUUUUUUGAUGUUGUUUUGAGAAGAGGUUUGAACGCCAAAUUGAAAUAGACUAUUUUGUAAUUUACCCCCAAUGAAUAUGAGGUAAUAUGAUAAAAUUUAAAUUUAUUUUUAACAUCAAUAGUUGAGAAAGAAGCACAAAAUUAAACUAAGGAAAUUGAAUUAAACUAACAUUAAUUUUCGAUAAUUAAUAUAUUAUGAUGUCAUAAAAAUUUAUUAUAUUAAAUUAAUAAAAUAAUUUUGAAUAAUGAAACUCAAAAUGAUUAAUUAAAGUUACAAAUAAUAAAUUUGCAAAUUGAAGCUUAUUUUUUAUUAUUAUUAUUAUUAUUGUUGUUGUUGUUGUUAUUGUUGUUGCCUCAAAUCAUUAUAUACAUCACCCAUGCAACUCACGGGCCACAAACACAAUCUGCCUCAAAUCAUUAUAUACAUCACCCAUGCAACUCACGGGCCAGAAACACAAUCCUCAGUCACAGCAAUGGGGCAGCACCACUUCCUCAUUAUAUCACAUCCACUGCAAGGCCACAUCAACCCAGCCCUCCAAUUAGCCAAGCGCCUGAUCAGAACCGGCGCCCACGUCACAUUCGCCGUCUCCGUCUCCGCCCAUCGCCGAAUGCCCAAAGAUCCGACCCUCCCCGGUUUAACCCUAGUCCCCUUCUCCGAUGGCUAUGAUGAUGGGUUAAAGUACUCCAAUGAUCAUGCCCAGCACUAUAUGUCCGAGAUCAAGCGUUGUGGAUCAGAAACCCUCAGGCGGAUCACUGCAAUGAGCGCUGACCAAGGCCGACCAGUUACUUGCUUACUGCACACCAUCCUCCUAACCUGGGCGGCAGAACUGGCGCGUAGCCUUCAGGUUCCGUCGGCGCUUCUUUGGAUUCAGAGCGCCACUGUUUUCACCAUUUACUAUCAUUACUUCAAUGGUUAUGGUGAUGUGGUUGGAGACUGCAGCAAUGAGGGUUCAAGUCCAAUUGAGUUACCGGGGCUUCCAAUACUGCUGUCUAGCUGUGAUAUUCCGUCUUUUUUACUCUCUUCAAACAUAUAUGCUUCGUUGCUCUCAACAUUUCAAGAGGAAAUGGAGGCACUAAGGCAAGAGACGAACCCCAAAGUGCUGGUGAACACCUUCGACGCACUGGAGGCCGAGGCGCUACGAGCUGUGGAUAAGGUUAAAUUGAUUGGAAUUGGACCUUUGGUCCCAUCUGCUUUCUUAAACCUACUAUUUGUCUCUCUCAUCUCUUUCUAUUGUGGUUGUCAAUAAUGUCGGUACAAUAAUAGAUGAAUUGUAUUUUGAGGUCAGAUGGGUCUUGAUCCAAGUACUCAUAUCCCUAUUUGAGCCUAAAACCUAACGGGGCAUUGUCUUUGGCCCUUGCCUAUUAAAACGAAAAAUCUCUUCCUCUCUCUCUCUCUCUUAUUAAUUGAUGGACCAUGUACAUGAUUCCCAAUUUUUACACUAUCUCUCUCUAUUAAUUGAUGGACCAUGUAGAUGAUAAAUGAUUCCCAAUUUUGACACUAUUUUCCCAAUUAUUUUUUUCCUGUCUCUAUUCACUUCAUCUUUCUCCCACUUAUGAAAUGGUGGGAUUACGGAGAUUGAUUCCCAACAAAUCAUGCCCAACAAAUUGAAUAUUGAAAAUUAAUGAUUAAAAAUUAUUAUUAUCAAAUUUAUUUUUUAAGUAAAUAUGUUUAAAACACCUCAUAAAAUAUUAUUAUUCUUUUUUUUUUUAUCUAACUUACAAAUUACAUAUAUAUAUAUAUAUAUAUAUAUAUAUAUAUAUAUAUAUAUAUAUAUAAUAUAAGUUAUUUUUUAUAUAAAUAUCUUUAAGGUUAUAGACAAUUAUUUGAAUAUUUUUUUAUUUUAUAGAAAUUACAUAGAUAUUGUCUUAAUCGAUUAUUUUGUAAUAUGAUCAUCAUUUAAUUAAUUGUGAUAAUUAAUUUUUAAUUGAAUAAUUGUAGACCCCCAUUUUGGGAGCCAUUCUUGCAGCUGAUGCUUGACAAGUGUCACCAUCUUGCAUGGCCACGAGUCACUCCCGGAUUAGUCAAUAUAGGAUCAAAAUAGUGGAAUUGAUGAACCAACUAGAGGUCGACAUGUGCCCAAAGAAUCUACAAAAAGCUGCAGACGGUUAGAGGAGCGGGGUGGCCAGCUGCAUGGUAGUGGAGGGGGGUUUUCUUUUUUUAGGCUGUUAGAGAUAUUUUGGGGGUGCUUUUUGAGAGUGGGUGAGAAGAGAUUUUAGGGGAUUACAAUUUUUUAGAGAGGGUAGGGGACCCCCAACUGAGAGCUUGAUGCCGUCUGCAUGAAGCGUGCAGCAAUAGUGAGGGUAGUGGGGCAGGCCAUACUGGCUGAUGCAUGAACAGGAGGAGGCAGGUGGUGACUUGCUAAGGAAGGUGAUUCCAAGAAAAGAAAGAGGAGGAACAGGAAGAGGAGAGAGGAGAGUUUAGCUUGAGAGGACUAAGGGAGAAAGAGGCAUUCCUGGGCUGGUUGCUGGAGAGGAAGGAUAGUUGUCCGAUUUCUUGUCCACCUAGCUGGGGAGAGUUAUUUUGAGGUACGUUUAUUGUGUAUUCUUCAUCAGCUUCUAUUGGUGUGCUUUUCUACUCUGUUUUUACUGAUUCUCGGAUGAUGAUUGUUGAUUGGGAGUGAAUACGUUCAUAUUUUUGCUAAUGGUUUUGUAGUGGUUUAGUUUGCUCUGGUUUUGAUUUCUCCAUGAGAUAUUUUUGUAACCACGUUUUACCUUUCAUUUGAUACUCAUUUAAUCUUACCCACCAUCAUCUAAGCCUGUUGGUAUGAUAUGAAGCAUAGCUUGUCAGGCUCAUUUUCUUGUAUCUACUCUUUGUGCUCUGUUUUGUUAUCCUCCUCUGCUCUUGAUAUCCGUCCAUAGUACGCAUCCAUUUUCUCAUCCCUGCUUGAAGGAGAUCCUAGAAAAUCUGGAGUAGUUGUAAUGGCAGCAAAGCUCACCUCAUCAGCAUCCCCAUACCCAUUCUGUGGGAUCCUCCCUAAAAAGUGCCGCGUGGUUUCCUCUCCCUUGGCCACGCAGACGGCCCCCUCGCGAUGUGUGGCAUAGCUCAUUCCACCCGGGUAUCUCACAUCCGGAAUUUUUCUCCGCCGACAUUCCAUCCGGACAUCUCACAUCCAGAAUUCUUCCCCGCCGACAUUUCACCCGGGUAUCUCACAUCCGGAAUUCUUCCCCGCCGACAUUCCACCCGGGUAUCUCACAUCAGGAAUUCUUCCUCGCUGACAUUCCACCCGGACAUCUCACAUCCGGAAUUCUUCCCCGCCGACAUUCCACCCGGGUAUCUCACAUCCGGAAUUAUUCUCCGCCGACAUCCCACCCGGACAUCUCACAUCUGGAAUUCUUCUCUGCUGACAUUCCACCCGGACAUCUCACAUCCGGAAUUCUUCCCCGCCGACAUUCCACCUGGGUAUCUCACAUUUGGAAUUCUUCUCCGCCGACAUUCCAUCCGGAUAUCUCACAUCCGGAAUUCUGUCCGGCCGACGUUCAACCUUCCUCGGAUAUCUCGCAUCCGGAAUUCUAUCCGGCCGACGUUCCACCUUUUUCUUCAUCCUUAGAGCAUUUUCUUGAAGUCCCCAAGAUCUCAUUUUCAAUAAAUUUUGCCGCCAUUUUCUUCUCGGCAUGUAACUUUAACAACUUCCAUGAUUUUAAAAUAAGUGUGAAUUUAUUUUCGUAAUUCUUAGUGAUAGAAUUUGCGAAACUGAUUCACCCAAUAGUAAACGGGCUUUGGUGGGGGCCCCACAUAUGUGACUGAUCGAUUGAUUGACUGACUGAUUGACUUGAUUAUCAUACAUAAUUGAUUUAUCAUGUUCUUUGAUAUGUAUGCUAUUGUUUCUUAAUUAAGCACUAACCUUCCUUCUUGAUAGCGCAUGGUGGCUCAUUGCCUAGGUACGUACCCACUUUCACUCUGAUUAGUGUCUACGCAUGUUCUAAUUUUCACAUGUGCAUGAUUUAUUCUGAGUAUUCAUUGAUUCCCUCAUCAAUUUCCAUGAUUGCUUCAUUUUAUUAGUAGAGACCCGUCUUUAGGGACUUAAAGGGGUGCUACGGUCUGUACCGUACCUUCCCGAUAAGUAACCUGACCCCCGAACCCGAUCCGGGUUUUCGCAGACCACCUUUUCCAAAAUUAGGAAUUAUACUUAGGGUUUUUCUUUCUUAUUUUGUUUACCCUUUUAAAAAUAAAACAAAAAUAAGUGGCGACUCCAAGUCAUUUUCAAAUAAUCAAUAAAAAUCAUUAACACUAUAAUAUAUUAUAAUUUAAAAAUAUUAAAAUACCCUUUUGAAUCUAAAAUUGAUGUGGAAUGUCCCUCAUUCUUGGCAAAAGGAAACGUGUGAGCUAAUUUUUUAAAAAUCAGCUAAAUUCCUUCAAAGAAGAUAAUCUUGUAUACUCUUGUACACUUAGUACAUUUACUUUAUACAUUUAGUGAAAUACUUUAUACAUGUGUACAAAUUUCAUAAACCUAAAAUGAAAUGUAUGCAUAUGGAUAGGUUAACCAUGUUUUCAUUGUCAUGACUCAAGAAAAAAAAGAAAAAUUGAACCCAAUUUAUGUUCAUAUUCAUCAUUAAUGGGGUAGAUAAUCGAAUAAACAUAUACGAUAUCAAAAAUAAAAUAGAAAUACAUGAGAUGAGUAUUACAAUAUUAUAUCUUAUUUCUUUUUUAUCAAUAAUAUCUCAUAUUUAAAUUAGAAAGUAAUUUAUUUUAAUAGAUCAAAAUGUGCACAAUUAAUCUAUUACUUAGUUAAUUAUGGAUAUAUUAGAAUUUUUUAUUACACAAAAAAAAAAACUAAUAGGGAAAAUAAAAUUAAAAAGAGUAAUAUAUAUUAAUUAUUUUUCAUGUAAAAGAUAGUAUAAAAAAAACACAAAAUUGAUUGAUUCAUUUGUUUAAUUAUGAACAUAAUAUAUUUUUUAUUUUAUUAUUAAAAUAACUAAUGAAAAAAUUAAAAAAGAAUAAUUAAUAAAUAAAAUUUAAUUCUUUUUAUUAUUUUCAUAUAAGAAACAAUGUUUUCAAUUUUCAUUUUCUAAUUAAACAUAUUUUCAAAAAGAGAAAAUUUAAAUGUAUAAAAGAAAAGAAAAUAAUGAAUAUGUUUAUUUUAAUAGUGUUUUAAUCAUUAAAUUAUGUACUUUUAAAAUAUAAAAAAUAGAUUUUAUUCAUUUAAAUUAACAUGUUUUUUAAAAGGAUAUUUUUCAAAAUGGUUUUUAAAUUAUUAAUGUAAUUUUUGUUUAUUUAUAAUUUAAAAAUAAAAAAUAAUGUUGAUUUUUAAUUAUUUAUAAAAGAAUUAUAAAAAAAAUAAAAAAUUUAAAAAUGGUUGAAUAAGGGAGAGGUGGAAUAAAUACUAGUUCCCGUGAUCACCACAUGAAAUGACCCGUACUUGUCAGCUAUGCCAGAGAUAGAGAGUUUUUGAUAGAACCCAGUAAAGUCAAGGGCAGACUCCAAUAAGCAUGAGAAGAAAACAAUUGCUGUUCUGUACUAUCAUCUCUUUAUGAUACAUGUCCAGGGAAAAAGACCCCUGGGACCAUUGCUUUUCCACUUUACAUGGUGGAUUGGUGAAUAUAUUUUAUUUUAUUUUAUUAAUUUUACCUCCAUUUGGGGGUUUUUUUCCAUGUGAAAUCUCUAUGUUCAUAUUGAGUUGUUGCUGAUUUGUUUAGUGACAUGCCUUAUUGAGUUAAUCCAUAUGUUGUGUAUUUUAAUGGUUUUUUUUUCUAGUUUUUGGAACCAAUUGAUUUUUGCCAAAAAAACAAAAACAAAAAUUACUAUUCAUGAUUUAGAAUUCGAAUAUUUUUAAUCUUUUUAACUAACACUUCCAAAUUAUUAUGAAAAAAAUUAUUUUUUAAAAUUAAAAAAGAUAAAAAUACUUCAUAAAAUCACUAUCAAAUAAGUUUUUUAAUAGUAGUUUGAUAGUGAUUUUAAAAAGCGUUUCUAACAUUUAUAAUACUAUUUUUUUUUAUUUCUUUAAGUAUUAAAAAUGGGUAAAAGCACUUAAUAAAAUCAUUUCCAAACCGACUAUUAAUCUCUGAUCAUAAUUAAAUUGUAAUCCAAUUAUUAUCAUUAUGUCGCAAAUAUAUAAUUUAUGUAUUAUUAUAAUUCAAAAUAACAUGAAGAAGUUAAAAUUAUAUUUAAAUAAUUUAAAAUUUUAAAAUAUUUUAUUCUUUUAUCUUUAAUAUUAUUAUAUUAAAUAUAAAACAUAAAUGCAUUAAUAUUUCAUUAUUUUAUUUUCAAUAUUAUUAUAUUAAAUAUAAAUAAAAGUGUGUUAAUAUUUUUUAUUUUGUUAAAUAGGAGAAUUAUUAUAUUUAAUUAUUAAGAAGAAAUAUCAUGUAUUAAAGAGUGAAAUAAAAUUUUAUUAUUAAUUUCAUUCACACUUCAUUAGCAUUUAAUUAUUAUUCAUUUGAAUUUCAUUAGUAUUAUAAUUUUAUCAUAUUUAGUUUUAGUACAGCUAAAGAGUCAUUUUUCAGUGGCACAGAGGUAGGCUAUGGAUAAGUUUUUUAUGGCCCAAUGGCGGUUUUACAACUAUACAUAUCAUUUAUUGACCAAUCAUCUGCUUACCUAAUUUCAGAGAUUUAAUAAUUUUAUUAAAAAAUUUGGUAGAAAAUUCUACAAAGUAGUUGGAUCUUCAUCUUGAGUUAAGCACUAAAAAAUAUUGAAAAUAAUUUCAUAAUUCUUUUGUUUUAAAAGGAGUACUCACGUUCAAGUCAUAAAGAAGGAUAAGUGGGGAAUUUUUAUUCAAAGUUACAAUAGAAAAGGUAUUAGUUGAAAAACUUAACUUGUAAAAUGUGAAGGGGGUUAAUGAGUGAUUUUUAAAGAUUUUAAUACAAGAGUUAAAAUUUUUAAUUUAAUUGAUUUCUUGAGAAUGAAUAAUAGAUAAAACAAUCAACAAUAGUGAGACAUAAUUUUAUGUAGAAAACCCUCCACACGAAGUGUGAAGAUAAAAAAUCAUGAGGCUUAAGAUCUCAAAUCAAUAAUUUACUAUAUAAGAUUGUAACACACGGUUUUACCCAAACAAACACUGCUUAAAACUUACUCUUCAACACAUAUCAUGAUACAUGUUGAUGCAGCACCUCGAGUGCUCUAAUGGAUUCAUCUCAACUCUUAAGGUGAUGCAAGUUUCUCCAACAACCCAAAAUUUGUUCAACAAAUCUUUGAGAGCUUUUGGGAAUAGUAGAGUAAAUUAAGGUUUUUCAAAAUAAGGACAUCCAAGUUUAAAACACAUUUAUGUACAACAUACAUAAGCUCAAGAACAUAAAGGACCAGAAACAAAAUCUUAUUAAAAAAAAUAAAAUCUCAAAUUUUCAAACAACGAACUCCUAGAAUCUAGUGGAUUUUGAAAUGAAUGCUCAAGCAAACUUAGUCACCACUUGAGCACUUAAAUAAGUGCUUGAACGUUGGCUUUAAUGUUUGAGAGCUUUGGCGAGCGCUUGAGCAUUACUACAAGUUUUCAAAAAUUGUUUAAAAAUAUUUUAGCUUAAUUUUAAGUCUAACCCAUACCAUUUCAAAAACUAACUCGCAUUUACCAAAAUCUUUUCAGACUUAUCUAUUGAACAACAACCUCAAAUCUUCAAUAAAGAGUAAGAGAGUAUUUGGUUUUUUUUUUAUUUUUAUUUUUUAUUGAAAAUAAUUUGCUUUUAGACUUUAGUUUUUUUUGGUUUUUUUUUUAGGACUUAGUAUAAAUUUUUGACUGAAUGGAAGAAACCAAACUAUUUAGAUUGUUCUAAAUAUAAAAGGUAACAUAUUAAUUUUUUUAAUACUUUUUAAUACUUAAUAAAAAUAAAAUGUUAUAAAAACAAACAACCUAAUAUUUAACAUUAUUAAACACUAUUUAGUUUUACGUUCUAUUUAGAAUUAAGUUAAGAAAAAAAAACAAAAAAAAAAAAAACAUCACCUAAGUCAAUAUUUUAAAAGAUCCUAUGCUAGAAUGAUUAUCAAAUACAAUCCAUUAAGAGGAAGAGAUGGGUUUAAGUUAAGUCUUUAUUUUUUAACCUUUGGGUUUAAAUAACUAAAAAGUAUUAAACAAGAAAAAUAGAAAUAAAUAGAGCAUUUAUUUUAAUAAACAAUUAAGAAUUAAGAAUAUUUAUAAUAAAAAUUAAUAUCAAUUAAAUCAAAAUAUAUAGGUUAAUAUAGAGAAUCAACACUAUAAUUUUACCAUAUAUUUAAAUUUGGAUUCAUGCAUAUAUUUUGAAAGAUACCCAAAUGUAUAAAAUUGCAGGAUCAAUUUUUGAGGCAUGAGGGCAUGUUCCACUAGUAGCAACCCAAAAGAAUCCAUUUUCAUUUUUGGUAGUUAGGAACCCUAUUAUUGGAAUUAAUAUGCUUCACUGCACUUCUUUUUAUUGCUUCCUGUCACCACCAAGAUGAAAAUUUGGUGAAAUUAAUAAAUGUGCUUUACUAUUCUCUUGUUCACCACUUCCUUAUUUGCUUGCAGAGAGUGAGGGUGGGGUUGGAAACCCUGCCAUUGAUAAUGACCAUUUGUUUUUUGAUAACAUAUUGGUAUAUAUAUUAUGUAUAUUUAUGCCUUAUAUUUUUAGGUUAUUUGAUUAAAAGGUUCAUUGAAAACCUAAUUUUGAAAGUCUAUCUCUUCGUCCUUUUUUGGCCUCAUUUUAACAAAAAUACCCUGGGAGGUAUCGCGCUUAAUUGGUGGCCACCCACAGGUCCGCCCAUCCAUUCAAGUGGCUGGUACCACUCCUAUCCGUAGAACCGAAGCCUUUAUUGAAAGGGUAACCAGAAUUACGUGAUCCAAAUAGAUUCCCCUAAAUGUAAUGGUUCUCGGAACCAAGUCGAUAAACCUUUAACCAAAAGAGAAUGGCACCAUCUCACCUGAUCAAAUUUUCCCGGGAUAAAUAAAGCUUACCCUGGGAGACAACCACCAUGGGUCGCCCACUAGGGUAGGAUGCUCGAAAAAUCAAAACUUGGAUCACCUAGGACCCCUACUAGUCGAUCUGGGAAAUCUGAACAUAUGUGGUCUUGAGAGCAAUGUACUGUCCUACACCUUAACUCAUGUGGCAUAGACACCAAGGGCUGCGACAAGACUAAUACAAGGAACGAGGGGUGGCGACAAGACUGGUAUGAGGAACAAGGGGCUACAACCAGAUUGAUACAAUAAGCAAGUCCCAAAGCAAAGUUCUAAUAGGUUUUGUUAGUUGCAAACACUGGAAGGGUCACCCACGCACCGCCUGACACGGGUUUUGUCCACUCAACCAUGGAUGCCAUGCAAUCUUUGAUGUCUGCCCCCUAACUUACUACUCCCCUAGGAGAAAGUUGACGUACUUGACUAGUCAGUUGAUAGCUUGGAAGCCCUAUAAAAGGAGAAUAAGAAUAAGGGAAAGGUAGAAAAGCAAAGGCACAUAUCAGAAGAGAAGGUCACACUUAAAGGUAGUUUAAUGCUUCGAAUAGUCAUUAGAUCCUCGUAUUUGAAACGAUUCUACAUCAAGAAUUGGCGUUGUCUAUGGCAACGUAACAAAAAGGUCAACCAUGAUGACUACAUGGGUAGCUAGCCACGCUGGCUAUAUGUGUGUUGCCCCACCAACUAUGGAGCAAUAGCUAGCACCCGAGCCCCAGCUAGUGGAGUAUCAAAGACAGCUGGAUGAGCUGAGAAGAACUAUUGAUCUGUUGAGGAAACAUAACAAGAUAUUGGUAGCCCAACUCAGCGCGGCUACCCAAGGAUCGUCGAUAGAUGAUGAGACCCUAGUCGACUCUUCGAAAAAAAACCUCUCGGGUCUGCCGAAUGAGCCAAUCCACCUAGGACCACAAACCCCCGAGAGGGAAUAUGCGACCACCAAACGCUAGAAAGAGAACUCCCUGAGUGAAGUUAUCAGCCCUGCCCAAGGCUGAACCAAAAGGUAUUGCCCAGAAGACACUAACCAACCAUGAACCGAACAAAUGGUUUUCUUAUGCGAGGCCAUCGAGAAAGUUUCGCUCAAAACCACCACAUGCCUUCUUAAUGAUAUGUUGUUAACUCUCCUGGCUUCCCAUAUAGUGCAACAAAGGCCCCCCUCAGGGUUCAUGAUGCCUAAAUUCACCAUGUAUGAUGGUAUCAUAGACCCUUUCGACCACCUCAUCCAUUACUGCCAAGUAAUGACCCUAGACAUAGAAGAUGAUGCACUUUUAUGCAAAGUAUUCUUGGCUAGCUUAUAGGGCCCAAUCCUUGCUUAGUUCCAUAAACUCCUGACCAAUUCAAUCAAUGACUUUCGAGAGCUGUCAAAGGUGUUUGUGGCACACCAUUAUGCUCCGCCAGGUAGAAAUAAGGCCUCAAUAGCCUGAGCAAUUUGAAAAUGAUGGAGUCUAAGUCCAUCCGGGAUUUUAUGUGAAGAUUUGGACAAGCCUUGAUCUAAAUGGAGCCUUGUAGCACUGAUGUGAUCAUGCAAGCCUUCAAACAAAGUUUCAUCUCGAGGACCUCAUUCUUUAAAUCUAUAUCAAAGAAGCCACCAGAGACAGUGGACAACCUCUCACUACAACAAAUAUUGCUUUUUGCCACAAAUUUUUUGGCCAUAAACUAAAUUUUGUGGCAAAAUGUCACUUUUAGCCACAUGUUUCAUUUUUGUCGCUAAAAAUAUGACCCAAGUAAUUCUUACAAAAUAUAAAACAUUUUACUAUAAACUCAUCUUUUUGCCACAAAAUUAUUCGUGGUAAAAUAUUACUUGUUGAUAUGAAGUUAAUUUUGUUGCUAAAAAUAUGGUGGGAAUAAUUCAACUUUUUGCCUCAAAAUUAUUUGUAGAAACUAACAUUUUUUUUAGCCACAAAUUUACAUUUCAUCUUUAAAAUUAUGAUAAAAAUAAUUCUCACAUGGCAUGUGACAUUUUGCUACAAACGUUACUUUUUAAUAUGAAAUUAUUUUUAAUAAAAAAAAAAUAUAAGAAAUGAGUUAGAAAUUUCAAUUUUUUUUUUUCAAAUAUUUUUUUUCACAAUCUAAUUUGAGGUAGAAUAUUACUUUUUAUUUUAAUUAUAUAUGCACCACUUUUUAUAUAACAAAUUAAAUAUUAAAUAGAACUAUUAAAUACUUAUACAAAAUAGUCCUUUAUGAUAAAAAUAAUUUUUUUCUUAAAACAUAAAGAAGUUUGAUGUUUGAUAAAAAGUAAAAAAAAAAAAGUCAUUUUAUAUUUUUAUGUGAGUUUAACAAUUAUAAUUUUGAAUAUAUAGAUGAAAUUUAUAAAAAUUUAAUAAAAGCAUAUAAAUUUUGAAGUCUAAAUUUUAUUUUAAAAUUUUCAUGGAAAGAAAUUUACUUAUUAAUUAAAAAUAUAAUGAUUCAAAUAAAAUAAGAUUAAGAAAAUAAAAAAUAGACUCUUGGCUUUAAUAUAGACUUUUUUUUUUGCUUUUAAUUUUUUUAUUUACAUAACUAUUAUAUAUUUUUUUUCCAAAGAUUUCUUUACUAAGAGUUUUGAUUUUUAUUAUAUUUUCGUCUAAAUAUAAAGAUUUCAAAACAAACUUUAUAAAUUAUCAAUACUUAUUUGCAUAAUUAUUCUUGAAAAAAAAUAUUCAAAGAUAGAAUUUAAAAAAUAAAAAAUAAAAACUUAAUAUAUAUAUAUAUAUAUAUUAAGUUUUUAAGAGUAUAAACUUGAAAAAAAAAUUAAAGAUUUCAAAACAAACUUUAUAAAUUAUCAAUACUUAUUUGCAUAAUUAUUCUUGAAAAAAAAUAAUUAUAAUUUGAGAUUAGUAUAAAGAAAGAAAUAAUGUUGAACCUAAUUAAAAAUUUGUUAUUUUUCUUUAAACAUUGAUUGAUUUAUAGAAAAUAUGGUGAAAAUCUCUUCAAAGAAUGGUAAUAAAGUGAAGGGUCAUGAGUUUGAAUCCCAAUGAUUAUAGUUUAAUAUAAGAAUUAUUAGGGAGCCAAAAUAUCCUUCCUCAGGCUUGAAAUAGGUGUGGGGUGGUCAUCAUAUUUUUAGAAAUGGAUACCCAUGCUCCUAACCUCCAUAAAAAAAAUGAAAAAUAAAAUAUUAUCAUAGCAUUUUUACCACAAACAUAAAUUUGUCGUUAAAGAUAUUAUAUUCCCACAAAAUAACAUUCGUCGUUAAAAGAGACUUUUUACCACAAAACUUUUCUCAAGAUAGAGAUUUUUUUUUUUUAAUCAUGAAUAGUUUAUUUUUUGCCACAAAUAUUAUUCAUUGCUAAAAUUUACUUUUAGUGACAAUUUUUUAUUCAUUGGUAAAACUUUUUAGUGACGGACUUGUUGCAACAAUUUUGCGAUGAAUGUUUUUUGUGGCAAAAACAUAUUUGCCAAAAAAAAUCUAACUCUUUUCUACAAAAACAUUUGUUGUGAAACAUCAUAUUUGUUGUAGGUUCUUCUGGAGAGCCAACAAGUACACCAUGCUAAAAGAGGAUCUUAAAGCGGCAUCCUAGCAAAUCGUUGCGACAUCCCGGACAAUUGCUCCCUGAUAGAGCAAGCAUAACCAGCCCAUUGAAGGACUUCAUCAACAAGGAGGCAAAAAAAACCAAUCCCGAAAGACACUCAAAGCUCAGUACUAGGAAGAUAAGUCAACGCCUCAUUUUACAAAGUUCACUCUCAGUUAUAGCCAAUUGUUGUCAAUAAUUCAGAAUCUAUAGGGUUUCCGCUAGUCAAAUCCUAUGCGAGGGGAUGUAAGUCAAAGAGAUCAAAAUCGUUUUUGCAAAUACCAUAAGGACAAGGGCCAUGCUAUCGAAGAGUGCCAUCACUUCAUUUAUUGGUUGAAUAAAUGGUGCGAGCCGAUCAACUUAGCAAGUAUCUCCAUGAUUACUACUCAAAACAUGCUAUUUUGUAGCUUGUAAUUAGCUCUUUUAAACACCCUUGAGUAGUAAUUAUUACCUUUUAACCCAAUUAACAUGUUAGGGACCCUUGCAAUCAUUUCUAACAAUUGUGUUAAGUUUUGGUGCUUUUUGAUAGCUUUAUGCUCACCAAAGCAAUUUAAGAAUGAGGGAGAGCUAUUUAUAGUUCAUGGCAAAGCUUUUGAAAGCUUAAAUUUAUGAAGAAAUCAAGCUAUGGAGCCUCAUAAUCCUUUGCCUUAGUCGUUCAAAGUAUACAAGGAAGAAACAAUGGAGAAGAGGAAAACAGGNNNNNNNNNNNNNNNNNNNNNNNNNNNNNNNNNNNNNNNNNNNNNNNNNNNNNNNNNNNNNNNNNNNNNNNNNNNNNNNNNNNNNNNNNNNNNNNNNNNNUUGUAAUUAGUUCUUUUAAACACCCUUGAGUAGUAAUUAUUACCUUUUAACCCAAUUAACAUGUUAGGGACCCUUGCAAUCAUUUCUAACAAUUGUGUUAAGUUUUGGUGCUUUUUGAUAGCUUUAUGCUCACCAAAGCAAUUUAAGAAUGAGGGAGAGCUAUUUAUAGUUCAUGGCAAAGCUUUUGAAAGCUUAAAUUUAUGAAGAAAUCAAGCUAUGGAGCCUCAUAAUCCUUUGCCUUAGUCGUUCAAAGUAUACAAGGAAGAAACAAUGGAGAAGAGGAAAACAGGGGACACAGCUGCAGUCUUUCAUUGCACUUUUGGAACACUUCCCGAAGUCCAUUUUUUACAUUCUAUAUACCAUAUCAAAGCUCAGAAAGUCAAGAAUCCAACGGUUCAAACCAUGUACGAUUUGGAGCUGAAAUGAGAAAGAUAUGGCCUUCGGAAGACAACUGCAUCAAGCUGAGGGACAAUUUCGCACGAUGGAAAUCAAGGUGAGAAUUCCUCAGUCCACUGUGCGAAAAUUUCGCACACCUCAAAUCAAAGUGCGAAAUUGGAACUCCAGCGUGUGAAAAUUGGAUAUUUUUGCCGACUCUUUUUCUUUUGAUAUUUUUGUGUCUAAAUUUCCAUUUUCUCCUUGUAUUCAACCACUCAUGUAAUUCCUUAGCUAGGAAGUAUCCAAGGAAGGGUAAAAUUACCUUCCUAUAUAAAUUCUCUUGUAAUCACUGAAAACGGAUCUUUCGGGGAGCUUUCUCCAGGAGACCAACUGAUGUAAAUUUGAUACUUAGUGAAAUACAGAGAUCUCUUUUGCUUUCUUUUUCUCUCUUCUAUUUUCUAUUUUCUUGCAAGCCAAACACCCUCUGAGGAUGUUUUCCCAGAGGAUGAGAGGCUAAACAUUUAGUUUCUUGGAGUAAAGGAAGCUAGGUGAAAAGUUCAGAUUAAAACAUGGAAAGUUUCCGUGCAUUAAAUUCAGGUAGUUGGAGUCCAUAAAUGGUUUUUUAAAGCCAAGGUUUUGCCUUAAAUCCCUUCGAAUCACUUUGACUGGCCAAUACAUGGUAAGCUUAAGGUCUCUGUGGAUGCUUAUUGCUAGAUCCAUAUCAGUCCAUUAGUUAUCAUGUACGAGCCAUUGGAAAGUGAUUCAAGGUGAUAGCCCAUAGUGUCUUAAGCCAUUUAUGGACCUUAACCACCAUCUCUAGUGACUUUUUAUGGAUUAAAACUUCAUUGUCAAACCUAUACCGGUUCGGGAAAUAACUAUAGGUUAAAUCCCCAAUGUGAGGAGAAAAAUCCAGAAUUUUCCACUUUGCAUCUGGAACUUGAACCUAGCAACCUUUAGCUCCGGGAGACUUUCUUUCUUCCACUUUUUACUUAGUUCUAUGUGAGUUUAGUUUAAAUCACCACUUUCAAAACAAUUUUAUUUUCUUUUAAAUUUCAAGUUUGUGCUAAAGGAAAUCAUCAGAAUCAAUUUCUAAUUUAGAGUCUGUCACUGAUAGAGUGAAAACCCAUCCCUGAGUUCGACCCUAGAACUACUAUACUAUAGUAGCUUUGCUACGCCAGUAUAAGGUCAUAGGUUUUAUAAAUGUUUUUGAUUAAAAGACUCGGUUGGGCAUCGAAUCAAAUGACGCCGUUGCCAGGGAUGGUGCCACAAUACAGUGAUACAACCUUUUAGAGGCUACUUGUGAUUUUCAUCACAACCAGGGUGAAUUCCUUUUUCACUAAUUUCAUUUUCUUUCAUUUUCCUUUUGUUAAUUUUAUUUUCAUUUUCUUCCUAACUUUAACCUUUUCUUUAGUUUCCUUUUGUUUUUACUAUUACAGGAAUUGUAACUUGUGCAUGCCCUAUUGGAUUAGGGACCAAGAGGGAAGAUUAGUAAGGAUUGAGAAUCCUCAAGACAUAGAGUUGGAUAUCUGUGUAAAUAUCAUGGACCCUCCACCAGAGGAUCAGAAUUCUCAACAAGGUCAAGGGGGUAAUCCCAAUGCAUACCUAUCCAUGAGGGAUAGAAUGCAUCCCCCAAGGAUGAGUGCACCCUCAUGCAUCCUGCCCCCACUUGAGCAGUUGGUUAUAAGGCCCCAUAUUGUGCCCCUCCUACCAACUUUCCAUGGAAUGGAGAGUGAGAAUCCAUAUUCUCACAUCAAGGAGUUUGAGGAGGUGUGUAAUACCUUUAGAGAGGGAGGAGCUUCAAUAGACUUGAUGAGACUCAAGCUAUUCCCUUUCACUUUGAAGGACAAGGCAAAAAUAUGGCUUAAUUCUUUAAGGCCAAGAAGCAUAAGGAAUUGGGUUGAUCUUCAGGCUGAGUUUUUGAAAAAAAUUUUCCCCACCCAUAGGACCAAUGGGUUGAAGAGAUAAAUCUCAAAUUUUUCUGCUAAAGAAAAUGAGAAGUUCCAUGAAUGUUGGGAAAGGUAUAUGGAGGCCAUCAAUGCUUGUCCUCAUCAUGGUUUUGAUACAUGGCUCUUAGUGAGCUAUUUUUAUGAUGGAAUGUCUUCUUCCAUGAAGCAAAUUCUUGAAACCAUGUAUGGGGGAGAUUUUAUGAGUAAGAAUCCUGAAGAAGCCAUGGACUUUUUAAGUUACGUGGCUGAGGUGUCAAGAGGAUGGGAUGAGCCCAACUCAAGAGAGAAAGGAAAGUUUCCCUCUCAACAAACCCAAAAUCCAAAGGCUGGAAUGUACAUGUUAAGUGAAGACGUGGACAUAAAAGCUAAAGUGGCAACAUUAGCUAGGAGGUUGGAAGAACUUGAGUUGAAAAAAAUACAUGAAGUCCAAGCCAUUUCCGAUACCCAAGUCCAUGUUAUGCCAUGCACCAUUUGCCAAUCAUGUGAUCAUGUGGUAGAUGAGUGUCCAACCAUGCCAGCUGUGAGAGAGAUGUUAGGUGAUCAAGUAAAUGUUGUGGGGCAAUUUAGGCCCAACAACAGUGCAUCUUAUGGAAACACCUAUAAUUCAAGCUAGAGAAACCACCCAAAUUUUUCUUGGAAACCAAGGCCACCUCCAUACCAACCACAAGGCCAAACCCAAGUACCUCAACAACCAUCUUCAGUGGAGCAAGCCAUUGUAAACCUGAGUAAAGUCAUGGGUGACUUUGUGGGUGAACAAAAGGCAAUUAACUCCCAAUUGCAUCAAAAGAUUGAAAAUGUUGAGAGUUCUCAAAUAAAGAGAAUGGAGGGGAUGCAAAAUGAUCUAUCUCAGAAGAUAGAUAAUAUUCAGUACUCCAUCUCUAGGCUUACCAACCUAAACACAGUGAUUGAGAAGGGAAAGUUCCCCUCUCAACCAAGCCAAAAUCCCAAGGGUGUUCAUGAAGUUGAAACCCAAGAUGGUGAGUCUUCAAAUUUGAGAGAGGUCAAAGCUGUGAUCACUUUGAGAAGUGGGAAGGAGGUUGAUCAACCCUUGCCUAACGUGGAGCCUGAUGAAGAACUCAGGUCAAAGAGACCCUUGAUUAAAGAGAGCAAGAGCCAAGAAGAGAAGAGUGGGAAGAAGAGUGCAUCCAAAUCAAGCAUCGAGGAAGAACCAAGGAUAGUGAUUAAGGAGGAUAUGAUGAAGAAACAUAUGCCUCCCCCUUUUCCUCAAGCUUUACAUGGAAAGAAAGAAAUCAAGAAUUCAUCAGAAAUUCUUGAGGUUCUGAGACAAGUGAAGGUGAAUAUACCCUUACUUGAUAUGAUCAAGCAAGUCCCCACAUAUGCAAAGUUUCUAAAGGACUUGUGCACAGUCAAGAGAGGUUUACAGGUGACAAAGAAUGCAUUCCUCACUGAGCAAGUGAGUGCUAUCAUCCAGAGUAAGUCCCCAGUUAAGUAUAAAGAUCCGGGAUGUCCUACCAUAUCAGUCAACAUUGGAGGGACACAUGUGGAAAAAGCUUUAUUAGAUUUGGGAGCAAGUGUGAAUUUGCUCCCAUACUCUGUGUAUAAACAAUUGGGACUAGGAGGAUUAAAGCCCACAACCAUGACCCUCUCUUUAGCUGAUAGGUCUGUCAAAAUCCCAAGGGGAGUGAUAGAGGAUGUUCUAGUUCAAGUGGACAAAUUCUACUAUCCUGUGGAUUUUGUGGUGCUUGAUACUGAUUCCACUGUCAAGGAAGAAAAUUAUGUACCAAUCAUCCUAGGGAGACCUUUCCUAGCUACCUCCAAUGCUAUUGUUAAUUGUAGGAAUGGGGUGAUGCAGCUCACAUUUGGAAACAUGACAUUGGAAUUAAACAUAUUCCAUUUAUGUAAGAGGCAUCUUUACCCUGAAGAGGAGGAAGGAUUCGAGGAGAUGUGCUUGAUCAACACUUUGGUUGAAGAGCACUGUGACAAGAGUUUAGAGGAGAGCUUGAAUGAAAACCUGGAAGUCCUUGAAGAUGGGUUCCCUGAACCCUUUGAUGUGCUAGCCAUAAUGUCUCCUUGGAGGAGACGGGAAGAGAUCUUACCACUGUUCAACCAGGAAGACUCACAAGGAGUUACUGUGGAGGACCCUCCAAAGCUUAUUUUAAAGCCACUUCCUGUGGAUUUGAAGUAUGCAUACUUGGAGGAUGAUGAGAAAUGUCCAGUGGUAGUUUCCUCAACCCUCACUAGUGAUCAAGAGGAUAGUCUUUUAGGAGUCCUCAGAAAAUGUAAGAAAGCCAUUGGAUGGCAAAUUUCUGAUCUGAAAGGGAUUAGCCCUUUGGUGUGCACCCACCAUAUUUAUAUGGAGGAAGAUGCAAAACCAGUGAGGCAACCCCAAAGGAGACUGAAUCCUCAUAUGCAAGAAGUGGUGAGGAAUGAAGUUUUGAAGCUACUUCAAGAUGGGAUCAUAUAUCCCAUCUCAGACAGCUUGUGGGUGAGUCCCACCCAAGUAGUCCCAAAGAAAUCUGGAAUCACUGUGAUCCAGAAUGUGAAUAGGAAGGAUUGGUCUAUCAAGCUCCUGGAUUCCUUAUGGGCUUAUAGGACCGCUUACAAGACCAUUCUAGGAAUGUCUCCCUAUCGCCUUGUUUAUGGCAAAGCGUGUCAUCUUCCAGUAGAGAUUGAGUAUAAAGCAUGGUGGGCAAUCAAAAAGCUCAACAUGGAUUUGACAAGAGCCGGGUUAAAGAGAUGUUUGGAUUUGAAUGAAUUGGAGGAAAUGAGGAAUGAUGCAUACCUCAAUUCAAAAAUUGCAAAAGCAAGGUUAAAAAAAUGGCAUGAUCAAUUGGUAAAUCAAAAGAAUUUGAUCAAGGGACAAAGAGUUUUGCUUUAUGAUUCUAAACUUCAUCUCUUUCCAGGAAAAUUGAAAUCCAGAUGGACGGGUCCUUUCAUAAUUCAUGAAGUGCAUCCCAACGGAGUGGUGGAAGUAUUCAACCCCACAGGCAAUCAAACCUUCAAAGUAAAUGGCCAUCGUCUCAAGCCAUUCAUAAAGCCUUACAGUACAGACAAGGAGGAGAUCAACCUCCUUGAACCACCACAACUCUGAGGGAAAGCAGGGUAUCAUGGGCUAAAUAAGUCCAUGAAUUUUUUGUUAUAGUUUUAUAGUUAUAUCAUUAUUUUUAUUUCUUUUUAUUAUAAUUUUUCCUCAAUCUUAGUUUAUUUUGUCUUAAUUCAAGUCAAUUUUGAUGAUAAAUUUUAGAAAAAAAAAUCAUGAAAGAUGGGGAGAACUCUUCAAAAGCAAGACAGGGGAGUAAAACCAAGGAAACAGAGCACCUGAUUUCAAGGUGCGAAAAUUUCGCACACCUGAUUCCAAGGUGCGAAAAUUUCGCACACCCCAAAACCAAGGUGCGAAAUUUAUUUCAAGGUGCGAAAAAUGAUUUCAAGGUGCGAAUUCCCUAAAAACCAAUUUCGCACACCACUGUGCAAGGUGCGAAAAUUUUCGCACUGUGCGAAAUCCCCUCCUGGCACACGAGUGCCAUUUUCGCACACCUCAAGCCACUUUUCGCACCGUGCGAAACAAGGUGCGAAAAUUUCGCACACCUGAUUUCAAGGUGCGAAAAUUUCGCACACCUCAUUUUAAGGUGCGAAAUCCUCAGUUAAAGGGGUGCCAUUUUCGCACACCUAAUUUCAAGGUGCGAAAUUUGCAGACCAAGGUGCGAAAAUUUCGCACGGUAAAAUUUUAAGUUCCAAAAAAAUUUUCAACGGACUUUUAAAUUAAAAUUUUACCCCCGAAAUUGUGCCUAACGUCCAAAAACGACUUUUCGGUUGCCUUGGAAAAUUUUAAAACAUAAAAAACCCCCUAAACCUCAUUCCUAUAUAAUCCCUUGAAGUCCAGAAGCUCAAAGGACUCCCCCACGAACCAGCUGAGAAGCCUCUGGAAUCCCGAACAGUCACCCACCUCCAUUUCGGCCAUGGCGAAGACCAGAGGAGGCCUUUCCGGCUCCCCAUCCUCACCGACACCUCGGCCACAUCGAGCCGCCAUGGGAGCCGCAGCUUCGCCACCUGUUCAGGCCCCGGCCAUUCCCCCAUCUGAGGGGGAAGCCCCUUCUCAGCGCCGAUACCCCACCAGGAGACCCCCCACGGACCCUAUGCCACUAGCCGAUCAAGCCACGAGCUCUGUUUCUCGGCCACCAGCGAAGAGAACCAAGUUCUCGGGUCCUGGAGAGCCAUCCCACGCACCUCAGCCAGAGCCACCUACAGAGGACUCUCGGAUUCCUGUGGGGAUUACUCCUGAGACCGUUAUCAGGCGUCCCAUGAUAGCCGGACCACCGAUAGAGGGCAACUUGGAUUGCAGAGAUCGAUCCUUCCAUUCCGAGACCUACUUUGAUAUAGAGGCCCUCAGACAGCAGCCAGAGCUCAGAGAUUCAUUCCGACUACUACAGAGGUAUCACAUGGAGGAUCUUCUCACUCCUAGGCAAUUCUACUAUCCCAGAGUAGUUAUAGAUUUUUAUCAAUCUAUGACUACUCGAGGCCUCCGUAAUCCUACCCUCAUCCAAUUUACCAUAGAUGGACGCCAGGGUGCCAUUGGAGCUCGUCACAUUGCUGAGGCCCUCCGUAUACCUUAUGAGCCUGUGAUUCAGGCAGACUUCAGGGAGUGGUCCUCAUUCUCUCAGAGUGACAUGGUCCGCAUUUUGUCCAGGGGGACUUCUACAGCCUCAGUGUUGACUAGGAGAGAGCUUCCAUCUGGGAUGCUCCUUAUUGAUGUGCUCCUGCGUGCCAACCUUUUCCCCCUUCAGCACAAAGUUCAGAGGCGAGGAGCUAUACUUGAGGCGUUAUUUAGGAUUUCUGAGGGCUAUUUCUUCAGCCCUCAUCAUUUGAUUAUGACUUCUCUUCUUCAUUUUGAAGAGAAAGUCCAUCAGAAGAAGCUUCAAAGGGCAGAUGGCAUCCCAUUACUAUUUCCGAGGCUUCUCUGCCAGAUUUUAGAGCACCUGGGCUAUCCUGAACAGCCCCGUCUUGAGAGGCGCCGCCAUUGCCGAGAGGACUUCUCUCUCGACAAAUGGCAUCACUUGGUAGCCUACUUUGCACCCCAGGGAGCCCCAGUUGUGCCUGCACCUCCAGAGCUACCCCAAGAUGAGCAGUUGCCUCAGGCCCAGCAGGAUGAGAUUCUCACAGAGACCACACCUCCUGCCCCUGCAGCACACCCCUCAUAGCAUAUUCCUGAGCCUAUACAUCUUAUUUCUCCUAUCAUUUCGGGUGCUCCACCAGUCAUGCCAGCUACCCCAGCACCUCCUCCUUCAUCUGAGCCCACUGUCACCGUUUCUCUUACGGAAUUCAGAGGCUUAGAGCAUUCAUUGCGGACACUGAGCAUUGCUCAGGAUUCUAUUAUCCACCAGAUGGCCACUAUUUGGGCACACCAGGAUCAGAUCAUUGCUACUCAGGCCCAGCAUACCACGAUCCUUCAUCAGAUUCAGCAGCAUUUGAGUAUGCAGACAUCUUUUGGGCAUGAUAGGUCUGCACCAUCCGAGCCUCUAGUGCCAGAUAAGGAGAGCUUACCAGCUGAGCAGCCCAUACUAGAGGAGGAGAUCAGAGCAGAGCCAUCACAUGACACCCCUCAUAUUUGAUAUUUUUAUAUUUUACUUGUUUUUUAUUUUAGACUUGUAAAUCCCAUCUUUUGCAUGUGUUAUAAACUGGGAUUGGAAGUAUUACUUGAAAUCAUACAUUGUAUAUUUCUUUUACAAAUAAUAUAUAUAUAUAUAUAUAUCCUUUUUUAUUAUAUUCCCUUUUCUCAUUACUCUUUUGUCCUUGGAACAUGUGGUUUAAGGUACUCCAUACCUCCUUUACACUCAGACUUUGUCUCACUCAGGAGGUACCACUUCCUCCCUUUAUUUUUAAUCGCUCUUGAAACAUUGAGGACAAUGUUCAACUUGGUUGGGGGGAGAGUUGAGAAAGGAAGUUUUGUUGUUAAUACUAAGUUAUUUUGGUAUUUUAGUUGAUUUUUGCUUAAAAUUUAAAAUUUUUAAAAGUUUUUUGAAUCAUUCUCUAUGGUUGUUAAAGAUAAUUUCUCAAAAAUAAAAUAGGAUAAGUCGAGUUUUAACUUAAUUAUUUAAGUCUUAGAGUUUGUUUUAUGCUUUCAAAGUUGAUAAUCUAUUGAAGCCUCUUUGAUUUAGAACUUUCUUCUUCCAUUUCAAGCUUUACACACACUGUGCACAUUAGAUCCCGGAUAUAUGAUGUAAAACUUUCUCACCUUCUAAGCUUAGGAAAAUUUUGACUUGGUUCAUUACUUAACCUCUCUUUAAUAAUGUUGGGACACCUCAUAAAGACCAAUGAGUCUUUGAAAAAAAAAAAAAAACAAAGAAGAAUAAGCUUCUAUUCUUUCCUUGAAACCUAAGCAUGAUCCGAAGGGGUGCCGAAAGCCUUUAAAACCCGAUGCCCUAAACCUUGAUUGGUUGGGAGUCAUCGAUCCUCUGCUUGCUACAUAGGUGAAUUGGUUAAGAUUAGUGAGUAAAAAGAAUUGUGAAUAAGAAGGUGCGUUCCUAACCUAUUAAGAGUUGAUUAAUUUUGCCAAUGUUCGAGAAAAGCUUAGGUUGGAGGGUGAGGAUAGUUGUAUAUACUAUAUCAGGAAGCUAAUCUCAUUAACACUUAGCUUAUUAUGGAAGAGUUUGAUUUGGAACCUUGAGAGUAGAGAUUCUUUUGAUACUUAAUUGCAUAAUCUCCACUCUUUGUACUUUUUGUUUAAGUUUUAAGCUUUGACAACUCCUAUUGCAUUUUGAAUCUUCAUAUCUUUAGUUCACCAGGUGAGAUGUGUUUGGAUAUCAGUCAUGCCUCUCAAUUAUUUUUUGGAAUGAAUUGCAUGACCUCUUUUAUGUAUAUUAUUACGUUUGCUUAGUUUUUCUCUCCUUAAUUGCUAAGGGACUAGCAAUAUGUCGGUUGGGGGGAGUGAUUACUACUCAAAACAUGCUAUUUUGUAGCUUGUAAUUAGCUCUUUUAAACACCCUUGAGUAGUAAUUAUUACCUUUUAACCCAAUUAACAUGUUAGGAACCCUUGCAAUCGUUUCUAACAAUUGUGUUAAGUUUUGGUGCUUUUUGAUAGCUUUAUGCUCACCAAAGCAAUUUAAGAAUGAGGGAGAGCUAUUUAUAGUUCAUGGAAAAGCUUUUGAAAGCUUAAAUUUAUGAAGAAAUCAAGCUAUGGAGCCUCAUAAUCCUUUGCCUUAGUCGUUCAAAGUAUACAAGGAAGAAACAAUGGAGAAGAGGAAAACAGGGGACACAGCUGCAGUCUUUCAUUGCACUUUUGGAGCACUUCCCGAAGUCCAUUUUUUACAUUCUAUAUACCAUUUCAAAGCUCAGAAAGUCAAGAAUCCAACAGUUCAAACCAUGUACAAUUUGGAGCUGAAAUGAGAAAGAUAUGGCCUUCGGAAGACAACUGCAUCAAGCUGAGGGACAAUUUCGCACGAUGGAAAUCAAGGUGCGAAUUCCUCAGUCCACUGUGCGAAAAUUUCGCACACCUCAAAUCAAAGUGCGAAAUUGGAACUCCAGCGUGCGAAAAUUGGAUAUUUUUGCCGACUCUUUUUCUUCUGAUAUUUUUGUGUCUAAAUUUCCAUUUUCUCCUUGUAUUCAACCACUCAUGUAAUUCCUUAGCUAGGAAGUAUCCAAGGAAGGGUAAAAUUACCUUCCUAUAUAAAUUCUCUUGUAAUCACUGAAAAUGGAUCUUUCGGGGAGCUUUCUCCAGGAGACCAACUGAUGUAAAUUUGAUACUUAGUGAAAUACAGAGAUCUCUUUUGCUUUCUUUUUCUCUCUUCUAUUUUCUAUUUUCUUGCAAGCUAAACACCCUCUGAGGAUGUUUUCCCAGAGGAUGAGAGGCUAAACAUUUAGUUUCUUGGAGUAAAGGAAGCUAGGUGAAAAGUCCAGAUUAAAACAUGGAAAGUUUUCGUGCAUUAAAUUCAGGUAGUUGGAGUCCAUAAAUGGUUUUUUAAAGCCAAGGUUUUGCCUUAAAUCCCUUCGAAUCACUUUGACUGGCCAAUACAUGGUAAGCUUAAGGUCUCUGUGGAUGCUUAUUGCUAGAUCCAUAUCAGUCCAUUAGUUAUCAUGUANNNNNNNNNNNNNNNNNNNNNNNNNNNNNNNNNNNNNNNNNNNNNNNNNNNNNNNNNNNNNNNNNNNNNNNNNNNNNNNNNNNNNNNNNNNNNNNNNNNNUCGAAUCACUUUGACUGGCAAUAACAUGGUAAGCUUAAGGUCUCUGUGGAUGCUUAUUGCUAGAUCCAUAUCAGUCCAUUAGUUAUCAUGUACGAGCCAUUGGAAAGUGAUUCAAGGUGAUAGCCCAUAGUGUCUUAAGCCAUUUAUGGACCUUGACCACCAUCUCUAGUGACUUUUUAUGGAUUAAAACUUCAUUGUCAAACCUAUACCGGUUCGGGAAAUAACUAUAGGUUAAAUCCCCAAUGCGAGGAGAAAAAUCCGGAAUUUUCCACUUUGCAUCUGGAACUUGAACCUAGCAACCUUUAGCUCCGGGAGACUUUCUUUCUUCCACUUUUUACUUAGUUCUAUGUGAGUUUAGUUUAAAUCACCACUUUCAAAACAAUUUUAUUUUCUUUUAAAUUUCGAGUUUGUGCUAAAGGAAAUCAUCAGAAUCAAUUUCUAAUUUAGAGUCUGUCACUGAUAGAGUGAAAACCCAUCCCUGAGUUCGACCCUAGAACUGCUAUACUAUAGUAGCUUUGCUACGCCAGUAUAAGGUCAUAGGUUUUAUAAAUGUUUUUUAUUAAAAGACCCGGCUGGGCAUCGAAUCACUCCAUAAUCGAAUAGAACCUUCCCUCGCUUGCCAAGCUACUUUUGCCUUUAGAAUUGGCGUCGAAGCCAGACAAGUGAUCCAUGUCAUACACGAGGGACCAAUGGGUAGUCAAUGAAAAAGCAAAUGACAUGCCAAGACGUUGAUAAAAGAUGCAAAACGUGUGACCCAUAUUUGCAAUGUGGGAGUCAUAUUUGUCAUCGGAAGCCUAGUUCCAAUGGAUAAAACCAUUGUAUUUUCCAAAGUUGACCUACUCUAUGUCGCUCAGCCACAUGAAAAUGCCUUCAUCCUAACACUAAACAUUGUCGAAUACGAUGUGUGUCGUAUAGUGAUCGACCAAGGAAGUUUUGUGGACCUCAUACAUAUAUCUACCUACAAGCAAAUAAACCUUUCGAUGCAUGUGUUGGAAAGUCCAGGGAGGGCUUUGUUGAGCUUCAACAACUCAACCACAUUUUCUCUCAAUGACAUCAUGUUUCCCAUCUCCGUCCCUUCUCUAUACAACGCAAUCCUCGAUAGGCCUUGAAUCCACAUCAUGAAGGUCAAAUAGACAUUUACAAAGAUUAGACGACAUCACGGCGAUACUAUCAGAUGAUGAUGUUUAUGAUCCCUAGUAUAGGCAAAGGAGAAAGGGGCUCAAGGGGGAAAAAAAAUAGGAACUACCAAAAGAUUCCAGCUUGAAAUCGAACAAACGGGAGUCCUCGGCCACUGAGCUGCUAAUUGCCAUCAAUCUAUUUGAUGAGUCCUCUAUAAAGUGUUUUUGGAGAAAAUAUUGUUGGAAGAGGAAAAGAAUAGGUUCACUUAGCUGCUAAGGCAAAAUGCAAAUGUCUUAGCAUGGAAACACUCCAACUUAGAGGGGAUUCACCUCUCAAUAGCUUGCCACCACUUGAAUGUGAAGGGAAGAUGGUGCUCGAUUAGAUAAAAAUUGCAUAAAUUUUAUGAAGAAUAACAUAAGAUCAUUGUGGAAGAAAUAAACCAAUUGCUCGAAGUCGGAUUUAUCCAAGAGGUGCAAUACCCGGAAUAGCUAGCCAACGUUUCCGUGGUCCCGAAGAAAAAUAGUAAAUGGCGUGUGUGCAUUGACUUCAUUGAUCUUAAUGAAGCUUUCCUGAAAAACAGUUUUAUUCUCUCUUGGAUAGACCAAAUCGUUGACGCCACAGUAGGCUAUGAACUUUUAUUCUUUUUAGACGCCUUUUUUGGGUACAAUCAGAUACCAAUAUACCUACCAUAUGCGGAGAAGACGACUUUUAUUACUAGUCGGGGCUUACUAUGUUAUGAUGUAAUGUCAUUCAACCUUAAGAAUGCUGAAGCAACCUAUUAGCGAUUGGUGACGAAGAUAUUCUAACAUUUAUUAGGAUAAAACAUAGAAUUUUAUAUCGACGACAUGUUGAUCAAAAGCAAGCUGAAGCAUAACUACCUUCAAGACCUUGCUAAGGCUUUUGCUCUACUUCGCAUAUAUGACAUGACAUUGAAUCCCGAAAAUUGUGCAUUUGGAGUGCAGGUGAGCAUAUUUCUUGGUUACUUGGUGACGAAGUGUGGGAUAAAAGCUAGCCGACAGCAAAUCAAAGCCCUAUAAGAAAUGGCCCUCCCACAAUGGUCAAAUAGGUCCAACGGCUAACUAGAAAAUAAAUGGCCGACAAGUUGCAACAUUUCUUUGAAGUGCUCAGGAAGAAAAAGAAGUUCGAGUGGGAUGAGCAAUGUAAUUAGGCCUUCAUUGCCAUCAAAAGCUAUUUGGCUAUUUUCCCGUUCUUAGUUUGCCAUGCGAAGACAAAAAAUUGUAUGUAUGCUUAGCGGCUAUAAGUGUGGUGGUAAGUUCUGCCUUAGUUUGUUCAGAUGAAUAAGACACCCAACAACUGGUAUACUUUGUCAACAAAACUCUCCUUGAUGCAAAAACUUGAUACUUUAAGCUUGAAAAGGUGGCCCUAGCAUGGCACACUGUGGCUAAGAAGCUCAAGCCAUAUUUCUAAGCGCACGCCAUGUUGUCCUUAUAGACCAGCUUAUGUGGGUCGUGUUGCACAAGUCGGGUCUCUCCGAUCAGCUGGUUAAGUGGGCUAUCAAGUUGGGUGAUUUCGGGAUCAAGUAUAGGCCACGACAAAGCCUCAAAGACUAAGUAUUAACAAAUUUCAUCGUCGAACUUUUAGGAUAUGAGAGCCUGGAAACCGAGAGCAACAAGAAUAGUGAGACAUGGAUUAUUUACGUAGAUGGUUUUUCGAAAACAAAAGGAACUGAAGUUAGAGUUGUCCUCAAGUCCCCCAUUGGAGAUGAACUAGAAUAAUCCAUCAACUUGAGUUUCCUGGCAUCCAUCGACGAGGUCGAAUACGAAGCAAUACUCAUAGGGCUAAGAAUGGCCAGCCAACUACAGGUAAGAAAAUUUGAUGUUUGUAGUGACUCCCAACUUGUUGUCAACCAAGCAGAAUGACACUAUGAAGCACACAAUGAAAGAAUGGCCAAAUACUUAGACGUUGUAAAGAGGAAAACCUCUUGAUUCUAUUUUGUAGGCUUCACAUUGGUUCCUAGAGAGGAAAAAUGUUUAGGUUGAUGCCCUCGCCAACCUGGGUUCUUCCUUUUCGAGUAAGUAGAGUUAGGCAUUCCCGAUCGAGUUUUUAGAAGAAUCUUCUUUUAUGGAGAUGGAGGAACAAUUAAUACACUCGACACCCCCGCCAAUUCCUAGUUGAACUCGUACGUCGAGUACCUAAAAGAUGACACGCUCCCGAAAUAUGAAAAAAAAAACCCAGAGGCUUUGGGUAAACGCCACAUGCUUAUGCCUAAUCAAUGACCACUUGUAUAGGUGUUCUUAUGAUAACCCAUAUCUUAAUUGUGUAUAGAAUGAUCAAACUAAACACCUACUUGUCGAAAUCCAUGAAAGAUAGUGUGGUAACCACAACGGGGGACAAUCUUUAGCUCAUAAGAUAUUAUCCAAGAGGUACUAUUGGCCAACCAUCCACAAAAAAAAUAAGACAAGUGCCAAUGUUAUGUAUUGGUAUAUCAUCUCCUGACCGAACAACUUACACCUAUUGUGAGCCACUGGCUGUUCGCACAAUGGGGACCUGACAUUGUUGGACUACCACCUACGAUGCUUGCUCAAAAACAUUUUCUCCUGGUAGCCACAGAUUACUUCUCAAAGUGGGUCAAAGUGGAGACUUAUGCUACCAUCAAGGACACUAAAGUAUGAAAUUUUGUGUGGCGAACAAUUGUUUGCUGAUUCAACAUCCCCUCAGCACUAGUAUUUGGUAAUGACAUCCAAUUCAACAAUCGUAUUUUCUGCCAGUUUUGCACUGACCUCAAAAUCAAGAACUUCUACUCUACAUCAUGCUUAUCUCAAAACAACGGCCAAACUGAAGCCACUAACAAGACCAUAUUAGACUGUCUGAAAAAAAGGUUGGAGAAGGCCAAAGAAAAGUGAGUCGAAGAGCUCUUGGGUGUCUUAUGGGCCAAUCGGACAACUCAAAAGAGGCCAACUGGAGAAUCAUCAUUUUCUAUAGCCUUUGGAAUGGAGGCCGUCAUUCCAACCGAAAUUGGUUUACCCAUAGAACAUACAACUUUAGUAAAUGCAGAUUCCCAUUUAGCCUCAAUCGAGCUUUCUUUGGACCUAGCCAACAAAAGGUGGGAUGAGGUGACCAUACAGAUGCCCGUUUACCACCAGCGGGUCAUGGCGCAAUACAACAAAAGGGUUCAGAGUUGAAAGUUUCAUCUUAGGUAUCUCAUACUCUAGUAUGUUUUUAAAAAUGCAAAAGAGUCGAGAGAUGGCAAACUUGGCCCUAACUGAGAAUGACCCUACUGAGUAACAUGUGUCGGGCCUAACGACGCUUAUCACUUAGAAGCAUUGGAUAGCAAGACCCUUCCAAGGUCUUGUGAUUUGUCCCCAAUUGGUGUACUAUUUAAUUCAGUCCUUAGACAGGAGUUAUCAACAAAAUUUAUAAAGCUAAUUCACCAUACACUAGGGUAGCAUAGCUAGCAUAGUAUAUGAUUACUACCCAAAAAGUGUUAUUUUGCGCCUUUAAUUCAUUAUGUUUUAAGCACUUUUGUGUAGUAGUUCUCCAUUUUUAUUCCAAUUGUCAUGUUAAGGACCUAGCAAUGACUUCUAAUCAUAUUUGUGGCUAGUUUUAGUGUUUUGACAGCUCUUUGGUUCAUUAAGACAAGUCAAGUAAUGGGGAAAAGCAAAGAGGAAAACAGAGUGAAGAAAAUAGAGGACAGCAGCUGCAGUCUUCCUUUGCACUUUUAGAGCACUUUCCGAAGUCCAUUUUCUACAUACUAUAUACCAUUUCAAAUCUCAGGAAGUCAAGAAUCCAACGCUUUAAACCGUGUACCAUUUGGAGCUGAAAUGAGGAAGAUAUGACCUUCGGAAGACAACUGCACCAUGUAUGUGCGAAUUUCGCACAACACACCAUGCAUGUGCGAAUUUCGUACAACACACCAUGCAUGUGCGAAUUUCGCACAACCAACCAAGCAUGUGCGAAUUUCACACCAGCCCAUGCGUCUUUGGUGUGAAAUCUCCUCUAUUCUGCCGACUCCACAUUAGAUCUUUUCUUUUGUUUUUUUUUAUGUAAAUUCCUUUCUUAUCCCUGUAAUUAGCCAAUCACAGGCUUUGUUUUUGUAAAGACUAUAAGAGUGGUGGAAAUCAUCUCUCGAGACGACGACUAAUGUGUUAUGUUUUACACUUAGUAAAACACAGGGCUCUCUUUGCUUUCCUUUUCUCUCUACUAUUUUCUUUUCUUGGAAGCCAAACAACCUCUGAGGAUGUUUUCCCAAAGGAUGAGAGACUAAACUUUUGGUUUCUUGGAGUAAAGGAAGCUAGGUGAAAAGUCCAGAUGCUAAAGUGGAAAACUCUCGUGCAUUAAAUACAGGUAGUUGGAGUUCAUAAAUGGCUUUUAAAUCUAAUGUUUUGCUUUAAAUCCCUUAGAAUCACUUUGAAUGGCCAAUACAUGAUAAGCUUUAGGUCUCUGUGGAUACUUAUUGCUAGAUCCACAUCAAACAAUUAGUUUUCAUGUACGAGCCAUUGGAAAGUGGCUUAAGGUGAAGACCCAUAGUGUCUAAAGCCAUUAAUGGAACUUGACUACCAUUUCUAUUGACUUUUUAUGGAUUAAAUCUUCAUUGUUAAACCUAUACCGGUUCGGGAAACAACCAUCCUUUAUGUUGUUGUCCCCAAUACGAGAAGAAGAAUCCGAAAUUUCCACUUUGCAUUCUGAACUUGAUCCUAGCAACCCUUAGCUCCGGGAGACUUUCUUUCUUCCAUUUUUACCUAGUUCUAUAUUAGUUUAGUUUCAAACACCACUUUCAAAACAAAUUUUAUUUUCUUUUAAACUUUAAGUUUUUGACAAAGGAAAUCAUCAGAUUCAAUUUCUGAUCUCGAGUAUAUCACUGGUAGAAUGAAAACCCAUCCCAGAGUUCAACCCUAGAGCUGCUAUACUAUAGUAGCUUUGCUAUGCUAGUAUGAGGUCAUAGGAUUUAUAAAUAUUUUUUAUUAAAACACCCGAUUGGGCACGAAUCAAAAUGGUGCCAUUGCCGGGGAUUGUGCCACUUUACAGUGAUAUGACCUUUUCAGAGUACUUGUGAUCUUCAUCACAAGUUUGGUGAAUUCCUUUUUUUUCACUAACUUCAUUUCCUUUCUUUUAAUUGUAGAAUUCCUUUUGUUAAGUUUAUUUUCAUUUUCUUUCUAACCUUAACUUUCUUCUAGCUUUCUUUUGUUUUUGUUGUCUUUGUUUUGUUUCAGGUAAGUAGUAACUUGUGCAUGCCCUAUUGGAUUCGGGACUAAGAGGGAAGACUAGUAAGGAUAGAGAAUUCUCAAGACACAGAGUUGGAUAUCUGUGAAAACAUCAUGGACCCUCCACCAGAGGAUCAGAAUUCUUCACACGGUCAAGGGGGUAAUCCAAAUGCAUAUCUAUCCUUGAGGGAUAGAAUGCACCCACCAAGGAUGAGUGCAUCCUCAUGCAUCGUACCUCAUCUUGAGCAGCUGAUUAUAAGGCCCCAUAUUGUGCCCCUCCUACCAAAUUUCCAUGGAAUGAAGAGUGAGAAUCCAUAUGCCCACAUCAAGGAGUUUGAGGAGGUGUGCAAUACUUUUAGAGAGGGAGAAGCUUCAAUAGACUUGAUGAGAGUCAAGCUAUUCCCUUUUACUUUGAAGGACAAGGCAAAAAUAUGGCUUAAUUCUUUAAGGCCAAGGAGCAUAAGGAAUUGGGUUGAUCUUCAGGCCGAAUUUUUGAAGAAAAUUUUCCCCACCCAUAGGACCAAUGGGUUGAAGAGACAAAUCUCAAACUUUUUUGCCAAAGAAAAUGAGAAGUUCUAUGAAUGUUGGGAAAGGUAUAUGGAGGCCAUCAAUGCUUGUCCUCAUCAUGGAUUUGAUACAUGGCUCUUGGUGAGCUAUUUUUAUGAUGGGAUGUCUUCCUCCAUGAAGCAAAUUCUUGAAACCAUGUGUGGGGGAGAUUUUAUGAGUAAGAAUCAGGAAGAAGCCAUGGACUUUUUAAGUUAUGUGUCUGAGGUAUCAAGAGGAUGGGAUGAGCCCAACUCAAGAGAAAUGGGAAGGAUGAAAGCUCCUGUAAAUCCAAAGGGUGGAAUGUACAUGUUAAGUGAGAACAUGGACAUGAAAGCUAUGGUGGCAACAAUGGCAAGGAGGUUGGAAGAACUUGAGUUGAAAAAAAUGCAUGAAGUCCAAGCCAUUUCCGAGACACAAGCCUAUGUCAUGCCAUGCACCCUUUGCCAAUCAUGUGAUCAUGUGGUAGAUGAGUGCCCAACCAUCCCAGCUGUGAGGGAGAUGUUAGGUGAUCAAGCCAAUGUUGUGGGGCAAUUUAGGCCCAACAACAAUGCACCUUAUGGAAACACCUAUAAUUCAAGUUGGAGAAACCAUCCAAAUUUUUCUUGGAAACCGAGGCCACCUCCAUACCAACCACAAGCCCAAACCCAAGCACCUCAACAAACCUCUUCAAUGGAACAAGCCAUUGUGAACCUAAGUAAAGUCAUGAGUGACUUUAUGAGUGAACAAAAGGCAAUCAACUCCCAAUUGCACCAAAAGAUUGAAAAUGUUGAGAGUUCUCAAAUUAAGAGAAUGGAUGGGAUGCAAAAUGAUCUAUCUCAGAAGAUAGAUAAUAUUCAAUACUCCAUCUCUAGGCUUACCAACCUCAACACAGUGAAUGAGAAAGGAAAGUUUCCCUCUCAACCAAGCUAAAAUCCCAAGGGUGUUCAUGAAGUUGAAACCCAAGAUGGGGAGUCUUCAAAGUUGAGGGAGGUCAAAGCUGUGAUCACCUUGAGGAGUGGGAAGGAGGUUGAUCAACCUUUGCCUAAGAUGAGGCAAGAUAAAGAACUCAUGUCAAAGAGAACCUUGGUUAAAGAGACCAAUAACCAAGAAGAGAAGAGUGGGAAGAAAAGUGCAUCCAAAUCAAGCAUUGAAGAAGAGCCAAGGAUAGUGAUUAAAGAGGAUAUGAUGAAGAAACAUAUGCCUCCCCCUUUUCCUCAAGCUUUACAUGGAAAGAAGGGAAUCAAGAAUUCAUCAGAAAUUCUUGAAGUUUUGAGACAAGUGAAGGUGAAUAUACCCUUACUUGAUAUGAUCAAGCAAGUCUCCACAUAUGCAAAAUUUUUAAAGGACUUGUGCACGGUCAAGAGAGGGUUGCAUGUGACAAAGAAGGCAUUCCUCACUGAGCAAGUAAGUGCCAUCAUUCAGAGUAAGUCUCCAGUUAAGUACAAAGAUCCGGGAUGUCCCACCAUUUCAGUCAACAUUAGAGGGACACAUGUGGAGAAGGCUUUACUAGACUUGAGGGCAAGUGUGAAUUUGCUCCCAUACUCUAUGUAUAAGCAACUGGGACUUGGAGGAUUGAAGCCCACAACCAUCACUCUCUCCUUAGCUGAUAGGUCGGUAAAAAUCCUAAGGGGGAUGAUAGAGGAUGUUCUAGUUCAAGUGGACAAAUUCUACUAUCCUGUGGAUUUUGUUGUGCUUGAUACUGAUCCCACUGUUAAGGAAGCAAAUUAUGUGCCAAUCAUCCUUGGGAGACCUUUCCUAGCUACCUCCAAUGCCAUCAUUAAUUGUAAGAAUGGGGUGAUGCAGCUCACAUUUGGAAAUAUGACCUUGGAAUUAAACAUAUUCCACCUAUGCAAGAGGCAUCUUCACCUAGAAGAGGAGGAAGGAUUGGAGGAGGUGUGCUUGAUCAACACCUCGGUUGAAGAGCAUUGUGACAAGAAUUUAGAAGAGAUCUUGAACGAAAGCCUUGGAGUUCUUGAAGAAGGGUUACUUGAACCCUCUGAUGUGUUAGCCAUCAUGUCUCCUUGGAGGAGACGGGAAGAGAUCUUACCACUGUUCAAUAAGGAGGACUCACAAGGAGCAACUAGGGAGGACCCUCCAAAGCUAGUUUUGAAGCCACUUCCUGUUGAUUUAAAUGCAAACUUCAUAUGGGAUCCGAGCAAGCUGAAUCCGGAUCAAAUUUUUUUUUUGAUGGACUUAGUCUUUCUAAAUACUAGCUAGUCCAUAUCUUUUUCUCUUAUUUUUAAACUUGUUUUUAUUUUGAUUUCUUGCUUUUAUUUUAUUUUGGUUUGAUUUAACUUAGGUUUUUUGAUGAUCAGCGCAGGGGAAUCCAAAAACAGAGGAUCUAGAGCAGUUCAGGCAGUAGACCUCCACAUCUCAGAGGAACAUGGUUCACAUUCUAUCACGAGGGACUUCUGGAGAUACAUGCCUGCUACGUGGGAAAGCUUGAAGAAUGAAAACAAGGAAAAACAGGGGAGAAAAGCCAAGACACAGCAAAAUUCGCACCACCCAAUCAUCUGGUGCGAAAUUCGCACAACACAUCCCCCUUGUGCGAAUUCGCUUUUGUGACCAAUUUUCAAAAGCAUGCUCUCGGUCCCUACCCAAAAUCUCAGUGCGAAAAGGCACAAGAAUGCAAACCUUGUGCGAAAUUGUCUUUAUGACUAUUUAAAAAAAAACAUGCUCUCUGUCUUGGAGAACCAUUGGAAUGCGAAAAUUUUGCAUUUCACUAUUCCUUGUGCGAAAUUCGCAUUUCUCUUUAAAAGCCAUUUUCUCUUCUUCAAUUCUAAGCUUGUUAUUCUUCAAUUCUCUCAACACCUCUCUUCCGAUCACCCCUUUCCAUCCACAAGGUCCUCUCCUUCAUCAUCCCCCAUCCUCAACCCCACCAUGGCAGCCCAUAUCAAGAGCUUCAUUCCAUAGCCGCGGCCAACACUAUUCACAACAGUCUGCACCUUCCAAUUUCAGCUUUUUCUCCUCCUUCCACCAUAAAAAACCCUUCAUUUCUUCACUCAACACUCCAAAUUCAUCCCUAAACCCAACCCAACCUUGAUUUUUCAAAAUCAAAACCUCAAGCAUAGAUUUCAAAGCCACGGUUUCUUCAUAAGAAACCCAUUGCCGCCGGCUAUGGGAACUUCAAAAUCCCUCAUUCUCUUCUUGUGAAGCUCCCACUUCCAAGCUUAGCCACCAUGAAAAACUCUUUUCCUACCUCAGCCAACAUUUCCCGCCCUCAAAAACCAAGAAUUGUUGCCAUUUGAAAGCACCACAAUUUCGCAUUUGCACGGGUGAAUAGUGCAUUGUGCGAAAUUCGCACAACACCCUUUCCUUGUGCGAAAUUCGCACAACACCCUUCCCUUGUGCGAAAUUCGCACAACACCCUUCUCUUGUGCGAAAUUCGCACCACCCUUCCCUUAUGCGAAUUUUUGAGCUUCUUCAUCCCUACCCUCCCAAUCCCAAGCCUCUAAGCCUCAUUUCUUUGCUCUAAUAUGCCUAAGACCCGAGGAGGCUAUGCCUCAGCUCCCCAGAGCAGUCAAAGAGCUGCCCCUGUGCGGGCCCCACAAGAUGCACCCCCACAUUUACCUGAUUCUGCCACUCAGCGCAGAUACCAUACGAGGAGAGCAGCUGCCACGCCUGUGGCCCCUACUCAGAUUCCACCUAGGAGUUCUCCUACAAAGAAGGCCAAGACUUCAGAGCCAGGAGAGUCUUCCAGAGCACCUCGAGAUUCACAGUCUUAGCCCCCUCCCACCAGGCACCCCAUCCUCGCCAGCUCGCCCAUUGAGGGCAACUCCGAUUACCGAUCGAGAGCAUUCCAUGUCGAGGCAUAUUUUGAUCACUCUAUUUUGCGACAACAGCCUGAGUUGGGGGAUUCAUACCGCCUACUUGAGAGGUACCACCUUGUACCCUUUAUGACUCCGCCACAAUUCUUUUAUCCUCGAGUAGCUUUAGACUUUUACCAGUCUAUGACUACUCGUGGCGUCCCGGUACCAGCCUCGAUCCUUUUUACCAUUCAUGGACGCCAAGGUAUUUUGGGGGCUAGACAGAUUGCCGAGGCUUUCCAUAUCCCUUAUGCACCAGCAGAUCCCGCUGCAUUUAGACACUGGGCCCCACUUUCUGAGUGGGACAUGGUUUGUAUACUAUCUUGAGGGACAUCUUCCCAGAGGAUCAUUAUGAGGAAGGAGCUUCCCCCUAGGAUGCUCCUAGUUGAUGUGGUGCUUCGCAACAAUCUUUUUCCUCUUCAGCAUAGAGUGCAGAGGCGAGGGGCCAUUCUAGAGGCGUUAUUCCGUAUCUCUGAGGGCUACUACUUUGGUCCCCAUCAUUUGAUUAUGGCCGUCCUCCUCCAUUUUGAGGAGAAGGUGCAUAAGCGGCGUCUUACGAGGGCAGACACCAUUCUUUUACUUUUUCCUCGACUACUAUGCCAUGUUCUGGCUCAUAUGGGUUUCCCUACAAACCUUCAUUCUGAGCACCGCCGUCAUUGUCGAGAGAGCUUAUCUCUUGACCAAUGGAAUCAGGUAUGGCUCCAUCAGCAUUCCCCAGAACUUCUUGAGCCAAGGGAAGUCCCUCCACAGUCUUUACCAUCUAUAUCUGUUCCGCCCACUUCAGCUCCCUCGGAGCCCGUACCAGAGGCAGCAUCGUCUGACACCCCACCUGUUGUUCCUCCUACCUCAGAGUCACCCAUUACUAUCCCUGGUGUAGAGUAUUGUGACUUGCUCGCUUCUUUCCAGACUUUGACCACUACUCAGACGACUAUUAUGGAGCGGAUGGACCAUUUCCAGCUUCGACAGGACCAGCAAACUCUCAUUCUCCGUGAGAUUCAACAGCACCUCAGUCUUUUGCCACCAGCUCCACCUGUUGCUCCUGUGCCCUCAGAGCCUUUUGCUCCAGCUGAUGAUUUUGCUCCAACUGAUGAUGCUACACCUGUAGCGGUACCUUCCACAGUUGCAGCGGAGGACCCCUCCUAUCCACCAGAGGAGCCUACUAUUUGAUCAUACGAUCACUCCUCUUCCUUUUUUGUUUUUAUUUUGUAUCUAUAUUCUAUGUUUUUGGCUGUCAUAUAUAUUUUGGAUGUGAUAUACUGGCAUUGGAUGUAUUCCAUGUUUAUAUUGUAUACUGUACUCUCUUAGUUUAUAUAGAUAUCUUCAUUUUUUGUGUAUAUUAUCUGUUCCUUUUUAUUUCCUCUACUCAUCACUCUUAUCAUUUCUUUUUCUUUUGCAACAUGUGGUUUCUCCUGUUCAUUCAGAGUCCCUUACUAUCAGGAGGUAUCACUUCCUCCCUUUUAUUAUCACUUGCUUUUGGAACAUUGGGGACAAUGUUCAUCCUAGUUAGGGGGAGAGUUGAGGAGGUAAUUUGUUGAAUUUUUUGUUAAGUUAUUUUGCUCACAAUUUUUUUUGCAAACUCUUUUUGUUUUCUCAAAGAUAAAUUCUCAAAAAUAAAUGGGAGAAAUUAAAUUCUUAUUUUGUUGCCAUAUUCUCAAAGUUUGUAUUAUGCUUAUUAAAGUUGAUAAAUUGUUGAAGCUCCUUUCGAUUUCAAUCUUAAGUCUUCCACUCUAAUCUUUUCACACACUGAACACAUUAGAUUCCAGUUAUAAGAUGGAAAACUUUCUCACCCCCUAAACUUAGGAAAUUUUCGACUUGGUGCCUUUGACCUCAUUCUAUUAGUGUUGGGACACCUUAUAAAAGGCCAAUGUGUCUUAUGAAAAAUUUUGCUUCACUUGCUUUGAAACCCGAGCAAGGUCCGAGGGGCAUAUGGUGAAAAUCUUUGAAGCCUGGUGCCCUAAGCCUUUAUUGGUUGGGAGUCACCGACCUCACUGCUCGUUACAUGGGUGGAUGGGUGGAGUUCAAAAAAAAAAAAAAGGUGCGUUCUUAGCCUUUUAUAUGGGGGUUAAUGUUGCUAAAGUUAGAGAAAAACCUUAGUUGGGGGGAGAAUAUAGUUUGACACUUAGAUUUUUGUGGAAAAUUAAGAGUUGGUCCUUUGGGAGUAUAAAUUAUUUUGAUACUCAAAUUUGCAUAAUGCCCACUCUUUGUAUGUUGUGAUAGGUAAGUUAUUUGAUGACUCUUGUUGAUGAUUGAGUUUUAUAUCCUUGACUUACCAUGUGAGAGUUUGAUCCGAUCAUGCCACUUGAUUAUUUUUUGGAGUGAUCAGCAUGAUUUUGUAAAUUAUUAUAUUAUCUAUUUUUCUUUCUUUCUUUUUCUCUCCUUCAUUGCUCAGGGACUAGCAAUGUGUCAGUUGGGGGGAGUGAUUACUACCCAAAAAAUGCUAUUUUGCGCCUUUAAUUCAUUAUGUUUUAAGCACUUUUGUGUAGUAGUUCUCCAUUUUUAUUCCAAUUGGCAUGUUAAGGACCUAGCAAUGACUUCUAAUCAUAUUUGUGGCUAGUUUUAGUGUUUUGACAGCUCUUUGGUUCAUUAAGACAAACCAAGUAAAGGAGAAAAGCAAAGAGGAAAACAGAGUGAAGAAAACAGAGGACAGCAGCUUCAGUCUUCCUUUGCACUUUUGGAGCACUUCCCGAAGUCCAUUUUCUACAUACUAUAUAUCAUUUCAAAGCUCAGUAAGUCAAAAAUCCAGCACUUCAAACUGUGUACGAUUUGGAGCUGAAAUGAGGAAGAUAUGACCUUUGGAAGACAACUGCACCAUGCAUGUACGAAUUUCGCACAACACACCAUGCAUGUGCGAAUUUCGCACAACCAACCAAGCAUGUGCGAAUUUCGCACCAGCCCAUGUGUCUUUGGUGCAAAAUCUCCUCUGUUCUGCCGACUCCACAUUAGAUCUUUUCUUUUGCUUGUUUUGAUGUAAAUUCCUUUCUUAUCCCUGUAAUUAGCCAAUCACAGACUUUGCUUUUGUAAAGACUAUAAGAGGGGUGGAAAUCAUCUCUCGAGACGACGACUAAUGUGUUAUGUUUUACACUUAGUAAAAUACAGGGCUCUCUUUGCUUUCCUUUUCUCUCUACUAUUUUCCUUUUCUUGGAAGCCAAACAACCUCUGAGGAUGUUUUCCCAAAGGAUGAGAGGCUAAACUUUUGGUUUCUUGAAGUGAAGGAAGCUAGGUGAAAAGUCCAGAUGCUAAAGUGGAAAACUCUCGUGCAUUAAAUACAGGUAUUUGGAGUUCAUAAAUGGCUUUUAAAUAUAAAGUUUUGCUUUAAAUCCCUUAGAAUCACUUUGAAUGGCCAAUACAUGAUAAGCUUUAGGUCUCUGUGGAUACUUAUUGCUAGAUCCACAUCAGACAAUUAGUUAUCAUGUACGAGCCAUUGGAAAGUGGCUCAAGGCGAAGACCCAUAGUGUCUAAAGCCAUUAUGGAUCUGACUACCAUUUCUAUUGACUUUUNNNNNNNNNNNNNNNNNNNNNNNNNNNNNNNNNNNNNNNNNNNNNNNNNNNNNNNNNNNNNNNNNNNNNNNNNNNNNNNNNNNNNNNNNNNNNNNNNNNNGGCGAAGACCCAUAGUGUCUAAAGCCAUUAAUGGAAUCUGACUACCAUUUCUAUUGACUUUUAGGGAUUAAAUCUUCAUUGUUAAACCUAUACCGGUUCGGGAAACAACCAUCCUUUAUGUUAUUGUCCCCAAUACGAGAAGAAGAAUCCGGAAUUUCCACUUUGCAUUCUGAACUUGAUCCUAGCAACCCUUAGCUCUGGGAGACUUUCUUUCUUCCAUUUUUACCUAGUUCUAUAUUAGUUUAGUUUCAAACACCACUUUCAAAACAAAUUUUAUUUUCUUUUAAACUUUAAGUUUUUAACAAAGGAAAUCAUCAGAUUCAAUUUCUAAUCUCGAGUAUAUCACUGGUAGAAUGAAAACCCAUCCCAGAGUUCGACCCUAGAGCUGCUAUACUAUAGUAGCUUUGCUACGCUAGUAUGAGGUCAUAGGAUUUAUAAAUAUUUUUUAUUAAAACACCCGACUGGGCAUGAAUCAGUAUAGUGGUUCUAGGAUCGUCCACAGGGAUGGGUUUUCAUAUUACAAGUGAUAUUAGUUAAAGUACUGAAAUGGUGCUUUUUCUUUUAUGAGUUAACUUUAAAAGAAAACAUAAUUUUGGUUGAAAAAGGUUGGUUUUAAGUUAACCAAAAAUAGUAACUGAGAUUAAUUACAAAGAAAAGGUUUCUUGGAGUUUUAGGUCAUUAGGUUCAGGUUCCUUAGACAAAAGGGGGAGAUUCCGAAUCUUUUCCUCGCGUUGGGGAUAAUAACAUAAAGAAUGGUUAUCUCCCAAACCAGUGUGUAUUUAGCAACCAAGAUUUGAUCCCACUGGCCUUGGGUACUCCAAAUCUAGAGAAGAUGUUCUCUUUGAGAAAUUUGAGAACAACUCUGUGAUCAUUGCGUUUGCACAGGAUCGCUUCAACCCAUUUAAAAAUAUAAUCUACUCCCACCAAGAUGUAAGAGUAACCAAAGGACAUAAGAAAAGGUCUCAUAAAGUCAAUGCUCUAGACAUCAAAAAGAUCAACUAUUAAAAUGGGGUUCAAUGGCAUCAUGUUCCUGCGUGUUAACUUCCCAAGCCUCUGGCAUCUAUCAUAGCUCUUGCACAUGGUGUGGGCAUCUUUGAAAAGUGAUGGUCAGUAGAAACCCGAUUGCAAUACCUUCAUAGAUGUCUUUUGAGAAGCAAAGUGGCCUCCACAUGCGCUUUUGUGGCAAUGACUAAGGAUCCCCUGUUGUUCUUGUUUAGGGGCGCACUUCCGUAUUAUUUGAUCAGCACAAUAUUUGAAUAGAAAUGGGUCUUCCCAAUAGUAGGCAUGAAUUUUUUCAAAGAAGUGCUUCUUAUCUUAUGCUUUCCACUCACUUGGAACUUCUCCAGUAACUAAAUAGUUAGCAAUAUGAGCAUACCAAAUUGUGACUUCCAUCAACAUGAGUGACUCCUCUGGAAAAUCAUCAUUAAUGGGCAAACUAUGGGAAUUAUGUGCAAUGGCUAGCCUUGACAGAUGGUUGGCUACCACAUUCUCCACUCCUUUCUUGUCUUUGAUAUGAAGAUUGAACUCUUAAAGUAAGAGAAUCCAUCUAAUCAGCCUUUCUUUUGCAUCCUACUUAGUCAACAUAUAUUUCAAGGUCGAGUGAUAAGUGAAAACUACAAUGCCCCACCAAGUAAGCGCGAAAUUUGUCCAAGGCAAAAACUACAACCAACAAUUCUUUCUCUAUGGUUGUGUAGUUUCUUUGCGCUUCAUUCAACGUUUUUCUUGCAUAGUAGAUCACAUAAGGCUUUCCAUCUUCUCUUUGCCCAAGAACAACUCCUAUAGCAAAGUCACUGGCAUCGCACAAUACUUCAAAGGGCAAUUGCCAGUUGGAAGCUCUCACUAUUGGAGCGGUCGUCAGAAAUAACUUCAGGUCUUCAAAACUCCGUUGACAUCGAUCAUCCCGUAUGAAUUUGGCAUCAUUUACCAAUAGUUCACAAAGAGGUCUUGCAAGUUUAGAGAAAUCUUUGAUAAACCUCCGAUAGAACCCAGCAUGGCCAAGGAAUUGCCUUACUCCUUUGACAGUUGUUGGCGAUGGCAACUUGACAAUAAGUUCAACCUUUGCUUUGUCCACUUCAAUGCCUUGCUUUGAGAUAAUAUGCCCAAGGACAAUCCCUUGGUGUACAAUGAAAUGGCAUUUCUCCCAGUUAAGCACCAAGUCUUUCUCAAUGCAUCGGUUCAGAACAACUUCCAAGUUGACUAAGCAUUCGUCAAACACACUUCCAUAUAUAGUGAUAUCAUCCAUAAAGACUUCCAUAAUACGCUCCACCAUAGCACUGAAAAUGCUUAACAUGCAUCUUUUGAAUGUUGUGAGUGCAUUGCAUAAGCCGAAAGGCAUUCUUCUGUAUGUGUAGGUUUCGAAUGAACAUGUGAAAGUGGUCUUCUCCUGGUCUUCAACAUCAAUUUCUAUUUGAAAAUACCUAGAGUAACCAUCCAAAAAACAGUAGAAUGGAUGGCCAGAGACCCUCUCAAGCACUUGAUCUAUAAACGGCAAUCAAAAGUGGUCAUUCCUUGUUACAACAUUCAACUUUAGAUAAUCAAUACACACCCUCUAACCUGAAGUGAGGCAUGUAGAAACUUCUUCACCCUUAUCAUUUUGUACCAUUAUGAUCCCUAAUUUCUUUGGCAUGGCUUGCGUAGGACUCGCCCAUGGGCUAUCUGAUAUGGGGUAGAUAAUACCAGCCUGAAGUAGCUUAAGCACUUCAGCUCGCACCACCUCUUGCAUGUGAGGGUUCAACCUUCUCUGAGGUUAACGAACUGACUUAGCUUCUUCUUCCAUGUAUAUAUGAUGGGUACAGACUAAAGGGUUGAUCCCUUUCAGAUCAGAAAUUUGACACCCUAUCACCUUCUUACAUCUCCUAAGGACUUUAAGUAAACAAUUCUUCUGGUGAGUGGUAAGAGAUGAAGAAAUAACAACAGGGCUCUGCUUGUUUUCUUCCAGGUAUGCAUACUUCAACUCCGUGGGUAAUGGCUUCAGAAUAAGCUUUGGGGGCUCCUCCUUAACAGCUUCUUGUAUCUCAUCCCCAUUGAAUAAAGGCAAAAUUUCUUCCUUCCUCUUCCAAGGGGGCAGAGUAGCAAGCAAAUCUGAGGGUUCAGGUAACCCUUCAUCAAAAUUCCCAAGAUUCUCGUUCAAAUCUUCGAGCAUUUUCUGAUCACAAUGCUCCUCUACUAAGUUGUCAAUCAUGCACACCUCUUCUGGUCCUUCUUCUUCUUUCGAAUAGAAUUGUUUCUUGCACAAAUAGAAGAUGUUGAGCUCUAACAUCAUGUUGCCAAACGUAAGUUACAUGACUCCAUUCCUACAAUUGAUGAUAGCAUUUGAUGUAGCUAGGAAUGGUCUUCCAAGUAUGAUAGGAACAUAGUUUGUUCCUUUGGCAACCGGGUCCAUAUCAAGAACAACAAAAUCCACUAGGUAGUAGAAUUUGUCAACUUGAACUAGGACAUCUUCAAUCAUGCCUCUUGGAAUCUUCACAGAUCUAUCUACUAGAGAUAGGGUGAUUGAUGUUGGCUUCAACUCUCCAAGUCCCAAUUGCUUGUAGACAGAGUAGGGUAGCAAAUUCACAUUUGCCCCCAAGUCCAACAAAGCUUUCUCCAAACACGUCCCUCCAAUCAUCACUAAGAUGGUAGGACAACUCAGAUCUUUGUAUUUCACUAGAGACUUCCACUGUAUAAUGACACUUACUUGCUCAGUCAAGAAGGCUUUCUUAUUCACAUUCAACCCUCUUUUUAUAGUGCAUAAGUGCUUCAGGAAUUUUUCAUAAGUCGAAACUUGUUUAAUCAUCUCUAUCAAAGGGAUGUUAACUUUCACUUGCCUCAACACUUCAAGAAUUUCUAAUGCAUUAUUGAUUCCCUUUUUGCCAUGCAAAGCUUGGGGGAAAGGUGGAGGCGUGUGUUUCUUCAUCAUAUCUUCCUGGUUGAUGGUCAUCUCCGGUUCUUCAUUCACAGUAGAUUCAAGGUCCUCAUUCUUUGCACUGUUCCCUUUUCUCUUUCCUUUGAUUUCCUCCAUUUUCUCUUUCUCUACUUUGAUCUCUGGUUCAUGCUCUGGCUUGGAUGUAGGCAUAUCAACCUUUUUAUCACUCUUUAAAGUGAUCACUGCUUUGACUUCCCUCACCUGUGAAGAUUCUCCCUCCUGAGCCUCCACUUCAUGGAUACCCUUAGGAUUCUGAUGAGGUUGAGAAGGAAACUUUCCUUUCUCUUGCACUAUGUUGAGGUUGGUGAGCCUUGAGAUUGAGUACUAGAGAUUAUCUAUCUUCUGAGAUAGAUCAUUUUGCAUUCCAUCCAUCUUUUUGUUCAAUGUACUCUCUACACUGUCAAUUCUUUGACUGAGCUGAGCAUUGAUGGAUUUCUGGUCUCCAUCAAAGUCUCCCAUGACCUUGCUAAGAUUCACAAUGGCUUGUUCAAGAUUCGAGGCUUGCAGAGGUGCUUGGCCAAGUUGCGUGUACUGAGGUGCCCUUGGCCUCUGAGAGAAAUUCAGAUGGUUCCUUCAAUUUGAAUUGUAGGUGUUGCCAUAUGAAGCAUUGUUAUUGGGCUUAAAUUGUCCAAUAACAUUUGCUUGAUCCCCAAACAUUUCUCUCACAGCUAGAAUCGUAGGACACUUCUCCACCAAGUGCUCAAAAGAUUGACAAAUGGAACACGGCAUAGCUUGCAUUGGUGUUUCAGAAAUGGACACUUCUUCUUCAUUUCUAACUCCUCCAAUCUUCUUGCCAUAGCUACAACUUUUGCUUUCAUAUCGAUGUCUUCGUUCAAAGUAUACAUCCCAGCCUUAGCAUUAGGAGCAUUAGGUUGAGACUUCAUUCUUCCCACUUCUUUGGCAUUCGGCUCAUCCCAUCCUCUUGAAACUUCAGCCACAUAACUUAAGAAAUCCAUGGCUUUCUCCGGAUUCUUACUCAUGAAAUCUCCUCCGCACAUCGUUUCUAAGAGUUGUUUUAUUGAGGAAGACAUAUUGUCGUAAAAAUAGCUCACCAAUAGCCAUGUAUCAAAGUCAUGGUAAGGACAAGCAUUGAUAGCUUUCAUGUAUCUCUCCCAACACUCAUAGAAUUUCUCAUUCUCUUUAGCUGAGAAGUUUGAAAUUUGUCUUUUCAAGCCAUUGGUCCUAUGAGUCGAGAAAAUUUUCUUGAGAAAUUCAGCUUGCAAAUUAGUCCAAGUUCGGAUACUCCUUGGCCUCAAAGAAUUAAGCCAAAUCUUGGCCUUAUCCUUUAAGGUGAAAGGAAAUAGCUUGAGUCUCAUCAAGUCGAUUGAAGCUCCUCUUUCUUGGAAAGUAUUACAAACCUCCUCAAAUUCCUUGAUAUGCGCGUAGGGAUUCUCACUUUCCAUCUCGUGGAAAGUAGGUAGAAGUGGCACAAUAUGUGAUCGGAUCACUAGCUGCUCUGUAGGUGGCACUAUACAUGACGGUGCACUCAUACGAGGUGGAUGCAUGCGGUCUCUCAUUUAUCGGUAUGCGUUGAAAUUCUCCUCCUUAGCAUGUUGACUAUGCUGAUCUUCAGGUGUAGCUUCCAUGACGUUCAUGCAUAAUUCCAACUCUGUUUCGUGAGGAGUUUCGAUUUUCACAAGUCUUCCCUCACCGUCUCGUAUCCAAUAGGGCAUGCACAACUAGCAAUAACUGAAACAAAAACAAAGAAAAAAAAACAAAAGAAAAACAAUUCUAAAAAAAAAUUAAGGUUAACUAAAAACUAAAUAAAAGAUAAACUAAAAUAAAAACAAAUAAAAAGAGUUAGUAAAAGAAAAGAAAAAUCACCAAACUUGUGAUGAAGAUCACAAGUGUUUUGUAAAGGUUAUAUCACUGUGAAGUGGCACCAUCCCCGACAACGGCGCCAUUUGAUUCAUCCCUAAUUGGUGUACUAUUUAAUUCAGUCCUCAGACGGGAGUUAUCAACAAAGUUUAUAAACCCAAUUCACCAUACACUAGGGUAGCAUAGCUAGCAUAGUAUAGUGGUUCUAGGAUCGUCCAUAGGGAUAGGUUUUCAUAUUACAAGUGAUAUUAGUUAAAGUACUAAAAUAAUGCUUUUUCUUUUAUGAGUUAGCUUUAAAAGAAAACAUAAUUUUGGUUGAAAAGGGUUGGUUUUAAGUUAACCAAAAAUAGUAAUUGAGAUUAAUUACAAAGAAAAGGUUUCUUGGAGUUUUAGGUCACUAGGUUCAGGUUCCUUAGACAAAAGAGGGAGAUUCCAGAUCUUUUCCUCGCGUUGGGGAUAAUAAAAUAAAGAAUGGUUAUCUCCCGAACCGGUGUGUAUUUAGCAACCAAGAUUUGAUCCCACUGGUCCAUGAAAAACUGCAGUUGCUUCCCAUUAAUGGUUUCAAAUGCUAAAAACCUCUCACUGUGAAUCAUCUUUCAAUGGCUCGUACAUGAUAACUAAUAGACAUCCAUGGAUUCCAUGGAGCCCGAAAAGCUUACCAAGUAUUCGCCAUUCAAGGUGAUCCUAACCUUGGAUUACCCUUCAAAGGCUCGUAAGAGAUAACUAAUGGAUCUCCAAGGAGUCCGAAAAACUUACCAAGUAUUGGCCAUUCUAGGUAAUCCUACCUUUAAACCACCUCCCAGAGGCUCGUAAGAGAUAACUAAUGGAUCUCCAGGGAGUCCAAAAAGCUUACCAAGUAUUGGCCCAAGUGAUUUUAAGGGAUUUUAAGUUAAACCUUAAAAUAAAAACCAUUAACGGGUAACAAAUCUCCGCAUUUAAAUCAAGGAAAACUCCCACCGUUGUAUCCGGAUCCCUUACCUAGCUUCCUCCAAUCCAAGAAACAUAAAACCUAGCCACUCAUCCUCUGAGAAAACAUCCUUAGAGGUUGUUUAGCUAGAAAGAAAAUAAAAACAUAAUGAGAAGGUAAGGUAGAGCAAAGCUCUGUGUACUUCUUACUAAAAGAAUUUAUAAGUGUUCUCUGGAAUUUCUUCCGAGAUGAAUUUACAAGUGUUCUCUGGAAUUUCUUUUGAGAUGUUACAAAAGAGACAUUUUAAGACAUAUAUAGAGAGAUAUUUUUAACCCCUCAUUUAGAUAUCCUAAAUAUCUAAAAAUAUCUCGAGAUAAAAAUCUAAUGGAGUCGGUGCAAAAAUAUCUAAAAAUUACACAGGAGGAUUUUCGCAAGGCUUGCGAAAUCCAUUUUCCUCAGUCUUUGGUUUCGCAAGGCUUGCAAAAUUUCGCAUAAGGUACGAAAUUCAUUUUUCACAGUCUUGCUCUCUGUCCUGCAACUUGUACUCCUUUUGGCAUUUCGCAUAGCCAUGCGAAAUUGCUGGAUGUUAGAUUUCUUAUUUGAUUCUCUUCCUUGCAUACUUGAUUGAUUUGGCAAAAGCUACGAAGCUUUCCAAAACUUGGAUUCUUCAUGUGUUUGAGCUUCAACUUGCUUUGCCAUGGACUAUACAAAAUUCUCCCUCAUUCUUGGCUUGUUUUAAUGAUAAAAAAGCUAUCAAAAACACCAAAACUUGCCAAAAACUGAUUAGAAACAUUUGCAACGGGCUUUAAUGUGUCAAUUGAGUUAAAAGGUAAUAAAUACUACUCAAAAGUGUUUAAAAGAGUUUAUAACAAGAUAUAAAAGAGCACUUUUUGAGUAAUAAUCACCUUGGAAUGUACUUCACUUAAAGAAAUUUUAUCCAUGAAAGUAGCUUUUGAACAUAACUCCAUGUCCUUAAACUGUACUUCGGAUUUUAUCCAAUGAAGACAACUUAAAAAAAAAAACACAUUUGGUUAAGCCAAGUGCCUAAAAAAGUCUAAGAUACUCCAAAAACAUCUGACCAAGCAAGUGCUUGAAAGAGCAUAAGGUGUAUAAAGAGCAUUUGGCCAAGAUAAGUGCCUAGAAAGCUUAAGAUGCACUAAGAGCAUCCGACCAACCCAAGUGCCUAAAAAAACCUAAGAUGUGCCAAAAGCAUCCAACAAGAAAGUGCCUAAAAGAGCCUAAGGUGGGUAAAGAGCAUCCAACUAAGCCAGGUGCCUAGGAAGCCUAAGAUGUACCAAAAGCAUCUAGCCAAGCCAAGUGCCUAAAAAAGCCUAAGAUGAGCUAAAAGUAUCCGACCAAGCCAAGUGCCUAAAAAGACUAAGAUGCGCCAAGAUGUACCUAACCAAAGCCAAGCGCCUAAAGAGCCUAUGGUGCAUAAAAACAUUUAGCCAAAAAGUGUUAAAAAGCCUAGGAUACACAAAACAAGCAAUGUUUAGCUAGCCGAAUGAGAAAACAUUCAACCUCAUCCCCUUAGUGCUUGGAAAAAGCAUUCGGCUUGGGAACCCCAAAAAUUCAUAAAAGCAACUGGACUCACAUACAAAAAUUACACUCGGACAAUGAACCUUAGAAAUGAACAAAAAUGCAUCCAACAUGGGAAGUAGCAAAAAAAAAAAAGUUUGAAUUUCAAUACAAGUCACAUGGUAAUAACAACAUCCAAAAUAGGAAACCAAAAAUAGUCCACCAAAACAUGUCCAAAAAAAAUACUACAAACCUAAGUCACACAUCUCCAUCAACCCAAAAAACCCUAAUUUCAGUAGUCCUAACUUAAACCUCCUUAACGACACCAUCAUUCCCCGCAUCACCAUUGUCGUCAGUAUCCUAAUUUUUCUAAAUAUUGUGUUUUUUCAGGCAGCAUUCGUAGCCAAACUCAUAAGCACGAUCUACCUCAUUGGUGUACUGAGAAACAAGUUUCUUCAAUUCUAUGGAAGUCUUCUCUAUUUUUUCACGAAGUGCAGCCACUCUUGUUUAGUCAAGAGUGUUCUUGAUUUGACAUGUCCAGUUUAGACUAUAGAUUUUGGCUCUGCUCCUCCAGCGUCUUUUUCAUCUUCAGUUUCUCAAUUUUUGUCGCUUGAAGCUUUUUGGUGAGGUCUUGGGCCGACUUUCUAGUUAUGUGAGGGCAUGCUUCAACUGAUCUGUGUCAGAAAUGUAGUCGCAAAAAUUAUUCUCACAUCUCUUGAAAUCUCCAAUACCAUACUUCAUUUACAACGGGAAAAAAAAAAAAAAAAAGUGGAAUAAACUAAAAGCAUGAUAGGAAUUAGAUGGCACUGAAUAAAAGUAAAAGAAAACCUUACCAACACACUCAAAUCUUGGGUGGAGAACUAUGGUAUAGCAAUGAUCAAGUCAUAAAAGGAAAAAACUCUCAACAGCGGAGCCACCAUAGGCGGGACUAAGGAGGAAUUUGAUCGAACCUGUGCAAUAAGAUCCCCAACUACCAAAGUCACAAUUAUUAGGUCGGUUCAGUGAACCUCUUCAGAUUAGCGAGGUGAGUCCGAUAUCUCAAUUGUUGGGCGGGGCAUAGAAUUAUCCCUAGGAGUAUUACCCUAAGAAGCUGUCAAACUCUCUUGAGGAGCGACCACCUUUAUCUUUUUUCGACGUUCGUUUGCCCCAUAAAGAAUAGAUUUCGGCCUCAUAUGUUUGAGUGUGGGGUUAGCCAAUUGAGAAGUUGGUGGCUUGCUUGAUGAUUGUACCACUUGGAGGGAUCCCGAGACUCGCUACAAUAACUUUGUAUAAGCUACCUGUUGAGUCUGCGCUUGUUGGAGCAUACCCUUCUGUCUCUUUCAAUCUCUCUUAGCUAGGAGCUUUUAGUACACCUCUAAUUCCUGUGCAUGAGCCUCCUUCUAAUACUUUAUGUCCUUUAUUAUAAAGUGCUCGCCUCGCACUUGUAGACAGGGCACCGUCUUGGGGCAAAAUGACCCGAAUGAAUCAUUUUGGAUGCCUUUGGAUGUCAAGCAAGUUCAAAGCAGUUAGCAACACCUGAGAAGUCCUUUGAGUUGGCUUAAUGUUUAGCAGCCAGCAUAUACGAUCAAAAGACGCCUUUUCCACCCACUUGGCAAGGUGCCCUCCUUUAUCCUGAUCUGCAAUAAACCCGCCAUUAGAAAAGAAUAAAUAAAAAUUAACAAACGAAUAAAGGACACGUUGAUGUGGUAAUAAUACCCAAAUAGACAAUUGAGCGAUUAACCCAUAACUCAUUAUCUGGAUCACUAGGGAUCAUCUCCCAAACCCUAGAAACGAGCACGUUCCCCUUCAGCCAUCCCUUACCGGAAUUUGGUAACUCUAUCACAAACUAAAAAGUACGACACUAUGUCGAUACAAUGAAUUGACCAGCAACACCUAAUUGGACUGUACACAUGAAUAGUACUUCAAGUACUGAAGGACAUAUAACUUAUUUAAUACCGCAUAGCCCAUAAGUACAUGCAUAGUGUUUGAGUGCAUGUGUGAGGGGUGCAUCUCAAUAUGGUGCAAAAAUUAACUCACUAGAGAAGGCAGCGACAGUUGAAGCCCUACCCAAAAUUGUUCCUAGGUAAAGAAAAUCUCCCUAUAAGAGGAGCUUAUUGUAUAUCUCAAGUCGUCGAGAUUUUUCGGGAAACAACCCUCACAUCAUUUAGAAUAUCAUAAUAGGCAUGAAAAUCUUCCAUCAAAGAGACCCUCCUGGAAUGCAAUGGCCCAACAACCCUACGCAGACUGACACACUCGCGAGCAAUUGAGUUUGGCAAGAUUGCUCAAAAUUGACGAUCGAUAAAGGGCUACUCCUCACUAUCCUCGUUCUCGAACUUUGACGACAUCCUUGGAAGCUAUGGGACUACCUAGCAACACACAUGAUAUAAGACCACCACUAUGGAACACUAACCUAACCAAAGCUAAGGGGCAAGGCAAUGUCGACCCACCCUCACGCACAUCUGCUUGAGUAAGGGAGAAAAUGCUCUACACAAACCUAAAAAACCCCACUACUUUUAGAGUUUUAGUCAACACCUCCCUAAGACCAACAAAGAAGGGAAGAAAAAGGUGCAAUGUGUAAUAACCAAAAAAAAAAAAAAAAAGUGUAAUAAAAAGUUGUGGAACUUACUUUCAAUGUAGGCGCUAAUACUAGUACCACAACAUAGGAAAAUCCAAGGCUCUCGGAUCGCAGUUUGCAGAGGCAAUUACAAGCAUAAAAUAAAAAUGUGCUUGGGUACCCCAAAAGUUCCCUUAUAAGAGAAAGGGGGCGCUUUAAUGAAAUGCGUCAAUCAAGUUUGGUGUCUGCCAUCAUGGUGUCAUUUCGUGUGAUUCCCUAAGCAUUGCACCCUCCAAGCGACGUGUGUUUGGCUUAUGAACCUUUACGUAGAGCUGGUAAAGAGGUUUUAUGCCCAAGUGAUGCCCUACUAGCACUUUUCCCAGCUUUCUGGAUUGUGAAAUGGGGUAUAAGAGGUACCAGGCUUAAUUGGUGGCCAACCCAUGGGUCCACCCACUCAGUCGAGUGGCUGGUACCUCCUAGUUUAGAACCAAAGCCUUUGCCAAAAAGGUAACUAGAAUUAUGUGAUUUGGGUAGAUCUUCCUCGGACGCAUUGGUUCUUGGAACCAGGUCGGUAAGCUUCUAACCAAAAGAGAAUGACACCACUUCACCAGAUCAAAUCUUCCUGAGACAAAUAAAGCUCACCUAGGAGACAACCACCAUGGGUCGCCCAUCGGGGUAGGGUGCCUAAAAAAUCAAAGCUUGGAUCACUUGAGGCCCCUGCUUAUCGAUUCGAGAAAUCUGAACAUAUGUGGUCCCGAAGCCAACAUAUCAGCCUACACCUUGACUCAUAUGACACAAACACCAAGGGUUGCAACAAGACUAAUACAAGGAACGAAGGGUGACGACAAGACUGGUAUGAAGAAUAAGAGGCUACAACAAGAUUGAUACGAGUAGUAGGUUCCGAAGCAAAGCUCUAACCUGAUCUUAUUAGCAGCAAAUACCAGAGGGGUUAGCCAUACGCUGCUUGAUAUAGGUUAAAAAUGGGUUACUCUUCAAAUAAAAACAUGAAAGAGGUUCAUUUCACGUAUAUGAAGAUUAUUUCAUUUCUUUUAACCAAUUAAUUCUAUUUUUUAAAAUCUAAAUAAUUUCACUACUCCGAAUAAAAUAUUAAAAAUGAGUUUAAUAAAUAAAUAAAUUCUAGUUAACUUAUCUUAAUUUUUAUCAUGAUAAUCUUCAUAACUAGUCUAUUUUUUUAAUCUUCAGUAAAUAAAAAAAAAUGCAAGAAACAUAUGCUCAUAUAAUAAUAAUAAUAAUAAUAAUAAUAAUAAUAAUAAUAAUAAUAAUAAUUAUUAUUAUUAUUAUUAUUAUUAUUAUUAGUAUUAUUAUUAGUAUUAUUUAUUAUUAUAUUUUUAACACAUUGAGAUUACAUACACAUCGUUUUAACAUUAAAUGUAUUUUUAAACAUUAUGAAUUAUUAUCGAAGAUCAUAAUAUAUAAUACCGAAUAUGCAUAUCAUGUUUCUUAACAUCAUUUUUUUAUAAAUUUUAUAAGAAUAUUUUUUUUUUGAAAAAUUUUAAAUUAAGCACCUAUUUAACAUUUGAACAUAAUUUAAAUUUGAGGUUGUUUUAAGAGAAGGUCUAGAAGCCAAAUUGAAAUACAAGUAAAAAUAUAGAGACUAUUUUUGUAGUUUACCACAAUGAAUAUGAGAUAAUAUAAUAAAAUUUAAAUUUAUUUUUAACAUCAAUAAUUAGCAAAGAAGCAUGAAAUUAAACUAAGGGAGUUAAAUCAGACUAACAUUAUUUUUCAAUAAGUAAUAUAUUAUGAUAUCAUAAAAAUAUAUUAUAUUAAAUUAAUAUAAUAAUUUUGAAUAAUGAAACUCAAAAUGAUUGAUUAAAUUUACAAAUAAUAAAAAAAUCAAAUAAUUAGAAUCUACAUUUUCUUCAAAUUUCAUUCAUAAUAAUUUAACAUAAAUCACAUUAAAUAGUUAUUUAAAAAAGUUAAAAAAAAAUAACAAAAAUUAACAUACUACUUAAACCAAAAGAUUAUAACAUUUCAAUACAAAAUAGAUUUGUAAUUAAUUUUUUGAAGCAAAUAAUUUUAGAAGUUAUAUUUUAAAAAAAAAAAUGAAAAUAAAUCAUAAAAUAUUAUUCCAAAAUAGAAAUGAUAAAAAUACAAAGAUCAUCAAACAUUGGGUGAACUUACAGCCUAACACUAAGAGAAAAAAAAUAUUUAUAAAAAUAAUUUUAAUAUUCUAAAAAUGAAAUGGGGAAGUCUUGUAGUUGUUGUUGUUGGUGGUGUUGUUGUUCCCUCAAAUCAUUAUAUGCAUCACCCAUGCAACUCACCGGCUACACAAACACGAUCCUGAGUCACAGCAAUGGGGCAGCACCACUUCCUCAUUAUAUCACAUCCACUGCAAGGCCACAUCAACCCAGCCCUCCAAUUCGCCAAGCGCCUGAUUAGAAUCGGCGCCCACGUCACCUUCGUCGUCUCCGUCUCCGCUCAUCGCCACAUGCCCAAAGGUCCAAUCCUCCCCGGUUUAACCCUAGUUCCCUUCUCCGAUGGCUAUGAUGAUGGGAUCAAUCUCGAAGAUCAUGCCCAACACUAUUUGUCCGAGAUCAAGCGUUGCGGAUCAGAAACCCUCAGGCGGAUCAUUGCAAUAAGCGCUGACCAAGGCCGACCAGUUACUUGCUUAGUGCACACCAUUCUUCUUGCUUGGGUGGCAGAGCUGGCGCGUAGCCUUCAGCUUUCGUUUGCGCUACUUUGGAUUCAGAGCGCCACUGUUUUCAUCAUUUACCAUCAUUACUUCGAUGGCUAUGGUGAUGUGGUUGAAAACUACAGCAAUGAGGGUUCAAAUCCAAUUGAGUUACCGGGGCUUCCAAUGCUGUUGUCUAGCCAUGAUAUUCCGUCCUUUUUACUCUCUUCAAACAUAUAUGAUUCAUGGAUCCCAGCAUUUCAAGAGGACAUGGAGGCACUAAGGCAAGAGACGAACCCCAAAGUGCUGGCAAACACCUUCAACGCACUGGAGGCUGAGACGCUACGAGCUGUGGAUAAGGUUAAAUUGAUUGGAAUUGGACCUUUGGUCCCAUCUGCUUUCUUGGAUGCCAACGAUUCAUCUGAUUCUUCUUUUAGAGGAGAUAUUUCCCAAGAUCCGAGCGACUGCAUCGAUUAGUUGAACUCCAAGCCCAAGUCAUCAGUCGUUUAUGUAUCGUUUGGGACACUUUGUGUUGUGUCAAAGCAAAAAAUUGAGGAGAUUGCACAUGCUUUACUACACAGCGGCAGGCCUUUCUUGUGGGUGAUAAGAUCAGUGUCCGAAAAUGGAGAAGUGGAAGAAGAGAAGCUGAGUUGCAGAAAAGAGUUGGAAGAGAAAGGGAUGAUAGUGGCUUGGUGUCCUCAGUUGGAUGUUUUGUCACAUCCAUCAUUGGGAUGUUUCAUUACACAUUGUGGGUGGAACUCAACGUUAGAGUGCCUAGCUUCUGGAGUUCCAGUCGUGGCAUUUCCCCAAUGGAUGGAUAAGGGACCAACGGGAAGCUAAUUGAAGAUGUGUGGAAGACAGGCGUUCGGGUGACAGCGAAUGAGGAGGGAAUAGUUGAAGGCGAGGAGAUCAAGAGGUGCUUGGAAGUCGUCAUGGGAGGUGGAGAAAGAGGGGAAGAAUUGAAAAGGAAUGUUGGGAAAUGGAAGGAUUUGGCAAGGGAAGAUGUGAAAGAUGGUGGAUCUUCCAACUGCAAUCUAAAGGCUUUUUUGGAUGAAUUGGGACAAGGCAGUAUGAUUUAGUGAAAGUUACAUUGUGUUGAUAUAAAGUUGUAUUACUGAUUGAACUCGUUUCUGGUGUUUUAUGGCUUUCCCAAAGGCUUAGAGUGCUUGUUGUAAGUGUAACUGCAUCUGGAGAAAAGAGAAAUUUCAAAUUUGUAUUCUCCAGUCUAUGAACUAAAAGAUCUCAUCCUAAGUCAUUUGCUUGGCUUGAUCAAUUGAUUUUGAAAUAAAAUUCAUAUUUACUUUGAAGCUUUUGGAAUAAAAACAUCUCGCCUUCACGAAAAACUGUUCUCUCUCCUCAUAUACUCUGUACUCAAACCUGAUAUCUCUCUCUCUCAUCUCUCUCUACCGUGGUUGUCAGUUGUCACUAAUGUCAGUACUAAACCUGCUCUUUCUCUCUAGAUCUCUAUCAUCUCUCCCUACCAGGUUUGCCAACUAUAUCAGUUUCAACGAUGCUUUCUGUUUCUCUCCCUCGACAUCAUUUAAGGUUACAGUAGUUGAUUAUGAGAUUGAGAUCCACAUGAAAUGAAUUGUGUUCGUCAGCUAUGCCUCGGAGAGAGUUUUUGGAGUUUAAGUCCAAAAUAAUCCAUUUGUUGAAAAAAAAAAUUGGUAAGAAUAGUACCCAUUUCAAAAUAUUUGUCAAACUAAUCUUUUGUAUCCACAUAAGCAUCCACAUGGGUUUUUUUUUUUAGUGUAAAAAACCACUAUUGGUGACUGUGGUUUUAAAAAUUACAAAUAUCUUUAAAACCACAAUUACAAACCGUGGUUUUACAAUCUCCCUUAAAACUACAGUUAGUAACUGUGGUUUUAAAAAUAUAUCCUUAAAACUACAGUUACAAGCUGUGGUUUUACAAUUUCCUUUAAAAUCACAAUUAGUAACUGUGGUUUUACAAUUAUUUUUAAUUCACGUCUGUUUUAAUGGUAUUGUGAUUUUAAUAUUAUUUUUAAAAUAUUUUUUAUCAAAAUAACCAUAAAACCACAGUCACAGAUGGUGGCUUUAUAAUUUUCUUUAAAACCACAGUCACGGACUAUGGUUUUACAAUUUUCUUUAAAAGUAUAGUCAUGAACUGUGGUUUUACAAUUUUCUUUAAAACCACAGUUACAAAUAUUAUUAAGGGGAACUCAUGUAACCAUAACUAAAAAAAGUAUGAGAUUUUAGAACUUUGCUUUUUUAUUUUAAAUUUUAAUGUAAAGUAUGGAUGUACCAAAAUUUCUUAAUGAUGUACCAAAUUUCCUUAAAGUUCGUUUUGGAGUGGGGAAAAUUUCUUACAUUUUUCCAUUGUCAGUUGAAAAUUAAUUUUUUUUUCAAAUUAUCCUUAAUAAUUUUUUUCGUUACGAUUGUUUUAAAAUUAGAGAUAUAUAUAUAUAUUAUCUUUAUUUUUUCAUAUUUUCCUUGAAAUUUUGAGAAAAUAAUUUGGUCUACAUGCAUUCCCAUAAAAAUUUAUACAUUUAUGGUAAAUAAAAUAUUUAUUUGUUUUAUGAAUAUUUUCACAUAUGAACUAAAGAAAAUUAUUUAUUCAUAUUAUUUUUAAAUUUUAAAAUAACUAAAGAAAUUGUUUAUAUUAUUUUAAAAUUUUAUAUUUUCAUAUGAAAAUUAAUACCAAUGAUUAUGAUUUUAGGUUAUUUCUUAUUAAGUAUGAUUUGAACUUAUGUCUUGGUUAAAAUGUAUAAUUUUUAAUUAUAUGAAAGAAAAAUAGGUAGUGGUUGUAAUAAUUUGUUUAGUUAGAAUUUCUUUCAUUUAGACUUUAGGAUGCAUUUGAGUUUUAUUUGUUUAAAUUAUCAAGGAAACAGGUGAAUAACAUAACAUUACUAAUUUGAAUUAACACUUUAUAUAACCUUAAAUGUAUAAACCAAAGUAUUAUAGUUCUACAAACAUGAAAAAAGAUCUCAAUGUGUCCCACAUGAUGGAAUAUUUCUCUUUCAUUGUGAAUAUCUACGGUAGAUGGCCAUAUUUGUUGUAUCCAUCUGUGCUAUCUGAAAAGUCUCCAUCUCUAUAGACUGUGACACGUCAUCUACAUGAGCUGUUGAGUUAGAUGGAACUGAUGGAAGUAGAACUCGACAUACACGUGGAGCUCGAUGUCCUCUAGGUACCCGUACAUGUAAUCGUCCGACAUGAGCUGUCCCCUGAAGAAAAGGUAGAGGUGCAAUGGACUCUGUAAUAGGUGGAGAUGUAAUAGACUCUGUAACAGGUGGGGGUGCAAUAGACUCUGUAAUAGGUGGGGGUGCAUCCAAUGAUAUAGAUGGUUGGGAUGGAGGUGGAAGUGGAGGUGGAGAUGGAAGUGAAAAAGUAUGUAUAGAUGUAACAUGAGGAAAGAAAGGUAAGUCUAAUGAUAUAGAUGGCUGAACAGGGGUAAGGGUAGAUGGUAUGGUAGUCUCGGGUUGAGAUGAAUGGGCUGGUAUGGAUACAUUAGGGGGGGAGAGUAGCGACUCUAAUGAUGCAGAUGGUUGAAAUAGAGGAAAGGUAGAUGUGACUGAUGGAUGUGAGGGUUGUACCAAAGUAGAUGCCAAAGGCACAUGUCGGUGACCAUCUCGACGACCACCUUUCCCCCAAACUCUAAUGGAUGGUACCCUAACAGGCAUAAUCAAUGAUGGUGGUCUCAUGGAUGGCCUUGAAUAUGUGGAUGGCUCAUGUGUCGAGUAUACGCGAUGGUCCUCUCCUAUAGCACGUAAAACGUCAAUAGCAAUUCAGUGAGUUUCCUCCAAAUCAUUUGAAAUAGCAAUCUGCGAUAUGGUAGUGAUCUGUAUAAGAAAAUGAAACAUGAGACAUUUGCACAUAAUUUAAGUUUAACAUUCAUUAAAAAAUGGUUUUGUAUCUCAAAUGGUCUCACCAAUAACUCAGUGGCAGAAGCUGUACUAUGGAACCUCAUAUGAUCUCUAUGCAAAAUAGGUGCGAUCAGGCGUCGCGUGAUACGUCGAUACCACUGCAUAUAUGGAUCAUAAAAAUCCAUGGUAGUAAUAGCAAGUGGUGCUAUCGCAAUACGUUCAGAACUAGUAGCCCAAAGAGAAAUAUAUUGAGCAUGGAAUGUCACCUAAUCAUACUGAUGUCGUCUUCGCCUAUCCACUAAAUGUAGCUCCAUAUCUAUCAAAUAAGGUGGAGGUAUCCCUUGUUGCAUACGAAACUGGCGUAAAACUCACUCUGGUCUAUGCCACUUGAUAAUAUCAAAGCAAAUUAGAGGCGACAUAAUUCGCCAAAUUUCUUCAUCAGCUUGACAUAUAGUCGGAAGAUGUGCAGUCAAAUCUGCUAUAUAUGGUUCCCAUAAUACCUGUAAUUUUUUUAAAAAAAUUAAUUAGUCACAUUGGUGGAAAAUGUUGCAAAGGUAAUCUUACGUAUCUACACUUUACUUGAUCUUGUGUCUAGGCAUCCAAUUGAUCUAGAUAGAAUGUCAACACAUGUGGUGAUGGGUUAUGAGACCAAGACAGGGGUACUCUCCACUUGUGGCCCAAUGGAUCGAUUGGGAGUGCCUCAUCUGGCAAUAGAUGAUCAUGUAAACCAUCAACUACAUCAUCAUGUACAUGUGGGACUACUAUAGGCAUUGGAGGAUGACCGAAAUCAGGUCGACCCACAUGAAGUCUAUCCCAUGACCACAACUACAAAAUCAAAUAGCAUUAUCAAAAUUAGACAACAUACAACAAUAAUGUGAGUCAAUUAAUUAGAAUAGAUAGUUAUGUCUAAAUACUUGUAAUAGUGUGAUAGGUCCAGAAAUCUCUGUGGCACUAUCCAAACUCGCACAACAUAGCUCUCUAUAUAGGUAUGCCAACACUGCACUGCCCCAACUAUAGUGAGAAAUCUCAGUGAAGUCUCUCAACAGUGGAAGGUAACAUAACUAUACAUGUGUGCCGGUCUUGUCUGCAAACAAUGCUUCACCCAAUAGUGCUAAUAUGAAAGCAUGAGCAUAACGCUAUAAAAUAACAUCAUCUACCCCUGCCGGUGGAUAUGAGAACUGUUCACGCAACCAUCAUGCUGAUAUAGAUAACUGAUUACUACCAAAAAGUGCUAUUUUGUAGACCUAAUUAUAAUGGUUUUAAGCAUCUUUGAGUAGUAAUCAUAUUCAUUUAACCCAAUUAAUUCAUUAAGGUCCUUAGUAAUUGGUUUUAACCAUUUUGUGGCAAGUUUACAUGUUUUUAACAGCUUAUGAAUCAAUUCAAGCAUGCCAAAUGAUGGAGGAGCUACUUGGACAAGUUAUGGAAAAGCUUUUGGAAGCUCAAAUUCAUGAAGAACCAAGCUUUGGAGCUCCAUAGCCCUUUGCCAAAGUCGUUCAAAGUAUGCAAGGAAGGAACAAUGGAGAAGAGGAAAACAAAGGACAGCAGCUUCAGUCUUCUUUCGCACUUUUGGAGCACUUCCCGAAGUCCAUUUUCUACAUGCUAUAUACCAUUUCAAAGAUCAGGAAGUCAAAAAUCCAACGCUUCAAACCGUGUACGAUUUGGAGCUGAAAUGAGGAAGAUAUGGCUUUCGGAAGACAACUGCUCCAGGCUUGUGCGAAAAUUUCGCACAACACCUUCCAAUUUCGCACACCCCCUUGCAUGGUGCGAAUUUUCCCCUGUUUUUGCCGACUCCACACGAGAUCUUUUCUUUUGGAUAUUUUUGUAUAAAUUUCCAUUCUUCUCCUUGUAAUCCACCAAUCAUAAGAUUUCUUAGCUAGGAAGGUUGGAAAAACUUCUCUAUUUAUAUCCCCUUGCAUCCGUUGUAACAAAUUAUUGAAAUUAUUGAUAUAUUGAUAUAUAGAUAGAAAAUUUUACAGAGCUCUCCCGUUUCUAUUUUCUUAGUAGCCAAACAGCCUCUGAGGGUUUUUCCUCAAAGGAUGAUUGGCUAAAACUUUUAGUUUCUCAAAGUAUGGAUGUUAUGUGAUGGCUUGGAUGCAAUCCCAUGGAAAUUUCUCGCACCCGAAAAGUAAGGUAGUCGUUUUUCAUUAAUGGUUCAUUAAUGCAAAGUUUGGUUUUUAUUUCCUUUUGACAACUUCCAACGGCCAAUACUUGAUAAGCUUUUGGAUUUCUAUCCAUUAGUUAUCUCCUACGAGCAAUUGGAAGGUGAGGUUUUCAAUUCCAAGUUUUGCAUUAAUCCAUUAGAACCAAUUUCAAUGGCCAUUGAAAGGUGAGUUUAUCACCUGGAAUGACUUUGAGUUGUCAAUAUUUGGUAAGCUUUUAGCUUUAGACUACUAGUUAUCUCUUACGAGCCAUUCAAAGGAAGUCUAAGGUGAAUAACCAUUGAUGAAAUUCACUACCAUGUGUUUUGCCAUUUUAAAGGAUUAAAAAUUGAUUUUCUAAAUCCAUACCGGUUCGGGAAGCAAGCAUCACCAUAGUUGCAACCCCAACGCGAGGAGCCUAUCCUGAGAUUUCCAAUUUGCAUAAGAGCCAGAGCAUAGCUAUCCUAUCUUUGAGGAACUUUUUUUUACACCCUUUCAUUUUAGUCUUUAAUGUUAGCUUAGAUUAGUUUAAAUCUUUCUAAAACAUUUGCAUCUUCUUUUAAAGCUAACAUCCAUAAGAAAAUCACUUAUUUUCCUAAUUUGAAUAUCACUUGUGUUUGCGAAAACCCUUCCCAGUGAACGAUCCUAGAACCACUAUGCUAUAGUAGCUUGGCUACUUUAGUAAUAGUAUUCAAGGUAUAAAUUUUGUUGAUACGCCUUAAGCUAAGCUACCAUGAGUCGAAUCAAAUGGCGCCGUUGCCGGGGAAGGUGCCACAAGCACAGUGAAGCAACCAUUAAGGGUAACUUGUGAUCUUCAUCACAAGUUUGGUGAUUUUUCUUUUCUUUUACUAACUCUUUUUAAUUGUUAUUUUUCUUUAUUUAUGUUUUAGUUUACCUUUCAGCUAGUUUUAGUUAGUCUUAAUUUUUUUAUAAUUGUUUUUCUUUUGUUUUCUCUGUUUUUUCACAAAUUGCUAGUUGUGCAUGCCAUAUUGAAUACGAGAUAAUAGAGGAAGCCAUGAACUUCAUGAGUUAUGAGCACUUGGUGGAAGAGUGUCCUAUCAUUCCAGUGGUGAGGGAAAUGUUUGGUGAUUGCAACACUUACAAUUCCAAUUGGAGGGACCAUCCAAAUUUCUCUUGGAAACCACAACCGCCUCAGUACAAGCAACCUACUCAAGCACCUCAGCAAGCCUCGAACCUUGAACAAGCUAUGGUGAAUCUUAGCAAGGUCGUAGGAGACUUUGUUUUAGCUCAAAAAUCCAUCAAUGCUCAUCUCAGUCAAAGAAUUGACAGUGUAGAGAGUUCAUUGAACAAAAGGAUGGAUGAAGUGCAAAAUGAUCUAUCUCAGAAGAUAGAUAAUGUCCAAGAUUCAAUCUCAAGGUUUUCCAACCUCAACACAGUGCAAGAAAAAGGAAACUUGCCUUCUCAACCUUAUCAAAAUUCCAAGGGCAUCCAUGAAGUGGAGGCUAAAAAGGGAGAAUCUUCAAUGGUGAAGGAAGUUAAAAUGGUUAUCACUUUGAGUAGUAAAGAGGUUGAUUUGGCCACAUCCAAACAAGAGCAUGAAACAGAGAAUGAAAUAGAGAAAAAGAAGAGGGAGGAAAUUAAAGGAAAGAGAAAGGGAAUUGUUUCCAUUGCCAUCAUACAAUGCAAAUCUCUAAUGAAGGAUGCUAACUUCAUAUGGGAUCCGGGCAAGCUGAAACAGGACAACAUUUUUUUUGAUGGACUUAGUCUUUCUAAAGACUAGCUAGUCCAUAUCUUUUUGCUUUAUUACUUGUUUUAAUUUUGAUUUCAAUGCUUUAAUUUUAAUUAGUUUUGAAUUAACAUAAGUUUUUGGAUGAUCAUUGUAGGAGGGAUUGCAAAAAUGAUGAAAGAAAAGGAAGAGAAGAGAGAAUUCUGGCCAUUGGUUCUAUUGCCACUUUGGGACAUAUUUUGGAGAACUUUAUCCAGUCCAUUUCAUACAUACUAUAUACCGUUUCGAAGUUCGGGAAGUCAGGAGUCCAACGCUUCAAACGGUGUCCAAAUUGGAGUUGAAAUGAAAAAUUUAUGGUCAUUGCAAGAAAACUGGACCGAGCUGAGCGGGAAUUUCGCACACCUCAAUCCAAGGUGCGAAAAUUUUCGCACCGUGCGAAACCACCUCCUGGCACACGAGUGCGAUUUCGCACACCUCAAGGCAAAUUUCGCACGGUGUGAAUCAAGGUGCAAAAAUUUCGCACACCACUAUUCAAGGUGCGAAAUUCAUUCCAAGGUGCGAAAUUCUCAGUCCAAGGUGCGAAUUCUCUAAACAUCAGUUUCGCACACCACUAUUCAAGGUGCGAAAAUUUUCGCACCGUGCAAAACACUCUCCUGGCACACGAGUGGCAUUUUGCACACCUCAAGCCCAUUUUCGCACGGUGCGAAACAAGGUGCGAAAAUUUCGCACAGUGCGAAAUUGAGUGCGAAACUCGAUUCAAGGUGCGAAAUUCUCAUUUUAAGGUGCGAAAAUUUCGCUACUGUUGGACACACUUUUGGAGCACUUUCCGAAGUCUAUUUUCUACAUUCUAUAUAUCAUUUCAAAGCUCGGGAAGUCAGAAAUCCAUAUCUUCAAACGGUGUGUGAUUUGGAUUUGAAACGAAGAAGUUAUGACCAUUUGAAGACGACUAUGCAAAACUGAACGGAAAUGUUGCAGCCGCACCAAAUUUCGCUACUAUUAGAUACAUUUUUGGAGCACUUCCUGGAGCUAAAAUUAUACAUACCAUAUAUCAUUUUAAAUCUUGGGAAGUCAGGAAUCCAAUGCUUCAAACAGUACAUGAUUUGGAUUUGAAACGAAGAAGUUAUGGCCGUUAGAAGACAGACUACGCAAAGGUGCGAAAAUUUCGCACCUUGAAAUCCAAAGUGCGAAAAAUCCUUUCCAAGGUGCGAAAUUUUUUUUUAAAGUGCGAAAAUGCUCCAAGCUUCAAGAAUGGGCUGCGAAAUUCCCAAUUUUAUUGCAAAAUGAUUUUCCAAACCUCAAAAUGGCUACAAAAUGAUUUCCAAACUUCAAAAUGGGCUGCUAAAAUGUUUCUAUUUUUCCAUGGUCUGCAAAAAUGUUUUUCUUUUCCCUUUGGCUGCAAGACAUGGCCUCCAAGCUACAAAAUGAUGUGCAAAAACACUUUGCAAAGCCAAGGGAAAUUGCAAAAAUGCCAAUAGAGCAUCACGACCAUGCAUCUAAAGAAGAGAGCACUCUCACUAAGAUCACACAUGAAGUCUCUCAUUCCAUUUCUUACCUCCUAAAACCAUCAAAGCUCAUAGCUCCAACUGAGAGCUCCAGCAGAGGAGACUAUGCCACCUAAGGAGACUACCAGAGCAAAGGUCAAUGUCCUGACCCAACCCACUCAGAAGGCCACCACAGAGCCAUUAUCUCCACAGAACCCUACCACUACUUGAUCAUCUCUUUAAUUUUUGUAUUUACUUAUUAUAUUAGUAUAGAUAAUUCCAUGUUUUGAUGUUUUAUAUUCUGGGAUUGGAUGUAUUGCAUGAUCAUAUAUUAUAUUCUAUUUUCUCAUAUUAAUAUAUAGACAUCAUUUUUGUUUAAACUUGGCAUUUUUCUAUUUCCUCUACUCACUGAAUUUUUUUUUUUUUUUUUUUUUUGAAACAUGUGGUUUCUCCUAAACGACUCAGACUCCAUGCCACUCAGGAGGUACCACUUCCUCCCUUUAUUUUUUUAAUCGCUCUUGAAACAUUGAGGACAAUGUUCAGCUUGGUUGGGGGGAGAGUUGAGGAAGGAAGUUUUUUUAUUAAUGCUUAGUUAUUUUGGUAAUUUAGUUGCUUUUUGCUUAAUUUUUAAAAUUUUUUAAAAGUUUUUAAUCUACUCUCCAUGGUUAUUAAGGAAAAAUUUUCAAAAAUGAAAUGGGAGAAAUUGAAUUUUUGUUUUUUUACUUGACUUAGAGUUUGUAUUAUGUUUAUUAAAGUUGAUGAAUUAUUGAACUCCUAUUGAUUUCAACCUUAUUUCUUCCACUUUAAGCUUAUCACACACCGUGCACACUAGGUUCCAUUUAUAAGAUGAAAAACUAUUUUCCCUCUUGACUUAGGAAAAUUUUAGACUUGGUACCUUUGACCUCAUUUUAGUAGUGUUGAGACACCUUAUAAAAGGCCAAUGAGUCUUUGAAGAAAAUAAAGAAAGAAAAAAAUGUUUGCUUGCCUUGAAACCCGAGCAAGGUCUGAGGGGUAUAUGGUGAAAAUCUUUAAAACCUGGUGCCCUAAGCCUUAAUUGGUUGGGAGUCACCGACCUCAAUGCUCGUUACAUGGGUGAAUAGGUGGAGUUUAACAUAUUGUAGGUGCUUGGGUAUUAAAAUUCAUUCUCAAAAGUCCGGGGUGAAAUCCGAGGAGUUAGUGGUUGAAAAAUCCUUAAAGCUUGAUGCCCUAAACCUUGAUUGGUUGGGAGUCAUCGAUGGACCCCCGUUACACGGACAAUUUAGAAAAGAAUGCCUUUAAGCUUUGCACUCCUACAUGAAAAAAAUUGUGAAAGAAAAGAGGUGCGUUCUUAGCCUAUUGGAGGUUGAUUAGUUUGCUAAGCUUUGAAAAGAACUAGGUUGAGGGGAGAGAUUAGUUUGACAUGCUAUAUCCGGAAACUAAUAAGUAACACGUAGAUUUUUGUGGAAGAGUAAGGAUUGGACCUUUGGGAGUGGAAAUUAUUUUGAAGCUUAAAUUUGCAUAAUGCCUACUCUUUAUGAAUUGUGACUAGACAAAAUUAUUUGAUAGCUCCUAUUGAAGUUUGAGUUUUAUUUCUUUCAUGUUCCAUGUGAGAGUUUGAUCCAUGGAUGUCCAUCAUGCCACUCAUAUCAUUUUUUGGAGUGAUUUGCAUGAUCCCUUUUAUGUAUAUUAUUAUAGUUUACUUAGUUUUUAUCUCCUCCAUUGCUAAGGGACUAGCAAUGAGUCGGUUGGGGGGUGUGAUUACUACCAAAAAGUGCUAUUUUGUAGACCUAAUUAUAAUGGUUUUAAGCACCUUUGAGUAGUAAUCAUAUUCAUUUAACCCAAUUAAUUCAUUAAGGUCCUUAGUAAUUGGUUUUAACCAUUUUGUGGCAAGUUUACAUGUUUUUAUCAGCUUAUGAAUCAAUUCAAGCAUGCCAAAUGAUGGAGGAGCUACUUGGACAAGUUAUGGAAAAGCUUUUGGAAGCUCAAAUUCAUGAAGAACCAAGAUUUGGAGCUCCAUAGCCCUUUGCCAAAGUCGUUCAAAGUAUGCAAGGAAGGAACAAUGGAGAAGAGGAAAACAAAGGACAGCAGCUGCAGUCUUCUUUCGCACUUUUGGAGCACUUUCCGAAGUCCAUUUUCUACAUGCUAUAUACCAUUUCAAAGAUCAGGAAGUCAAGAAUCCAACGCUUCAAACCGUGUACGAUUUGGAGCUGAAAUGAGGAAGAUAUGGCUUUCGGAAGACAACUGCUCCAGGCUUGUGCGAAAAUUUCGCACAACACCUUCCAAUUUCGCACACCCCCUUGCAUGGUGCGAAUUUUCCCCUGUUUUUGCCGACUCCACACGAGAUCUUUUCUUUUGGAUAUUUUUGUAUAAAUUUCCAUUCUUCUCCUUGUAAUCCACCAAUCAUAAGAUUUCUUAGCUAGGAAGGUUGGAAAAACUUCUCUAUUUAUAUCCCCUUGCAUCCGUUGUAACAAAUUAUUGAAAUUAUUGAUAUAUUGAUAUAUAGAUAGAAAAUUUUACAGAGCUCUCCCGUUUCUAUUUUCUUAGUAGCCAAACAGCCUCUGAGGGUUUUUCCUCAAAGGAUGAUUGGCUAAAACUUUUAGUUUCUCAAAGUAUGGAUGUUAUGUGAUGGCUUGGAUGCAAUCCCAUGGAAAUUUCUCGCACCCGGAAAGUAAGGUAGUCGUUUUUCAUUAAUGGUUCAUUAAUGCAAAGUUUGGUUUUUAUUUCCUUUUGACAACUUCCAACGGCCAAUACUUGAUAAGCUUUUGGAUUUCUAUCCAUUAGUUAUCUCCUACGAGCUAUUGGAAGGUGAGGUUUUCAAUUCCAAGUUUUGCAUUAAUCCAUUAGAACCAAUUUCAAUGGCCAUUGAAAGGUGAGUUUAUCACCUGGAAUGACUUUGAGUUGCCAAUAUUUGGUAAGCUUUUAGCUUUAGACUACUAGUUAUCUCUUACGAGCCAUUCAAAGGAAGUCUAAGGUGAAUAACCAUUGAUGAAAUUCACUACCAUGUGUUUUGCCAUUUUAAAGGAUUAAAACUUGAUUUUCUAAAUCCAUACCGGUUCGGGAAGCAAGCAUCACCAUAGUUGCAACCCCAACGCGAGGAGCCUAUCCUGAGAUUUCCAAUUUGCAUAAGAGCCAGAGCAUAGCUAUCCUAUCUUUGAGGAACUUGUUUUUACACCCUUUCAUUUUAGUCUUUAAUGUUAGCUUAGAUUAGUUUAAAUCUUUCUAAAACAUUUGCAUCUUCUUUUAAAGCUAACAUCCAUAAGAAAAUCACCUAUUUUCCUAAUUUGAAUAUCACUUGUGUUUGCGAAAACCCUUCCCAGUGAACGAUCCUAGAACCACUAUGCUAUAGUAGCUUGGCUACUUUAGUAAUAGUAUUCAAGGUAUAAAUUUUGUUGAUACGCCUUAAGCUAAGCUACCAUGAGUCGAAUCAAUAACCCUCUAAUCUAAGAUGGAGGUGGGACGACACCUAAAAGCUCUUAACAUAGUAGUGACCAAUCUAUGUCACAUGUGCCAGUGAUAGAAGGCCGAUGAAUACAUAAUCCUAGAAUCAUGGCUACAUCCUGUAAAGUAACAAUCAUAUCUCCAAUAGGUAAAUGAAAUGUGUGUCUCGGGUCGUCAUCGCUCAACAAGACUCAUGAUCAAUGGCCAAUCUAGUGAAAUGUGUUUGACACGAUAUACACCAUAAAAUCCAGAUUGCAUCACAUAUCGCCGAAUAUGAGGGUCCGUCUCUCACUCUUGCAUGAAUGUCCAUAAACGUUGUCGACAUGUCAAUACCUGAUUAAGCUACAAAAGAUACCAUUUCGAUUAAAUAAGAACUUAAUUAAGGUUUAUGAUUAUGUUUUUCUAUACAUCUAUAUUUAUAUAUACAUAUAUACCUGACCAGAAUCCACUAAUUGAGACCUAUGUCUGUCAUGUAACACUAAAAUAGAGCGAUCUAAUGGAUCUGGAUCGAAUCUGCCCUCUCUAUGCCCCAUUACUAUAUUGUCAUAAUAAACUAAUGUUAAUAUUACAAUUUAAACAAUUUCGACAGAGUCUCCCCCAUAAAAAGGGUAUUCUCCAAAAUACAAAGAACCUGAUUAAUCAAAAUAUUCAUCUGCAACCAAUAUCAAUAUCCAAGUACAAUAAUUAAAAAAAAAUGUCAAACAAUAAUGUUCACAUCCAAAUUUUAAAAAUUUCAGCCGAGUAUCCCCUACAAAUAGGGUAUUCUCCAAAAUACAAACAACCUGAUUAAUCAAAAUAUUCAUCUGCAACCAAUAUCAAUAUACAAGUACAAUAAUGAAAAAAAAUGUAAUAAAAUAAUCUUCGCAUCCAAAUAUUAAAAAUUUCGACAGAGUCUCCCCUAUAAAUAGGGUAUUCUCCAAAAUACAAACAACCUGAUUAAUCAAAAUAUUCAUAUUACAAUUUUGAAAUUAACAGCAAAACCUCUCUUAUAACAUAGGUAUUGUCCAAAAUAAAAAUAACAUAAUAUCAACAUCCAAAGCCUAGCACCCAUGUUCUUAUUUGGACAAGAACGACGAUUGUGACCACUUUGUUUGCACAAACCACAUGUAACUGAGGUUUUACCUUCUCUAACAUCCAUUUCAUUGUGCAAACGAGUAGAUUUAGGUCGUCCACCUGACACACGUUUCAUUGAAUCUACAGGCACAAUAACUGGACCAACAUAUGGUGGCCACUCGUACUCAUUGUGUAUUGGGUUAAAUAGUGGUGCCCAAGUGCUAAAGUACAAAUGCAUAGUAUUUUAAUGUUGAACAAAUGAUCUAAAAUCAAUUGAAUGAAAAUGACAUGCCACUAGAAUAUGACUAUAUGGGAAUCCAUAUAUGAGUGUUUUGCCUCAUGUGCAUCCAUGCUCACAUAGGUUAACAUGAUAUGUUUGCCCACCAGAUGAUGUCUUUUUACUACCCCUACUAGCCUUCACAUGAAAUAGUCCUUGGAAGUGGUCAUAUAAAACAACCUCAUGGGAACUUGCCUUAACAUUUGCAUCAACAUAAAGAGUGUAUUAUUCACCUGAAGCAAGUCGACUAGCACCAUGUUCUCUUCUUACAGCAAAGUAACUAUUAACUUGAUAGAAUGUCAAUUGAACAAAUGCGGUGAUAGGGAAACUUCAUGCCCCUUUAAGCACACUAUUGAACACUUCUGACAUGUUCAUAGUCAUUAUGCCAUAUCGUCGACCUCCAUCAUGUGAUAGUGCCCAUUUCUCAAAGGGAAUAGCCUCCAACCAGCUGAGUGCGUCUUGAUUAAUUCUCCCAAUUGUCUCCAUAUGCAUGUUGAAUUUUUCUACCUUAGUUUCUAAGGUGGCUCUGCAUAAAAGUUGUUUCAAGCAUUUGUCCUUAAAGCGAGUCAUAAAGUUGCCAGAACGAUGGCGCAUACAAAUUUGAUAAUAUGCAUUUGGUGCAGACCAACCAAGAUGAACAUUAGCAAACGUAGCCAUAAUGCCCGGAUGACGAUCAGAGAAAACACAAAGACCCUUCCUUUGAGUUACUCGAUUUCUAAUACAUGCCAAAAACCAUCCCCAACUAUCAACAUUUUUACCUUCAAUUAAUGCAAAAACAAGAGGAAAAAAUUGAUUAUUUUCGUCAUAGCCCAUGGCAAUCAUUACAAUGCCCUUAUACUUCCCAUACAAGUGUGUACCAUCAAUAGUUAGCAUAGGACGACAAUGCUUGAAGCCCUCUAUGGAAGGAUGAAAUGCCCAAAAGACUCAUUGAAGUACCUCUUCAUUUCGCAUAUUACCUGGGAAUGUUUUAGAAAUUACAACACAUCCUGGAUUGGCUUGCUCUAAGACACCAAAAAAAUGUGGCAGUUUAGUGUAUGAUUUAUAGAAAUCACCAAACAAAUUAGUUAAUGCUUUACGCUUGCCUUUCGAAGCCUUAGUGUAUGAUAUAUGGUACCCGAAUCUUUCUACAACACUUGCUUGAAUGGAAGCCACUGAAAGUGUGAAUUGUGUCUUAAUCAUUCCUUCUAUAUGGGCGGCUAUCAGGUUUGAGUCUAACUGAUGAUGAUCUUGGUUCAUGCAAGGAUUGACACAUGUGUGUGGGCCACUGUAUUUGUUGAUCUCAAAUAAAGAUGUCCCUUUAACAACCGUAGCACGAAGUCUCCAAGGACAUUGAGAUUGUUCAGCUUUUUUGCAUCUUAAGUCCAACAAAUUCUUUGUGGAUGACAAAACGAUAUAGUACUCUUGGUGCGAAUUAAUAGAGUACAUCUUUACAGCAUGUUGUAAAUCUUCUUUGGAAUUAAAUAUUUGUCCAACUAUGAACUCUCCAAUUGGAUGUCCCAUAAGAGUGUUUCCACAUGGGGUCCAUUCACUUGACACAACAUGAUCAAUGUUUUCAAUAUUUUCAAAAUGUGGUGAUGGUGCCAAAUGAUAUUGCAUUGGAGAUAAUUCAAUUGGGUCAUCUAAAUCCUCUGUAUCUGGAUUGUUUAACAAGUUACAUCAUUCCCCAUCUAGAACCACAUAUCUCAUUUGUUCUCUUUCAAUUGCCUCACGAAUAGCUAAAAAAGGCGAGCUACCUUCCCUAUCCUGAUUAUCAUCAUUAUGAACGUCCUUGACUCCUACAUUGUCAUCAUCACAUUGUCUUCUUUCUUCAUCUUCCUCAUCCUCUUCCGAUCUAUGCUCAAAAGUAAAUGGAUUUUGAACAUUACUAGUACCAUCAUUUUCACCAAGUAACAAAGGUAUGUAAUUACCAAGUGGUGAAUUCAUUUGUAAGUCAAUAGGUACUUGUUCAACAAAUAACUCAACUUCAUCCAUCCCAAAUCUAUUAUGCAAUUAUUACAUUCGAGUUACACCACUAUCAUUCUUUACUGGGCAAGGUUGGAAUUUAUUCCCUUUUUUCAUAGGAUACUUACAACUAAGAAUUAAUCGAAAAUGUUCUUUAUUGAUGUCAGUGACCGAGUAUAUCAUUUCCAACAGUUGUUCAUAUGUUGUCCCAAGAGGCACAUCAAUAGGUUCAACCACAACUCUAUCCCCAACAUAAUCAACAUCAGUUUGUGUUCUCACUAUUUUCCCAUUACAAAAACAAACCAUUGCCACCGAUAAUUAGACAUAGUUUACCUAUAGAAGAAGCCAAAAAAAUCAAAUCAAUUUCAUUUUUAACCACAAAAUUACACAAUAGAAAACAUUAGUAAUAACAUCAAUUUGUAAUGAAAUAACAAAUAACAAUAAUAGGGUAUGUUAUUAACAAUAAUCAAAUAACAAAUAACACCUUAAUAUCCAAAUACUUCAAUGUUUUUUAUUAAUAAUAUUUUCUUAUUAUUUAUUACCAUUAAAAUUGAAUAAAAGGUUGUUAUUUUUCCAUUAACGAUUAAAAUGUCAUUGUUUAAGCUACCCAUAUUAAGUGGAAAAAAAUUUUAAAUUUGUUCAAAAUUUGAUUUUAUAUAAGUUUCAAAAAUGGAUGUAAUGUGUACAUAUUUAAUAUAAUUACUAGUUACAACUAUAAAUAUUUUAAUAUUUUCCAUUAAAAUAAUCAAAAAAGAGAAAGCGGAAUAGACAUAUUAAUACACUUUUCCUUAUGUCUGGUUAAUUUUUAAAUUUUUUUAAUUUAAUUAAAAUUUUACAAUUUAUAAUUUAAUAAGUUAAAUUUUAAAUAAAAACUAAUAUUUUCUAUAUAUUAAAUUUAUUUUUAGUGUUAUUUAUUUAUUUUUAUUUUUUUAUAACUAUUGAGUUCUUGAAAUAUCUUAUAAUCUUUAAGAGUCUAUCUCCAUCUUAUAGAUUUUUCCCUCUAUGACCUAAAAUAUUUAUAAAAAUAUUCUAAACAAAUUUCCUUAUUCUAUGAGGAAAUAUGAUAUCACAAUAAUAAAUUAACUUAGAAAAUAAUUUAUACAAUAUUCUUUACAAAAAGGAAUUUAUACUAAUUGAGAAUUUGAUACACUUUCUAAUAUAUGAUACAAUUCAAAAGCUAACCAAUAAUUACAAGCAAUUUUCAUGGUUUGGAGAUCCAACCUAGGUUCUACAUGUCUUUUUACAAUUUUAUAAAGUUCUUAUCAUUUCUAGAGGUGCUAUUAAAUGUUAUACAUGCCAUUAAAUGAUUCGAGUUCUAGGAGCCCUAGAGUUUGGUCAUGACUUGAGUUCUAAGAGCCCUAGAGUUUGGUCAUGAUUCGAGUUCUAGGAGCCCUGUAUUGGGGAAGAGAUUGUUAUAUGCACAAUAGUAUUAUCUUUAGAAAAAUGAUGAUUGAAAAAUGACACACUCAUAUCUCCUUGAUCCUAAUAAUUUUUUUUUUGAAAAAAUAUAUAAUAAAAAUUAUAUAUUUUUAGAGGAGAAAAAGAAAGAAAAAUAAAUUUAAUAAUCACUUCCAAUUUUAUUAAGUUAAUAAAUUAUGAAAACAAAUUUAAAAAUAAUUUGAAAAACUUAAGCAUUUGUAAUGAUGGUUUCUCGGUAAAUCUAGUAGGCUUUUUGGUACAAGAAACAAGGGUCAAAAUCCAAGGAAGGCUUUUCGUGCAAAAACCACAAAAAGCCCAAGCCUGCCUUUAGAAGACGUCCCCAACAAAGAGCAAUGACUUGACCCCAUUAUGGCUCGCGGCUCACAGCUUAUUAAUAAUAAUGUUAUAGGGGUGUUGCCCAAAUUUAAACCUUUAUCAUGCGGGUCCUCUCUAGUACAAUCCAAUGGGUUCACGGUUCAUUAUUAAAAGCUUCAAAACAAAUCAUAUGAUGAUAGAGCAAGCAUUGAAGAAUUUGAUUUUCAAUGCAACUGUGCUAUUACUAUUGAGAGGUAAGAAUUGGAAGGUAUUAUGGUUAACAUUGUCAUAUUUGGAAUGCUUUUGUUGGAUUUGAGAAGUAAUUUGGUUAUAUUUGGAAGAUAAUUUGGUCCUAUUUUAUAAAGUUCUUAACAUUUUGGUAAUGGUUUUACAUGUCAUUAAUGAAAGUUUUAUAAAAUGUAACAUUAAUAAUAACAUUUUUAAAAUAUAAUUUUGAUUUGCUUAAAAGGGAGGACUAAGUGUUUUUUUAGAUUUUUUUUUGCAAAUAUUUAACAUUUUCAUACAAUAUAAUUCCAAAGUCCAUUUUUAAUACUUAUUACCAAUUUAAUAAAUUUAAAAUACUUGAAAAAAAAAUUAAGAUAUACCCAAUAAGAUCAUUUUUAAAACAUGUUUCGUUGAGUUAACAAAAAAUGUUUUUUUUUAUAACUAUUAAAACAAAAAACAUGUUUAGAAGUUGGUUUUUUUUUUAAAUAAAAAAAAAUUAAUGUUUUCUUCAUAACUCUUCUCUAUUUAUAGAAAAAGAUAUAAAUAAAAAAAUUUCAACAAAAUAUAAUAAUAAGAGAGUGAUGGAUUUGAAUGGGAAAUAAAAUUAUAUUUUUAGUUUUUUAUUUUAUUUUAAAUUUUGGUCAUAUAUACAUAUUUUUUUUAAUUACAAUAAAUAAGAAGAUAAAAUGUUUUAAUAAUAAACAAGUAAAUAUCAUACUAAAUAAGGAUUAACGAUAAUUUUUAAACAAGUGGAUUAUGAUUAAUUUUUAAUUUUUUUAUUAAAAAAAAAGGAAAAAUAAACAAGUGGAGUGUGAUUAAUUUUUAAUUUUUUUAUUAAAAAAAGGAAAAUAAAAAAUGAUUAAACAAAUAAUUUUUAUAUUAAAAAAUGCAUACAAUUUUCAAAAUUUUAAAAUUAUAAAAAUUAAUUGAAAAAUGAUUAUCAAAUAUCCCUCAAAGUCGAAGCUGAAGUCCGACUUAUGAAAUUCUAAAAUUGUCCUUCUUCUUUGGGAUUCUCAGUUCCCAAACAAAGUAUUUGCUUGAGAAAGGCAUCUACUCUAUUAGGAGCUAAACACAAGUAGGGUUUUUGCACCCUCCACGUACAACCAUCCUUUCCAGCAGCCCUCUGGUAUCUACCCUCCUUCCUUGCUGAGAAAACUGGGCAAAAUCAAAGAAUUUGCAUUUGGGCAAAAUUUUUGUUAGUUUUGCACAUUGACCUACACUUCUUCUUUCUCUUCAAAUCUCUCAUUCGUCUCUCUUCUCACAAUCUCUCCCUCUCGUUCCUCACUCCUCUCUUCCUCUUUCAUUGCUCUAUCAAAUCAUCCAAUUGGAUCAGUCCACUUCGAACCCUAACCCACCACCGCCCAAAUUCGAAAUCUACCCAAACCCUCAAAGUGCAGAAGUCAACCAUUCCACCGCCCAAAUUCAAAAUCUACCCAAACCCCCAAAGUGUAGAAACCAAUUUCCUUCAGUGCUCUUAUCUCUCUCUGUCAAUCUUUCUUUUUUUCUUCCGUUCACAAGUAGAAACCACAAAAAACAACUUGAGAUUUUAAAAAUUUUCAAAGGUUGUUUUUAAUUUUUCGUUUUCCUCUGUUUGGUUUGUAAGAAAGCUAAGGAAAAUGAGGGGAAAAAAACUCAUGAACCACUGUUAAAAUGCUUCAAAAACUUACCUAGCCACUUCAAGACGUUGCUAGUGGAGCUGCUGGUGGGAGCCGCAGAUGGUGGGAGCGGCAGAGAAGAGAAAAUAAUAGUUAGGGUUUCUUUGUUGAAUGAUUUCGGAUGAAAAAAUGGGUCUUUAGAGUAAAAGUUUGCUGAUGUGGAUUGCUGAUGUGGAUUCAAAAGACUAGUUUGACAGAUGUAUUAGUUUGUUUGUUUUUUUUUUUUUUUUUUUAAGUAAACACUACUUUGGCUGCAAACUUGAGUUUUUGAUAGAACCUAGAGAAUUCAAGGGGAGACUCUAUCAAGCGUGAUAAGAAAAGCAUUCGUCGUUCUGUCCUAUUCUCUAUGCUACAUAUCCUGGGAAAAGACCUGUGCGACCCACGCUUUUCCAUUUUACAUGGUGGACUCAAGAAUUUUUAUUUUUAUUUUUAUUUUUAUUUUUAUUUUUUAUUUUACACCCAUUUUUGGGAUUUUUUUUUUUUCCAUUUGAAAUCUCCAUGUUCAUACCAAUUGAUUUUUUAACCAAAAAAACAAAAACACUAUUGAUGAUUUAGAAUUUGUUUGAUAUAGGAGUUUUAUUUUUUAUUUUUUAUUUUUCUACCACUUUAAAAUUUUUAUAUAAAAAAAUUAUUUUCAAAUAUUAGAUUGGAUAGAAAUACUUAUUAAAAUCAUUGUCUACCAAACGCCUCAUCUCUAUACAAUAAUUGGAUUACAGAUAUAAUAAUUUUAUUAUUAUUAUAAUUAAAAUUAAUACGAAGAAGUUAAAAUUAUUUCUAAAUAAUUUAAGAUUUUAAAAUAUUUUAUUCUUUUUAUCUUUAGUAUUAUCAUAUUAAAUAUAAAACAUAAAUGUAUUAAUAUUUCAUUAUUUUAUUUUUAAUAUAUUAAAUAUUAAAUACAAAUGUUUUAAUAUUUUUUUAUUUGGUGAAAUAGGAGAAUUACUAAAAAGAAAUAUCAUGUAUUAUUGAAUGGUGAAAUAAAAUUUUAUUAUUUAUUUCAUUCACACUUCAUUAGUAUUUUGUUAAAGAGUCAUUUUUCAGAGGCAUGCAAGUAUGAUAUGGAUAGUUGUUUAUGGCCCCAGUGUGGCUUUACAACUAACAUAUCAUUUAUUGACUAAUUAUCUACAUACCUAAUUUCAAAAAAAAAAAAAAAACUAUCGAUGAUUUAGAAUUAAUUUAAUAUAGGAUUUUUAUUCAUAUAUUUUUUUUCUACCACUUCAAAAUUUUUAAAUAAAAAAAUUAUUUUCAAAUAUUAGAUUGGAUAGAAAUACUUAUUAAAAUCAUUGUUUAACACAUGCUUAAUCCCUAUACAAUAAUUGGAUUACAGAUAUAAUAAUUUUAUUAUUAUUAUAAUUAAAAUUAAUACGAAGAAGUUAAAAUUAUUUCUAAAUAAUUUAACAUUUAAAAAUAUUUUAUUCUUUUUAUCUUUAGUAUUAUCAUAUUAAAUAAAAAAGAUAAAUGUAUUAAUAUUUCAUUAUUUUAUUUUUAAUAUAUUUAAUAUUAAAUACAAAUGUGUUAAUAUUUUUUUAUUUUGUGAAAUAGGAGAAUUAUUAAAAAGAAAUAUCAUCUAUUAUUGAAUGGUGAAAUAAAAUUUUAUUAUUUAUUUCAUUCACACUUCAUUAGUAUUUUGUUAAAGGGUCAUUUUUCAUAGGCAUGCAAGUAUGUUAUGGAUAGUUGUUUAUGGCCCCAGUGUGGCUUUACAACUAACAUAUCAUUUAUUGACUAAUUAUCUACAUACCUAAUUUCAAUAAAUAAAUAAAAAACUAUCGAUGAUUUAGAAUUAAUUUAAUAUAGGAUUUUUAUUUAUAUAUUUUUUUUUUCUACCACUUCAAAAUUUUUAAAUAAAAAAAUUAUUUUCAAAUAUUAGAUUGGAUAGAAAUACUUAUUAAAAUCAUUGUCUAACACAUGCUUAAUCCCUAUACAAUAAUUGGAUUACAGAUAUAAUAAUUUUAUUAUUAUUAUAAUUAAAAUUAAUACGAAGAAGUUAAAAUUAUUUCUAAAUAAUUUAAGAUUUUAAAAUAUUUUAUUCUUUUUAUCUUUAGUAUUAUCAUAUUAAAUAUAAAACAUAAAUGUAUUAAUAUUUCAUAAUUUUAUUUUUAAUAUAUUAAAUAUUAAAUACAAAUGUGUUAAUAUUUUUUUAUUUUGUGAAAUAGGAGAAUUAUUAAAAAGAAAUAUCAUGUAUUAUUGAAUGGUGAAAUAAAAUUUUAUUAUUUAUUUCAUUCACACUUCAUUAGUAUUUCGUUAAAGAGUCAUUUUUCAGAGGCAUGCAAGUACGUUAUGAAUAGUUGUUUAUGGCCCCAGUGUGGCUUUACAACUAACAUAUCAUUUAUUGACUAAUUAUCUACAUACCUAAUUUCAGUAAAAAAAAAAAAAAAAAACUAUCAAUGAUUUAGAAUUAAUUUGAUAUAGGAUUUUUAUUUAUUUUUUAUUUUUCUACCACAUCAAAAUUUUUAUAAAAAAAAAUUAUUUUCAAAUAUUAGAUUGGAUAGAAAUACUUAUUAAAAUCAUUGUCUACCAAACGCUUCAUCUCUAUACAAUAAUUGGAUUACAGAUAUAAUAAUUUUAUUAUUAUUAUAAUUAAAAUUAAUACGAAGAAGUUAAAAUUAUUUCUAAAUAAUUUAAGAUUUUAAAAUAUUUUAUUCUUUUUAUCUUUAGUAUUAUCAUAUUAAAUAUAAAACAUAAAUGUAUUAAUAUUUCAUAAUUUUAUUUUUAAUAUAUUAAAUAUUAAAUACAAAUGUGUUAAUAUUUUUUUAUUUUGUGAAAUAGUAGAAUUAUUAAAAAGAAAUAUCAUGUAUUAUUGAAUGGUGAAAUAAAAUUUUAUUAUUUAUUUCAUUCACACUUCAUUAGUAUUUCGUUAAAGAGUCAUUUUUCAGAGGCAUGCAAGUACGUUAUGGAUAGUUGUUUAUGGCCCCAGUGUGGCUUUACAACUAACAUAUCAUUUAUUGACUAAUUAUCUACAUACCUAAUUUCAGUAAAAAAAAAAAAAAAAACUAUCAAUGAUUUAGAAUUAAUUUGAUAUAGGAUUUUUAUUUAUUUUUUAUUUUUCUACCACUUUAAAAUUUUUAUAUAAAAAAAAAUUAUUUUCAAAUAUUAGAUUGGAUAGAAAUACUUAUUAAAAUCAUUGUCUACCAAACACUUCAUCUCUAUACAAUAAUUGGAUUACAUAUAUAAUAAUUUUAUUAUUAUUAUAAUUAAAAUUAAUACGAAGAAGUUAAAAUUAUUUCUAAAUAAUUUAAGAUUUUAAAAUAUUUUAUUCUUUUUAUCUUUAGUAUUAUCAUAUUAAAUAUAAAACAUAAAUGAAUUAAUAUUUCAUAAUUUUAUUUUUAAUAUAUUAAAUAUUAAAUACAAAUGUUUUAAUAUUUUUUUAUUUUGUGAAAUAGGAGAAUUAUUAAAAAGAAAUAUCAUGUAUUAUUGAAUGGUGAAAUAAAAUUUUAUUAUUUAUUUCAUUCACACUUCAUUAGUAUUUCGUUAAAGAGUAAUUUUUCAGAGGCAUGCAAGUACGUUAUGGAUAGUUGUUUAUGGCCCCAGUGUGGCUUUACAACUAACAUAUCAUUUAUUGACUAAUUAUCUACAUACCUAAUUUCAGUAAAAAAAAAAAAAAAAAACUAUCAAUGAUUUAGAAUUAAUUUGAUAUAGGAUUUUUAUUUAUUUUUUAUUUUUCUACCACUUUAAAAUUUUUAUAUAAAAAAAAAUUAUUUUCAAAUAUUAGAUUGGAUAGAAAUACUUAUUAACAUCAUUGUCUAACAAAUGCUUAAUCUCUAUACAAUAAUUGGAUUACACAUAUAAUAAUUUUAUUAUUAUUAUAAUUAAAAUUAAUACGAAGAAGUUAAAAUUAUUUCUAAAUAAUUUAUAAUUCUAAAAUAUUUUAUUCUUUUUGUCUUUAGUAUUAUCAUGUUAAAUAUAAAACAUAAAUGUAUUAAUAUUUCAUUAUUUUAUUUUUAAUAUAUUAAAUAUUAAAUACAAAUGUUUUAAUAUUUUUUUAUUUGGUGAAAUAGGAGAAUUAUUAAAAAGAAAUAUCAUGUAUUAUUGAAUGGUGAAAUAAAAUUUUAUUAUUUAUUUCAUUCACACUUCAUUAGUAUUUUGUUAAGGGAGAUUUGUGUUUUGGGCCCAGCUGGGCCCAAAAAUUAACAUUUGGUCUUCCAACCACCCAUAUUUAAAUCCAAGACUCAAACAAAGUAUGAAAAUUAAGAUGAAGGAUAUUGUCUUUCAUUAAUUCCUAAAAUACCCUUAUUCCUUAUAUGCCUACAAGUGAGUGUGAAUUUUAAUUUUUUUUUGUAUUUUUUUUCCUUUUCUAUUCCCUAUUAAAUAUUACUCAUUUCUAACUUUUUUUUUCCUUUUUAUUCCAAUAUAUAUUUCUGUUUUAUGUCAAAUAAAAAACAAUAAUAUUUUUUUAUUUUUCAUUUUUAAAGAUAUUGAAUCUUUUUGCUCUUAUUAAAAGCAAUGAUAAAAAUUUUGGGAUUUUUCAUCCAAAUAUUUUUUAUCUUUAUGUAUUUAUCUUUUACUUUAAUUUUCAUUUUUUAUUUUAAAUUUAUAUUACCAUUUCAUCUAUAUUUUUCUCUUAUUUUUUAUAUUUUCUACAUUAACCAUAUUUUAAAAAAAUUUUAAAUUAACUAUCACUUCACUUUAUUAUAUAUAUAUAUAUAUAUAUAUAUAUAUAUAUAUAUUUAGCUUUUUAAUUUUUAAUGUUUUUAUUUUAAAAUUUUUAAAAAGAUAAAUUUGUUGAAAAAAUAUAACUAAGAUAUGAAGUUCUAAUAUUAUAUUAAUAAUUUUUCUUAUCUAGAUAGACUAAUGCAAAGUAUUUUGACCCCCAACAAGAAAAUUGUCAAUACAAUUUUUUAGUUAAACUUUAAAAAUUAAGUUUCAAAUAAAAUAUAUUAUAUAAAAUUUUAUCUAAAAAUUAUUGAAAGUGGUAUUUAAUUUUUUUAUUUAUUGACUUUGAAACUUAUCUAGUUUUUUACUUGAAAGGUAAUAGAACAUGUUUAUAAAAAAAAAAAUUAGUUUUUCAUUUUUUAAAUAAAUGAGUAUAAAUAUAUUUAAAAAAAAAUUAAAGAUAAUCUUAGUAAAAAAUUUGAUAAAUAUGAUUAUAAUUUUAAAUAUAGAUUCAUGUGGAUAAAAUUUCACAAAAAAAAAAAAAAUAGUGGAAAGAAAGAACAUUGUUAAAACUACAAAAACAAAAUAUGCAAUUACAAAAAUUUGAUGAUGAAAUUUAAAAAUAAAAUUCGAAACAAUUCUUGAGUGAGAGAAUUUGAGUGGGGAAAAAAUAUUUGAGUGGAAAAAAAUGGGAAAGUUUUUCGAAAUCACUUUAAAUCCUUAACAAAAAGUAGUCUUGUACACCCUUGUACAAUUAGUAAAUUUGUCUUGUACAGUUAGUGUAAUACCCUUGUACAGUUAGUGUAAUACCCAUGUACAAUAACUCAAAUUUCAUACAUCAUUUUAUGAAUAUCUAACAAUAGGUCGAUUAACCAUGUUUGCAUCGGUUUGGUUUUAAAAAGGAAAAAAAAUUGUUGUAUAAUUUUGUUUUACAAUCAUCAUAAGUGAGGUAGCUAUUAAAAUGACCAUAUACAGUUAGAUAAAUACAUGAGAUGAUGUAUGCUUAACUAAUGUGUAUAAGAAAUGUCAUUUAUCAUNNNNNNNNNNNNNNNNNNNNNNNNNNNNNNNNNNNNNNNNNNNNNNNNNNNNNNNNNNNNNNNNNNNNNNNNNNNNNNNNNNNNNNNNNNNNNNNNNNNNAACAUGUUUACAAAAAAAAUUAGUUUUUCAUUUUUUAAAUAAAUGAGUAUAAAUAUAUUAAAAAAAUUAAAGAUAAUCUUAGUAAAAAAUUUGAUAAAUAUGAUUAUAAUUUUAAAUAUAGAUUCAUGUGGAUAAAAUUUCACAAAAAAAAAAAAAAUAGUGGAAAGAGAGAACAUUGCUAAAACUACAAAAACAAAAUAUGCAAUUACAAAAAUUUGAUGAUGAAAUUUAAAAAUAAAAUUCGAAACAAUUCUUGAGUAAGAGAAUUUAAAGUGGGGAAAAAAUAUUUGAGUGGAAAAAAAUGGGAAAGUUUUUCGAAAUUACUUUAAAUCCUUAACAAAAAGUAGUCUUGUACACCCUUGUACAAUUAGUAAAUUUGUCUUGUACAGUUAGUGUAAUACCCUUGUACAAUAACUCAAAUUUCAUACAUCAUUUUAUGAAUAUCUAACAAUAGGUCAGUUAAUCAUGUUUGCAUCGGUUUGGUUUUAAAAAGGAAAAAAAAUUGUUGUAUAAUUUUGUUUUACAAUCAUCAUAAGUGAGGUACCUAUUAAAAUGACCAUAUACAAGUUAGAUAAAAUACAUGAGAUGAAUGUAUGCUUAACCAAUGUGUGUAAGGAAUGUCAUUUAUCCUUGGUUAAGGGAAAUAAACAAACAAGUUUUUUAGAAUCACUUAAAAUCCUUCACAAAUAAUAGUCUUGUACAGUUAAUAUAUUUGUCAUGUAUACUUAGUGUAAAUACCUUGUACAGUGACUAAAAGAAAAAGUUAUUUUAUUUUAUUUUCAAUGCAAAAUGUAAUUAAAAAUAAGACAAAGAAAUUACUUAAAAACUAUUAUUUAAGUCAAAUUUAUUUAUUUAUUUCCUUUUAUUUUUGGAAAUAAAGAAAAAAGAAUAAAAAAAUUAUUUAACCAUAAGAAAUAUGAAUAUAAGAUCAGUUGGAAAAUUCUAAAUUUAUUUAUUUAUUUCAUUUUAUUUUUGGAAUUAAAGAAAUAAAAAAUAAAAAAUUUAUUUAAUCAUAAAAAAUAUUGAUAUAAGAUAUAUUAAAAAAUAGAAAUAACCCCAAAUUUAUUUACUUAUUUCAUUUUAUUUAUUAAAUUAGAAAUUAAUUUAUUUUAAUAGAUUAAAAUGUACACAAUUGAUUUAUUACUUUGUUAAUUAUGGAUAUAUUAAAAUUUUCGAUAAAAAAUAAAUAAAGAAAAUAAAAUUAAAAAGAGUAAUAAAUAUAUAUAAUUUAGUUAUUUAAUUAUUUUUCAUGUAAAAGAUAGUCCCACAAAAAACACAUAAUUGAUUAAUUUCUUUGUUUAAUCGUAAACAUACUAUAUAUUUUUUUUUUUAUUAAAAUAACUAAUGAAAAAAAAAAAUGGAUAAUCAAUGAAUGAAAUUUAGUUCUUUUUAUUAUUUUCAUAUAAAAAUAGUACUAAACAAGGUUUUCAAUUUUUAUUUUUUAAAAUAGUUUUCAUUUUUUAAAUAAAUGUUUUUUCAAAAAGAAAAUAUAAAAAAUAUAAAUCAUAUUACUAUUUUUUAGAAAGUAUUUUUUAAAAUAGCUUUCGAACAUAAUUUUUCUUUAUUUAUAAUUUAAAAUAGAAAAUAAUGUUGAUUUUCAAUUAUUUAUAUAAAAAAAAAUUAAAAUAAUGAAAAAUCCAAAUUGUUAAAAUAGAAUUAUUAUGGUUGCAUGAAUAAUGGUGCAAUAAAGACAAAAAAAAAAAAAGUUUAUGUGAAAGGUCAUGGGGUAUUUUAGUCAAUCACUAUUUUAUGUCCUUAAAAGGUAAUGUAUAGAAAUUUGAAGGAUAUAUUGGUCUUUUAACAUCUCAUAUCCUUUCCAUCAAUUAUGGAAGUUAUAUGGACCAAAUGUUAAUUUUUGGGCCCAAUUGGGCCCAAAACACAAUUCUCCCUUUUGUUAAAGAGUCAUUUUUCAGAGGCAUGCAAGCAUGAUAUGGAUAGUUGUUUAUGCCCCAGUGUGGCUUUACAACUAACAUAUCAUUUAUUGACUAAUUAUCUACAUACCUAAUUUAAAAAAAAAAAAAAAAACUAUCGAUGAUUUAGAAUUAAUUUAAUAUAGGAUUUUUAUUCAUAUAUUUUUUUUCUACCACUUCAAAAUUUUUAAAUAAAAAAAUUAUUUUCAAAUAUUAGAUUGGAUAGAAAUACUUAUUAAAAUCAUUGUUUAACACAUGCUUAAUCCCUAUACAAUAAUUGGAUUACAGAUAUAAUAAUUUUAUUAUUAUUAUAAUUAAAAUUAAUACGAAGAAGUUAAAAUUAUUUCUAAAUAAUUUAACAUUUUAAAAUAUUUUAUUCUUUUUAUCUUUAGUAUUAUCAUAUUAAAUAAAAAAGAUAAAUGUAUUAAUAUUUCAUUAUUUUAUUUUUAAUAUAUUUAAUAUUAAAUACAAAUGUGUUAAUAUUUUUUUAUUUUGUGAAAUAGGAGAAUUAUUAAAAAGAAAUAUCAUCUAUUAUUGAAUGGUGAAAUAAAAUUUUAUUAUUUAUUUCAUUCACACUUCAUUAGUAUUUUGUUAAAGGGUCAUUUUUCAUAGGCAUGCAAGUAUGUUAUGGAUAGUUGUUUAUGGCCCAGUGUGGCUUUACAACUAACAUAUCAUUUAUUGACUAAUUAUCUACAUACCUAAUUUCAGUAAAAAAAAAAAAAAACUAUCGAUGAUUNNNNNNNNNNNNNNNNNNNNNNNNNNNNNNNNNNNNNNNNNNNNNNNNNNNNNNNNNNNNNNNNNNNNNNNNNNNNNNNNNNNNNNNNNNNNNNNNNNNNUUUUAUUUUGUGAAAUAGAGAUUAUUAAAAGAAAUAUCAUCUAUUAUGAAUGGUGAAAUAAAAUUUUAUAUUAUUUCAUCACCACUUCAUUAGUAUUUUGUUAAAGGGUCAUUUUUCAUAGGCAUGCAAGUAUGUUAUGGAUAGUUGUUUAUGGCCCAGUGUGGCUUUACAACUAACAUAUCAUUUAUUGACUAAUUAUCUACAUACCUAAUUUCAGUAAAAAAAAAAAAAAACUAUCGAUGAUUUAGAAUUAAUUUAAUAUAGGAUUUUUAUUUAUAUAUAUAUUUUUUCUACCACUUCAAAAUUUUUAAAUAAAAAAAUUAUUUUCAAAUAUUAGAUUGGAUAGAAAUACUUAUUAAAAUCAUUGUCUAACACAUGCUUAAUCCCUAUACAAUAAUUGGAUUACAGAUAUAAUAAUUUUAUUAUUAUUAUAAUUAAAAUUAAUACGAAGAAGUUAAAAUUAUUUCUAAAUAAUUUAGCAUUUUAAAAUAUUUUAUUCUUUUUAUCUUUAGUAUUAUCAUAUUAAAUAUAAAACAUAAAUGUAUUAAUAUUUCAUAAUUUUAUUUUUAAUAUAUUAAAUAUUAAAUACAAAUGUGUUAAUAUUUUUUUAUUUUGUGAAAUAGGAGAAUUAUUAAAAAGAAAUAUCAUGUAUUAUUGAAUGGUGAAAUAAAAUUUUAUUAUUUAUUUCAUUCACACUUCAUUAGUAUUUGGUUAAAGUGUCAUUUUUCAUAGGCAUGCAAGUACGUUAUGGAUGGUUGUUUAUGGCCCCAAUGUGGCUUUAGAACUAACAUAUCAUUUAUUGACUAAUUAUCUACAUACCUAAUUUCAGUAAAAAAAAAAAAAAACACUAUCGAUGAUUUAGAGUUAAUUUGAUAUUGUAUUUUUAUUUAUUUAUUUAUUUUUCUACCUCUUCAAAAUUUUUAAAUAAAAAAAUUAUUUUCAAAUAUUAGAUUGGAUACAAAUACUUAUUAAAAUCAUUGUCGAACAAAUGCUUAAUCUCUAUACAAUAAUUGGAUUACAGAUAUAAUAAUUUUAUUAUUAUCAUAAUUAAAAUUAAUAAGAAGAAGUUAAAAUUAUUUCUAAAUAAUUUAACAUUUUAAAAUAUUUUAUUCUUUUUAUCUUUAGUAUUGUCAUAUUAAAUAUAAAACAUAAAUGUAUUAAUAUUUCAUUUUUUUAUUUUUAAUAUAUUAAAUAUUAAAUAGAAAUGUGUUAAUAUUUUUUUAUUUUGUGAAAUAGGAGAAUUAUUAAAAAUGAAAUAUCAUGUAUUAUUGAAUGGUGAAAUAAAAUUUUAUUAUUUAUUUCAUUCACACUUCCUUAGUAUUUCGUUAAACAAUCAUUUUUCAGAGGCAUGCAAGUACGUUAUGGAUAGUUGUUUAUGGCCCCAAUGUUCCUUUACAACUAACAUAUCAUUUAUUCACUAAUUAUCUACAUACCUAAUUUCAGAGAUUUAAUUAUUUUAUUAAAAAUUUGGUAGAAAAUUCUACAAAGCAAUCAGAUCUUUAUCAUGUAUUAAACACUAAAAAAAAAAAAAAAACUAUUGAUGAUUUAGAAUUUGUUUGAUAUAGGAUUUUUAUUUUUUAUUUUUUAUUUUUCUACCACUUCAAAAUUUUUAUAAAAACAAAAUUAUUUUCAAAUAUUAGAUUGGAUAGAAAUACUUAUUAAAAUCAUUGUCUAACAAAUGCUGAAUCCCUAUACAAUAAUUGGAUUACAGAUAUAAUAAUUUUAUUAUUAUUAUAAUUAAAAUUAAUACGAAGAAGUUAAAAUUAUUUCUAAAUAAUUUAUAAUUUUAAAAUAUUUUAUUCUUUUUAUCUUUAGUAUUAUCAUAUUAAAUAUAAAACAUAAAUGUAUUAAUAUUUCAUUAUUUUAUUUUUAAUAUAUUAAAUAUUAAAUGCAAAUGUGUUAAUAUUUUUUUAUUUUGUGAAAUAGGAGAAUUAUUGGAAAGAAAUAUCAUGUAUUAUUGAAUGGUGAAAGAAAAUUUGAUUAUUUAUUUCAUUCACACUUCGUUAGUAUUUCGUUAGAGUGUCAUUUUUCAGAGGCAUGCAAGUACGUUAUGGAUAGUUGUUUAUGGCCCCAGUGUGGCUUUACAACGAACAUAUCAUUUAUUGACUAAUUAUCUACAUACCUAAUUUCAGAGAUUUAAUUAUUUUAUUAAAAAUUUGGUAGAAAAUUCUACAAAGCAGUUGGAUCUUUAUCAUGUAUUAAACACUAAAAAAAAAAAAUAGGAUUUUUAUUUUUUAUUUUUUAUUUUUGUACCACUUCAAAAUUUUUAUAAAAACAAAAUUAUUUUCAAAUAUUAGAUUGGAUAGAAAUACUUAUUAAAAUCAUUGUCUAACAAAUGCUUAAUCUCUAUACAAUAAUUGGAUUACACAUAUAAUAAUUUUAUUAUUAUUAUAAUUAAAAUUAAUACGAAGAAGUUAAAAUUAUUUCUAAAUAAUUUAAAACUUUAAAAUAUUUUAUUUUUUUUAUCUUUAGUAUUAUCUUAUUAAAUAUAAAAUAUAAAUGUAUUAAUAUUUCAUUAUUUUUUUUAAUAUAUUAAAUAUUAAAUACAAAUGUGUUAAUAUUUUUUUAUUUUGUGAAAUAGGAGAAUUAUUAAAAAGAAAUAUCAUGUAUUAUUGAAUGGUGAAAUAAAAUUUUAUUAUUUAUUUUAUUUACACUUUAUUAGUAUUUCGUUAAAGUGUCAUUUUUCAGAUGCAUGCAAGUAUGUUAUAGAUAGUUGUUUAUGGCCCCAAUGUGGCUUUAGAACUAACAUAUCAAUUAUUGACUAAUUAUCUACAUACCUAAUAUCAUAGAUUUAAUUAUUUUUUAAAAAAUUUGGUAGAAAAUUCUACAAAGCAGUUGGAUCUUUAUCAUGUAUUAAACAUUAAAAAAAUAAAAAAAAUUCAUAUUCUUUUGUUUAAAAAGGAGUACUCACGAUCAAGUCAUAAAUGAGGAUAAGUCAAUCAUUGAGAGAGUGUUUUGUAAAACUUAAUACAUAUUACUUGAUAAUUUAAGUUGACUUUAAGUUAAAUUAUAUUAAAGUUGUCGACUUAAAACUUAUUACUUUAAGUAUUAAGGUUGUUUAAUAAAAUUAACAUAUUUAUCUUCAUAAAUUAUAAUUAGGGUAAAGGAGAUUAAGUAAUAAUGGAGGUUGUAGAUUAGAAAAAGAGAUCGAUGAGGUAAUUAUGACAAAUGAAGGUAAAUAGGUAAAAUGGUUGAAUGAGUAAUUUUUAAUGAUUUUAAUAUAAGAGUUGAAAUUCUCAAUCAAUCACAAGGAGAAUAAACGAUUUUACUUAGAAAAGCCCAACAUAAAGUGUGGAAGUAAAAAUGAGAUCUUAGAUCGAUGAUCCACAAUAUAAAAUUUUAAUACACAAUUUUACUUGACAACCGCUACCUAAAACUUACUCUUUAGCACCUAUAUCAUGAUCCAUAUUCAUGAUGCAAUACCUCGAAUACUAUAAUUUACCCCAACGAAUAUGAGAUAAUAUAAUAACAUUUAAAUUUAUUUUUGACACCCAUGAUUAGCAAAGAAGCAAGAAAUUAAACUAAGGGAAUUGAAUCAUACUAACAUUAUUUUUCGAUAACUAAAUGAUGUCAUAAAAUAUAUUAUAUUAAAUUAAUAUAAUAAUUUUGAAUAAUGAAACUCAAAAUGUUGAAUUAAAGUUACAAAUAAUAAAUUUGCAAAUUUAAGCUUAUUGUUUAUUAUUACUGUUGUUGUUAGUGUCCCCUCCAAUCAUUAUAUAUAUCACCCAUGCAACUCACCGGCCACACAAACACAUCCUCAGCCACAGCAAUGGAGCAGCACCACUUCCUCAUUAUAUCACAUCCAAUGCAAGGCCACAUCAACCCAGCCCUCCUAUUCGCCAAGCGCCUGAUCAGAACCGGCGCCCACGUCACCUUCGCCGUCUCCGUCUCCGCCCAUCGCCGCAUGCCCAGAGGUCCAGCCCUCCCCGGUUUAACCCUAGUCCCCUUCUCCGAUGGCUAUGAUGAUGGGUUCAAGCUCGAAGAUCAUCCCCAGCACUAUUUGUCCGAGAUCAAGCGUUGCGGAUCAGAAACCCUCAGGCGGAUCACUGCAAUAAGCGCUGACCAAGGCCGACCAGUUACUUGCUUAGUACACACCAUCCUCCUUGCUUGGGCGGCAGAACUGGCGCGUAGCCUUCAGGUUCCGUCUGUGCUUCUUUGGAUUCAGAGAGCCACUGUUUUCACCAUUUACUAUCAUUACUUCAAUGGUUAUGGUUAUGUGGUUGGUGACUGCAGCAAUGAGGAUUCAAGUCCAAUUCAGUUACCGGGGCUUCCAAUGCUGCUGUCUAGCCGUGAUAUUCCGUCUUUAUUAGUCUCUUCAAACAUACAUGCUUUAUGGCUCUCAAAAUUUCAAGAGGAAAUUGAGGCACUUAGGCAAGAGACGAACCCCAAAGUGCUGGCGAACACCUUCGACGCACUGGAGGCCGAGGCGCUACGAGCUAUGGAUAAGGUUAAAGUAAUUGGAAUUGGACCUUUGGUUCCAUCUGAUACUUCUUUUGGAGUAGAUAUUUUCCAAGAUCCGAGUGACUGCAUCGAUUGGUUGAACUCCAAACACGAGUCAUCAGUCGUUUAUGUAUCGUUUGGGACACUUUGUGUUGUGUCAAAGCAACAAAUGGAGGAGAUUGCACGUGCUUUACUACACAGCGGCAGGCCUUUCCUGUGGGUCAUAAGAUCAGCGUCCGGAAACGGAGAAGUUGAAGAAGAGAAGCUGAGUUGCAGAGAAGAGUUGGAGGAGAAAGGGAUGAUAGUGGCUUGGUGUCCUCAGUUGGAUGUUCUGUCGCAUCCAUCGUUGGGAUGCUUCAUUACACAUUGUGGGUGGAACUCAACGUUAGAGUGCCUAGCUUCUGGAGUUCCAGUUGUGGCAUUUCCCCAAUGGACGGAUCAAGGGACCAACGGGAAGCUGAUUGAAGAUGUGUGGAAGUCAGGCGUUCGGGUGACAGCGAAUGAGGAGGGAAUAGUUGAAGGCGAGGAGAUCAAGAGGUGCUUGGAAGUCGUCAUGGGAGGUGGAGAAAGAGGGGAAGAAUUGAGAAGGAAUGCUGGGAAAUGGAAGGAUUUGGCAAGGGAAGCUGUGAAAGAUGGUGGAUCUUCCGACAACAAUCUGAAGGCUUUUUUGGAUGAAUUGGGAGGAGGCAGUACCCUUUAAUGGGAGUUAAGUUGUGUUGAUAUGAAGUUGUACGACUUACUUUAUGCUGUUUUAUGGCUUUCCUAAAUGCUUAGAGUGCUUGCUUUGGUCCCAAUUAGCAUGGGGCGAUCACAUUCAAAUAAAAGACAUUUGUACUCUGAACCAUGUCCUAGGUGCGAGUGUAACUGCUUCCGGAAAAAAGAGAAAUUUCAAAUUUGUGAUCUCCAGCCCAUGAACUAAAAGAUCUCUCUCGAAGCCAUUUGCUUGGCUUAAUCAAUUGAUUUUGAAAUAAAAUCCAUAUUUAUUUUUCUAUACUGUGGAUGAUUUAGAAUCGUUUGAUAUAAGAUGGUUUUUUUUUUUUUUAGAAAAAAAAAAAUUCCAAUGUUUGAAAUUUUUUAUUAAAAAAGUUGUUUUCAAAUAUUAGAAAAAAAUAAAAAUAUUUCUUAAAAUUACUUACAAACAAAUACUUGAAGUGCGUCUAUUCAAGGUGUUUUUAGUGGAAAUAUUUUUCCAAAAUGUGUUUCAAAUUAAGAGAUUCACCUAUGAAGUGUUUUCUUAGAAAAUAUUAUAAGUAAUUUUUUAAUACUACAAAUGAUUUUUUAAAAUUUUAAAAAUAUUUUUCAAAUUUUAUGAAAUGCCUAAUAUUUUUCAAAAAUAUUUUUUAGAAUAAAAAUACUUUAUAGAAUCAUUGUCAAACAUACUCUUAGAGUGCAUAUGAUAACAAUCCUAGAAAACAUGUUUGUUUUCUCCAAUAUAUGAUCAAAAGAUAAAAAUUUUCAAGUAUUAAAUUAGAAACACUUGUUAGAAUCACUAUUAUAAGAAUCUUAAUCUCUUACCCAUCGUUAAAUUGUAAUCCAACCAUUAAUAUUAUAUUAUAAAUAUAUAAUUUAUGAACUAUUAUAAUUAAAAAUAUUGGGAAGAAGUUAAAAUUAUGACUAAAUAAUUAAAAUUUUAAAAUAUUUUCUUCUUUUAUCUUUAAUAUUAUUAUAUUAAAUAUAAAACACAAAUGCAUUAAUAUUUCAUUAUUUUAUGUUCACUAUUAUUAUACUUUUUAUAAAAUAUGAAUGUGUUAAUAUUUUUAUUUCAUUAAAUAGGAGAAUUAUUAUAUUUAAUUAUUUAUAAGAAAUAUCAUAUAUUAUUAAAGAGUAAAUAAAAUUUUAUUAUUUAUUUUAUUCACACUUCAUUAGCAUUUUAUUAUUAUUCAUUUGAAUUUCAUUUGUAUUAUAAUUUUAUCGUAUUUACUUUUAGUACAACUAAACAGUCAUUUUUAAGUGGCAUAGAGGUAGGCUAUGGAUAAUUUUUUAUGGCAACUAUACAUAUCAUUCAUUGACAAAUCUUCUGCAUACCUAAUUAAUUUGAGAGAUUUAAUAAUUUUAUUAAAAAAUUUAGUAGAAAAUUCUACAAAGCAGUUGGAUCUUUAUCAUGUAUUAAACACUAAAAAGUAGAACAUAAAGAAUUAAAAUUUUCAUAAUUCUUUUGUUUAAAAAGGAGUACUCACAAUCAAGUCACAAAGAAGGAUAAGUGGAGCAUUUGGUUUGUUAGUUAGAAUGGGAGAAGUAUUAGUACUGUCAAACAGUAAUGUGAGUGAGAGGAAGAUGCAUGCAACCUUUAAUUUAUUUAAAUAAGAAAUUAAUCUGAAAAUUAAGAUACUUUUGUUUUGUUUUGUUUUUUUUUUUUGCGUAAAAAAAUAAUUUUUGAGAAUAGUUUUUAUAUAAUGUUUUGUAAAACAAAAGUUUAUUUGGGAAUACAAAAUAUUUCUAAUUUAUUUUUAAUAUUUUUUAAUAUAUUUUAAAAAUAAUUUUUAUAUCUAGAGCUUUAUUUUUAAUCAUUAUAUGUGUUUGUAUAAUUAUUUUUUAAAAUAGCUCUAAAAAAAUGAAAACUAAAAACAAUUAAAAGAUGUUAUUUGAAAAAAACACUUUAUUUUCUAUUUUUGAUAACAGAAAACAAAAAAUAGUUUUCGGCUUGCCAAAGCCACCUAUUUACUCAAUUCUUAUCUCUUGUACUCAACAAAUGUAACCUUUCUCAUUUUAAUAAAAGGUCUUCUUUUGUUUGUUUUGCUUGUUGCAUGAGAAAAUUCAUAAGUUUCCACUUUUUCCUUCAACCUCUUCAUAUACAACACCGUUAGAACAAAUCAAUUCUGAUUUAUGAGGCCCAGCUUAGUACCCUCUUUGAAUGGAUAUCAGUAUCAUAUUCACUUUGUUGAUGCCUACUUUUAGCUCACAUAGAUUUACAUGCUGAAACAAAAGUCUAAAGCAUUUCAAUCCUUUCUUACCUUCAAGUCUCAAGUUGAACUUCAACUAGGAUACAAAAUUAAAGCUAUAUUACAAACUGAUUGGGGUGGAGAGUGUUGUACCUCCACCUAUUAUCUUCUCUCAAAUGGCAUUAUCCACAAAACCUCAUGUUCCUAUACUCAUCAACAAAAUAGGCGUAAACAUAUCAUUGAACAUAGACUUACCCUCCUAGCAUAAGACUCUUUUACCUCUCAAAUACUGGGAUGAGGCCUUUCGCACCUGUGUUUUUGUUACCAAAUUACCCACCCUGAUUCGGAAAAACAAAACCCCACUUGAACUACUUUUCUGCACAAAACCAGCUUACUCCCAACUAAAGGUAUUUAGUUAUAUUUGUUAUCCUAAUCUCCGGCUUCACAACAAAAACAAGCUUCAAUGCCACUCCAUUCCCUGCACAUUUCUUGGCUAUAGUCUAAACCACAAGGGCUACAAAUGUCUUAGCCCUGAUGGCUGUAUCUUUAUCUCUCGGGAUGUUAUUUUUGAUAAAUUCACCUUCCCUUUUGCGCAAUAAGCAUCACCAUCUUCCCCCAUUUCACCAUCUCCCUCCCCACUUCCUUCAUUCUCGUUAAUGGUUUUCCCCACUGUUGGAAAUCAAGCCAGCAUCCUUUGUUUACUUCCCUAAUUAGUGUAAUGUACAGCCUUUAUUAUAAUUGAUUUAGGAGUAAUUCUAGCAAGAUAGUUUAUUCACUUUCCAUGUAAGAGUUUAUUCUUAGGAGUAAUUCUAGCAAGGUAGUUUAUUCACUUUCCAUGUAAGGGAAAUUCCAUUCCGGAAUUUUCUCAUAUCUGUAGGCUAUUUAUUUAUGCUUUCAUUCAUUGUAAAGGAAGGUAUCACAGAAUGAAUUGAGGUGUUCCUCCAUAGUUUGUCUUCAAAUUCUUCAUAUUUUUCUUCAAAUUCUUCAUGGUAUCAGAGCAGGUUUAAUCCUGUCUCAUCGUCUUCAUCUUUAGUCAGUUUUUUUUUACUCAAUUCUAUUCUUCUAAUUUAUGCCUAAAUACGGUCCAGCCUUUGGAAUGGCUACCAAUUCAUCAUCUUCUACUUCUGAUAUCAUCAUCUCAUCGUCUUCAUCCUCUCAUCAGAUGGAAACCUCUCAUCUUCCAAUCACAGCCCAUAAACUGAAUGGGCAAAAUUAUUUGCAAUGGUCUCAGUCCAUAUUAAUGUUUAUACGGGGAAAGGAGAAAGAUGACUACAUCACCGGAGAUUCGGCGGCACCAGAAACCACAGCAUCUGGGACACUGGCUAGUCAACUCUAUGACCGCUGACAUUGGUGAAAAUUUUCUGUCAUUUGAUACUGCCAAAGAAAUCUGGGACACUGCAAAAGAAACUUUCUCAGACAAGGAAAACACAUCUGAAAUCAUCCAGAUUGAAGGCAUCCUCCACGAUUUGCGUCAGGGAAACCUUACAGUAACUGAAUAUUUCAAUACUCUUACUCGUCUAUGGCGUCAACUUGAUACGUUUGAGGUUCAUAACUGGAAUUGUGUUACAGAUAGUUUUUUGUAUAAAAAGAUUGUCGAAGGGAAACGUGUGUUUAAAUUUUUGUUAGGUUUGAACAAAAAUCUUGAUGAAAUCAGAGGAAGAAUCAUGGGAGUAAAACCCCUACCUAGCCUCAGAGAGGCAUUCUCUGAAGUCCGUCGCGAAGAAAGUCGGAAAAAUCUCAUGAUGGGAUCCCAUCAACAACUGAAUAUGGCAGAAAGCUCGGCUCUUAAGACUCAAUUCGNNNNNNNNNNNNNNNNNNNNNNNNNNNNNNNNNNNNNNNNNNNNNNNNNNNNNNNNNNNNNNNNNNNNNNNNNNNNNNNNNNNNNNNNNNNNNNNNNNNNNNNNNNNNNNNNNNNNNNNNNNNNNNNNNNNNNNNNNNNNNNNNNNNNNNNNNNNNNNNNNNNNNNNNNNNNNNNNNNNNNNNNNNNNNNNNNNNNNNNNNNNNNNNNNNNNNNNNNNNNNNNNNNNNNNNNNNNNNNNNNNNNNNNNNNNNNNNNNNNNNNNNNNNNNNNNNNNNNNNNNNNNNNNNNNNNNNNNNNNNNNNNNNNNNNNNNNNNNNNNNNNNNNNNNNNNNNNNNNNNNNNNNNNNNNNNNNNNNNNNNNNNNNNNNNNNNNNNNNNNNNNNNNNNNNNNNNNNNNNNNNNNNNNNNNNNNNNNNNNNNNNNNNNNNNNNNNNNNNNNNNNNNNNNNNNNNNNNNNNNNNNNNNNNNNNNNNNNNNNNNNNNNNNNNNNNNNNNNNNNNNNNNNNNNNNNNNNNNNNNNNNNNNNNNNNNNNNNNNNNNNNNNNNNNNNNNNNNNNNNNNNNNNNNNNNNNNNNNNNNNNNNNNNNNNNNNNNNNNNNNNNNNNNNNNNNNNNNNNNNNNNNNNNNNNNNNNNNNNNNNNNNNNNNNNNNNNNNNNNNNNNNNNNNNNNNNNNNNNNNNNNNNNNNNNNNNNNNNNNNNNNNNNNNNNNNNNNNNNNNNNNNNNNNNNNNNNNNNNNNNNNNNNNNNNNNNNNNNNNNNNNNNNNNNNNNNNNNNNNNNNNNNNNNNNNNNNNNNNNNNNNNNNNNNNNNNNNNNNNNNNNNNNNNNNNNNNNNNNNNNNNNNNNNNNNNNNNNNNNNNNNNNNNNNNNNNNNNNNNNNNNNNNNNNNNNNNNNNNNNNNNNNNNNNNNNNNNNNNNNNNNNNNNNNNNNNNNNNNNNNNNNNNNNNNNNNNNNNNNNNNNNNNNNNNNNNNNNNNNNNNNNNNNNNNNNNNNNNNNNNNNNNNNNNNNNNNNNNNNNNNNNNNNNNNNNNNNNCAUUCAUAGAUGGUCACACUAGAUUAACUUGGGUAUUCCUCACGAAAGAAAAAUCUGAAACGAGUCAAAUUUUCAAAAAUUUUAAAAAUAUGAUUCAGACCCAAUUCCAGUCAAAAAUACAAAUUCUAAAGUCUGAUAAUGCUAGGGAUUAUUUCAACUCCAUUCUAGGAGAAUUUCUAGCACAAGAAGGGAUAGUUCACUUAAGUUCAUGUGUUGAUACCCCACAACAAAAUGGAAUCGCUGAAAGGAAAAAUAGGCAUUUGUUAGAGGUGGCUAGAUCACUAAUGUUCUCCAUGAAUGUUCCAAAAUUUUUCUGGGGGCAAGCUGUCCUUACGGCAGCCUACCUCAUCAAUAGGAUGCCAUCUAGGGUACUAAAAUUCCAAACACCUUGUCAAACACUCCUAAAAUCCUUUCCGACUACUCGUCUCAUCUCCACCGUCCCACCCAAAAUUUUCGGGUGCUCUGUCUUUGUUCAUAUCAAUCAACAACAUAGAAGUAAACUUGAUCCUAGGUCACUCAAAUGCAUCUUUCUUGGGUAUUCUUCAAAUCAAAAAGGGUAUAAGUGUUACUCUCCGGUCACAAGAAAAUUCUACAAUUCAAUGGAUGUCACCUGUUUUGAAACCCAGCCUUACUAUCCCAAAAACGAUAUUCAGGUGGAGAAUUCAACUCAGGAAUAUCAAUUUUGGGAUCUUGAGUCAUUCAGUGAGUCACCCAUCACCACUGAAAAUCACAUUCCUCCAGAGUCAUUUAAUCAACCCGAGUCCAUUGUUGACUUGUGGGAUAAGGAGCACAUCCAAGAGGAAACGGAGGAAAGAGCACUUUCUCAACAAACCCAUGAGGCAGAACCGGGUCCUAAUCCAAGCAAACUUCCAGGUAACAACGCUCCUGAUGGUACUGUUGAUUCCGAGUUAGAAAAUGAUAUUCUUAAUAUGCCCAUAGCUUGGAGGAAAGGAGUUAGAUCAUGCACUCAGCAUUCCAUUGGAAAUUUUAUUUCUUAUGAUAAGCUAUCACCUACGUUUCGUGCAUUCACUUCUAGCAUCACAGAGAUACAAGUUCCUCAGAAUAUUCAGGAAGCUUUCAAGUAUCUUAAGUGGAAGACGGCAGUCGAUGAGGAAGUUCGGGCGCUGGAAAAGAAUGGUACGUGGGAAAUUACUGACCUCCCAAGAGGUAAGAAACCAGUUGGGUGUAAGUGGAUUUUCACAGUAAAGUACAAGGCAGAUGGUAAUGUGGACAGGUAUAAGGCUCGGUUGGUCGCCAAAGGAUUCACCCAAUCCUAUGGCAUUGACUAUCAAGAAACUUUUGCUCCAGUUGCCAAGCUCAAUACUGUUCGUGUACUUUUAUCCUUGGCAGCUAAUCUCGAUUGGUCGCUUCACCAACUUGAUGUGAAGAAUGUCUUCCUCAAUGGUGACUUAGAGGAAGAAGUUUACAUGGACAUUCCUGCUGGACUUGAGACGACAUCAAAUUUCAACAAGGUUUGCAGACUCCGAAAAUCCUUGUAUGGUCUCAAACAAUCUCCCAAGGCCUGGUUUGAACGGUUCACUAAGGUAGUGAAAGGGUACGGAUUCGUUCAAUGUCAAUCCGAUCACACAUUAUUUGUGAAACACUUCCCAGAAGGGAAACUGACAAUUAUCAUUGUAUAUGUGGACGACAUAAUUUUGACAGGUGAUCAUGAAGAGAAAAUUGACUUACUUAAAAAAUUACUGACAAAGGAAUUUGAGAUCAAGGAUCUUGGAAACCUCAAGUACUUUCUCGGAAUGGAGAUUGCUAGGUCAAAGAAAGGUAUAGCAGUCUCACAACGCAAAUACGUUCUGGACUUAUUGAAUGAAAAAAGAAUGCUAGGAUGCAAGCUGGCAGAAACACCUAUGGAUACAACUGUCAAACUGGAAGAAAGUGAUGGAAGUGCGCCAGUUGAUAAAGGAAGAUAUCAACGUCUUGUGGGGAAACUCAUCUAUCUUUCUCAUACAAGGCCAGACAUCGGCUUCUCCGUUAGUGUGGUAAGUCAAUUCAUGAAUAAUCCAACCGAAAAACACAUGACUGCUGUGAUCAGAAUAUUGAGAUACCUCAAGAUGACACCGGGAAAGGGUCUCUUCUUUCAAAGAACAACAAAGAAAGAGAUUGAGAUUUUUUCAGAUGCAGAUUGGGCAGGUUCAGUGACUGAUCGGAGAUCAACUUCAGGCUAUUGUUCAUUUGUCUGGGGGAACUUGGUUACAUGGCGAAGUAAGAAACAGUCAGUGGUAGCCCGUAGCAGUGCUGAGGCAGAAUUUCGUGCUAUGGCACAAGGUAUCUACAAGGGAAUCUGGUUGAACAGGCUGUUAGAAGAAUUAUGGGUUCCAUUGAAGCAUCCCAUGGUGUUAUACUGCGACAAUCAAGCUGCCAUCAGUAUCGCUAAGAAUCCGGUUCAUCAUGAUCGAACUAAGCACGUGGAGAUAGAUCGACACUUUAUCAAGGAAAAGAUUGAAGAAGGAGUUUUCAAAGUCAGCUACACUCCGACAAACUGUCAAACGGCUGACAUUCUCACAAAAGCUCUUGCUCGAGUUAACUUCGAAGAUCUGACAGAAAAACUUGGAAUGAUCAACAUCUACAACGCGGCUUGAGGGGGAGUGUUGGAAAUCAAGCCAACAUCCUUUGUUUACUUCCUUAAUUAGUGUAAUGUACAACCUUUAUUAUAAUUGAUUUAGGAGUAAUUCUAGCAAGAUAGUUUAUUCACUUUCCAUGUAAGAGUUUAUUCUUAGGAGUAAUUCUAGCAAGGUAGUUUAUUCACUUCCCAUGUAAGAGUUUAUUCACUUUCCAUGUAAGGGAAAUUCCAUUCCGGAAUUUUCUCAUAUCUGUAGGCUAUUUAUUUAUGCUUUCAUUCAUUGUAAAGGAAGGUAUCACAGAAUGAAUUGAGGUGUUCCUCCAUAGUUUGUCUUCAAAUUCUUCAUAUUUUUCUUCAAAUUCUUCACCCACUUCUUCUUACCUGGCUCCUUCACAAGUACCCCCUUCCUCAUUUGUCAGUCCAAUUUCCAAAUCACCCUACCUCACUCACGCCUCUCCGCCUGACCUCUCAUUCUAUGUUCAACUCCCACUUCCACCCCCUACUUAGCCUCUUUCUACUACCCAUCACAUGACCACACACUCCAAGUUUGACAUCUUCAAAUCCAAGGACUUUAAUAUCUCAACCAUGGUUCAAAGUUGCGGUAUCGGUCAUUGACUCGGAGGGUCACGAGGCAUAUUGGUAUCGGUGUCUCGAUUCGGUAUCGGGCGAUAUGUAAAAUAAGAUAAUUAAAAUUUUCAAAAAAUUAUAAAAAUAUUACAUAAAUUAAAAAAUAAAAUAGAUAUAAUUAAAUAAGCUGAAAAAUUUAACAAAACAAUUUUUUUUUUUCACAUUUAGCUUAAAGUUAUUUAUGAUAAUAUUAAAAAUUGAGGAUUUAAUUCUCACUUUGCCAUAUAAACACUUUAAUUUAUCAUUAAACCUCAUAUAUACCUUUCAUAUCAUUUUACUUUAGCAAGUCGGGUACUCAAUUUUCCUAAUAUAUUAUUAUUAAAUCAUAUUAAAGUGUUUAUAUGAAAGGUAUUUUCCAUGUAAAUUAGACUCCAUUCUCUGUGUAAAUCCAUAUAAAAGGCAACUUUUUUACUUUACUAAUUUGAGCCCCCAAUCUACCAUCCUCACCACCAUUGUUGUCAAGACCCACAACAGAGCUCCCAAUCUCCCACCCUCGCAUGCCACCAUGCUUUCAAGACCCACAAUAGAUGACACCACCUGCAAUUGCAAAUUUGCAAUCGUUCCUAACAUGAGAGGGGGAGCAAUCUGACUGUGAGGGGUUGACUUGUUGACGUCGCCGGUGAAAUAUUCUGUCCACUUGACUAGUCACCACCGUCGACACCAAGACUCCACCCUUCGGUAAUGCUCAAUUUUGACGAAAAUCAGGUAAGUAAAUCCUAAAUCAUGCCCUCAUCCUUCAGUGGUUUCUCCGUUUAUUUCUGAACGGGUCAUAGUUAGGGUUUUUUCUUCUUCAUCUUCUUUGAUCUUCUCAUUGAUGGUUUAAAAUUUUAGAAUAGGUGUUUGCUUUUGAAAGGGCAAUCUCUGAUUAAUUUUUUUAUUUUAUUUUAUGAAAAUUUUGAAAAUUCUCUAUAAUCUAACCGAGUCAACCGAGUUAACUCGAAAACUCAAACGAGUUAGCCGAGUCUAAUCGAUUCCCAGCCGAGUUCGUGCAUUAUACCAUAUUUGGUAUCGGUCUCAUCGUUACAGGUGUCGAGGCGGAUACGACUCAGCCAAGUCAUACCGGACUCAGCUGAUACUUUGAACCUUGAUCUCAACCAUACCAACUUCGGUCCUUAAAGCACUCCAACUUAGUCAUUGGAAACAGGCCAUGAGUGAAUAUCACAGUGUUGUUACAAUGUUGGUCGAAAUUUCAUGGCUCUAAUCUCUUCUUCGAGAACUCCACAUUACUUCCUCAACAUAGUUCACCUUUGAGUAAAUCCAUAUCUAUCAUGUUCCCUCAUGCGCUCAACUUGUAGACCUUUUCACCUAAGCUAUUCCCUAGCUUUCAGUUCCUAGCAUGCGAGACAAACUCAGUGUCACACAAGGUCCCUAAUCAGUUUGAGGGGGCUGUUAGAGAAGAUUCGUUCAGCUACAACUGUUACAAUUGUUGAUUACUUGAGCUAUAGCUUAGUUAGUUCUCUUUUUGUUAUUAAAAACUCUUCAAGUAAUUACAGGUGACUUACUAUUGAAAGAACUAUAUUUUCUAUAGAAUAAUAAUAAGAUGAAAAACAUAGAAGGUAAUGGUAAUCUUCCUUCUUUCUUUUCUGCUUUUUCUCUUUCUUUCAAACACUAUCUAUUUAUUUUGAUACCACAUUUUGAUGUCAAAUUGCAAACCAACAUGGGGAUACAAACGAUAGUGGCUUGAGGUCUACCGAUUGCUCACCACAUUUGGUAAGAGUAGUUGAUUUCAAAAUCAAACAGUCAGAUCCCAUUAUGGAAGAAUAAUCUGACUCGGCGGUGAAUUUCAUUAUUUAAUAAAUAUUCAAAUCUUAUUUAAAGACAUCUAAAAAUUUUAAAAAACUCUCUCCACUUAGGAAAAAAACAAUAAAUAAAUAAAUAAACAUAAACUUGAACACACUGAUUUUCAGGUAAUAUAACUGCACUGACUAGGAGCUUUUUGAAUCCCAGAAAAGAUACUUUUCAUGAACGAAUCUAGAUGCACUGACUAGUUACAAUUUUUGUCCAACUUCAUCCACAAAAGCCUUGAGAUUAUUGUCCGACAUUCCACCAUUCUUCAUAGCUUCCCUCGCCAACUCCUUCCAUUUCUCAGCAUUCCUUCUCAAUCCUUCUGCUCUUUCUCCAUCUCCCAUAACAAUUUCCAAGCACAUCUUUAUCUCAUCACGUUCAACCAUUCCUUCUUCAUUCACCCACACCCGAAUGCCAGUUUUCCACAUGUCCGUGAUCAGCUUUGCGGUGGUGGCUUGAUCCGUCCCUUGGGGAAAUGCCACAACCGGAACCCCACAAACCAUGCUCUCCAAGGUUGAAUUCCACCCACAGUGCGUCACAAAACAUCCCAAUGAUGGAUGGGUCAAAACCUCCAAUUGGGAACACCAAGGUACUAUCAUCCCUCUCUGUUCCAAUUCUUCUCUGCAACCCAGCAUUUCUUCAUCUUUCACUUCUCCCUUAUCGGGUUCUCUUAUGACCCACAAAAAAGGUCGGUCACUAUUUAGCAGACCACAGGCAAUCUCCUCCAUUUGCGGCUUUGACAAAAUAGCUAAGCUCCCAAAGGAUAUGUAAAUGACUGAUGAUUUGGGCUUGGAGUUCAACCAUUCUAUGUAGUCAGUGGAACCUUGAAAUCGGUCACCUCCGAAAGAAAUAUCAGUUGGAUCUUUUGCAUCCAAGAAAGCAGAUGGAAUCAAGGGGCCAAUUCCAAUCAAUUUAAGCUUGUCCAAGGCCCGCAAAGCCUUGGGCUCUAAUGCAUCAAAGGUGUUUAGCAGUACUUUAGGGUUUUCAUCUUGGCUAAGUGCUUCGAAAUUGUUUUGAAACGAUUCGAGAACAAAAGUCAAUUUAUUUGAAGACAGUAGAAAAGAGGGAAGGUCUCGGCUAGUGAACAGUGGCUCCAGUCCUGGAAGCUCAAUGGACGAUGAGGGAUCAAUGCUUUUAUUUCUAACCUCAUCACCAUAACCAUUGAAGUAAUAGUAGUAGAUGUCAAACACUGUGGUCGCUUGAUUCCAGAAAUAAGCAGAUAAGACCUGAACCCUACGUGCCACCUCUUGCGCCCAAUCAAAGAUCAUGGUGUACACUAUGCAGGCAACGGGCCGACCUUGGUCAGCACAUUCCAGCACGAGCUCAGUGAGCUUUCGCGUUCCUUGGCGCUUAAUCUCUGACAGAACGUGAUGUAAAUUGUCUUUGUUUUCACACCCAUCGUCGUAGCCAUCAGAGAAGGGGGCGAAGGAUAAUCCACAAACAGACAGCGGUUUGACCAUGUGGCGUUGGGCAUAGACGGUAGUGACAAAGGUGACCUGAGCACCGGUUUGUAUUAGCCGCUUGGCCAACCGGAGAGUUGGAUUGAUGUGGCCUUGCGCUGGAUAGCUGACAAGGAGGAAGUGAGGAGGAGCCAUGGCCGGGGCUAGUUUACAGGGAAAGGGGUGAAAUGUGGAGAAUUGCUCAUGACUGGUAUUGUAAAGGGGUGUGAAACCUUAAAUAAAGGGCUGCAGUUUGCAGAAUGAAUAUUGUAUUAAAUUACAUUUGAUAUUGAAAGGAAACAAUGUGUUUUCAGAGUUUAUGGAUGGAAACAGUAUCUGACCGGAUUCUGCUGAUCCAACCAUGAAUUUAUUUCCUUUUCCUUAGUUCAUCAAAUUCAAUUCCAAUAAUAAUAAUUAUUAUAUUUAUUUUUCAAGUCUUUAUUGUGAAUCAAAGGAGAGAGGUGUAUUUUUAUAUUUUACCAAAAAGUAAAUUUCAGAAGAUGGAUGAAAAGCAUACAUAAAUAAAAAAAUAAAUAAAUUGAAAAGGUAAAAUAGUUUAAAAUUUUAAAUUUUAAUUAUAAAAUAACUAAUUCUAAAAAAAUUAAUUAAAAAACUUAAGUAAAAAUUAAAACAUAUAAAAUUUAAAUUAACUCCUAAGUUACAUCACAAGGGAGCAAAAUAAAGAAUAAAAUCGGUUAUCAUUGAUAUUUCAGGGAUCCUCAAGCCUCAUCUUCUCCUUUUGUAGAUUGGACAAUUUAGUAGCUAGAAAUGUUACCUAUUAUGAAUUCUCAAUAAGUUACUGCAUUGUCAACAUCUUUAUAAUCAUAAUCUCACAAUUCAACCUUCUUUAGAAGUUAUUACAAUUUUAAGUCCUUGCACUUGGGGGCUUGACACUAUUGAGGCAAUAUAUCAUCCCCACCAUAGUGAGCAAUCAAUCGAUCUCAACUUUAAUCGAUGACAAAGAGAACCACCCCUUAUUAGGUUCAUCUUCUUUUUCCUCUUCUUUCGACUACUCUUCUACUUCUACAAGUUUUGGCUCCUCAUUCUCAACCUUGUUAUUGGUGUAUUUGGACUUGUGGCACACAUUUGCUAUUAACAACCUUUCAAACAACUAGAAAGGAGGAUACAAAGUCAUUAUAACAUUAUGUUUGUUGAACUUGAUGCUAUCUUAGAUGAUAACAUUUACUUGCAAGGCCUUUGUGUUUUUGACAAAAAUGAGUUUUCUAUUUCAUAUAACAAGAUGAAAGUGAUUAACACUACAAAAAACAUUAUUUUCACACUUAAAAACAUAGAUUUUAUUAUCACUUUUGAGUGUUAAUCAUAUCUUUUUUUACUUGAAUUCUUGUAAGUUGUAUUUUAGAGCUAACAGGGGUAUGCAACAAAAUAGAAUGAAAUGAGGCAUUUUAGGUGAAUUUCAAGGAAGGGUUAUUACAUGAGGUUGAUGGAGGCAAAGAAAAUUGCCAAAGAACUUCCUUGAAGUUCAAACAACUAGUGGAAGCAAGGGAUCAAAUUAUGAACUUUGAUCGUGAGGAAAGAAAAUGAACAAUUAAGUGAAGUGUAGAACAAUCACAUGUUCAAAGAAGGGCAAUAAAUCACCCUGAUGUAAAUGUGUAAAAGAAAGAAGGAAAGCAAGGCCAAUAUGUAAGGACAAUCAUGAUCGCAAUUGCUGGUGCUAUAAUGUGUCCUCUGAUCAUCUUGCUUUGUUGUGAAGAAAAUGGUCAAUCCACCCAUGGCUUUGUUAAGAAGUUAAAAUGAGAGAUCUAGAGUAUUCACUUGCCAAGUUCAAAAGAUUUUCCAUAAUAAUAACCACCACUCAACAAUAAUAGCAACCUAACAAGAAUAAAAAAUGAUAAUCCAAGAACAUUUAAUAAAAAAAAGGGACAUCAAAUAUAACAUGGAAAAACCCUCCAAAUGGUGAUACAAUAGUUAAGUCCUCAUAGGUUUCUUCACUUUGAAAACUUAUAUAAAUAUAUCUCAAUAUUUGAGGUGGGAAUCCAUCACCCUAGAAAACAAUGAACAAAAAGAGAUUAGGAAGAAAUUAUACGUACCAUAGGGAUUUCCUCAAAAGGUUGAUGAAAGAACUUGUAACUUCACCCUUGAGCCUUAGAACAGUGCCCAAAAAACAAUCCUAUAUAUAUAUAUAUAUAUUCAUUUUCUCAAUCACCCCUUCUCUCAUAAUACCAAAACUUUAAUGUUAUUUAUAUUUGCACUUAAGGAAUACUCAAAUAUAAAAUAGUCUAAUAUAUGGGCUCAUGGUCUGGACAAACUUAGCCCAACAAUCUCCCCCUCCAACAUAUGAGGUAGGAAUUCAAAUCCAUAAACCCAUCACAUGGAGUUCAAACCUGUUAUGUCAAUGCAGGACUAAAGCUUUUGCUUAGUGACAACCUUUGUCAACAUAUUUGAGACAUUUUUGUUGGUGUGAAUCUUUAUCAACUUGACUUAUUUUCUUUAACUAUAUCCCUCAACCACUUGAAUACCCAUUUGUUUUUCAAUGAUUUUAUUCCUUUAGGAAGUUGUACCUACUCAUAUAAUUUUAAUGCAAUAAUCCAUCUCAUCUCGCAUGGCUCUCAAACAAUUGCAACUAUCCUAAUAAAACUUAGCUUCCUGGAAACUCUAUUGCUCCUGAUUACUACUCAAAAAGUGCUAUUUGAUAGCCUAUAAUUAAUCCUUUUAAACACUUUUGAGUAGUAGUUUAGGCCUUUUAACUCAAUUGGCAUGUUAAGGAUCCUUUAAAGCAAUUUUGAUCACUUUGUGUAAGUUUUGGUGUUUUUGUUAGUAUUUUGAUCACCAAAGCAAGUCAAGUCUGAGGAGAGCUAUGAGGAAUCUUGGGCAAAGCUUAGAAUUCAUUUGCCAAGAGUGAAUCCGGAUUGCAAGGAGAAAAAGCAAAGAGAAUCUGCCAUAAAUCCUAUUCUUGAUGACAGUAGCAGCCACUUUUGGAGCACUUUCUGAAUUCCAAAUGAUGCAUGCUAUACACCAUUUCAAAGCUCAGGAAGUCAAGAAUCCAAUGCUUCAAACGGUGCGUGAUUCGGAGUUGAAACGAAGAAGUUACAGCCACUUCAAGUCAAUCACUCUAAAGUGUUGCGGAAUCAGCCUUUUGUUGCGAGAAUUUCGCAGCCUUUUUGUACAGUGUUGUGGAUUUCCUCCUGAAGUCACCCGAUAUAUGCCGCAAGCUGGAAGCUGAGAACCUCAAGGUGGAAGCCAACUUCGCAGCCCUGUGAGGAUAGCUUGUUGCUGCGAAGUGAUUUCGCAACCCUUCAUGAGUGUCUGCGAAAUCUCGCAGACACCAUUUUCUCCUGCGAAAUGGUCCUUAGUGCUUCCCGAUAUUUGCCACCGACUCUUUUGGAUAUUUUUCUUCAGAUAUUUUUGUAUAAAUUUCCAUUUUCUCCUUGUAUUCAGCCACUCAUGUAAUUCCUUAGCUAGGAAGUAUCCAAGGAAGGGUAAAUUACCUUCCUAUAUAAACUCUCUUGUAAACACUCUCAGGAGACGCUCGGAGAUAUAUGUAAUCCGAUCAAUAUAUAGAUAUAUCAUAUAUAGAAUCAACAAACAGAGCACUUGCUCUGUUUUUCAUAUAUAUUCUUGUCUUCUCUUUCAUUUUUAUUUCUAGCCAACCAAACUUUGAGGAUUUUUCCUCAGAGGAUGAGAGGCUAGGCUCUUUGUCUCUUGGAGUGAGGAAAGCCGGGUAAGUUUACACAUGCAUAAAUUGGAAGUUUUGUUGUUUUAGUUUUUAAUGAAGAGAAAGUGUGACCCGUUAAUGGUUUUUAUCUUUUUAGUUAACUUAAAACGCCUUUAAUUCACCUGGGCCAACACUUGGUAAGGCAAGUGAUCUCCGUCCAUGGAGAUGCACUAGUUUACCCCUUGCGAGCCUCUGGGAGGUGACUUGAAGGUAGGAUUUUCUAGAAUAGCCAACACUUGGUAAGCUUUUGGACUCCAAGGAGACAUCCAUUAGUUAUCUCUUGCGAGCUUUUGACGGGUAAUCCAAGGUUAAAGAUCACCUUGAAUGGCAAGUGCUAGGUGAGAGGUAUGAGCCAUUGCAAGUUGCAUCAGUGAGAGGGAUUUAGUGUUUGAACCCAUUAAUGGGAAGCACCUGUACAACACCGGUUAGAGAAUAAACUAUAUGUUAAUUCUCUAAUGCGAGGAAAAGAAACAAGUGACCGGAACUCUCCUUUUUGUAUGAGGAACGAGCCUAGUGAUCUGAACUCCAAGAAACACUUUUCUUUAUAAGUAAAAUCAGUUACUAUUUUUGGUUAGUUUAAAACCAAACCUUUUUCAUUCAAACAUCUUUAUGUUUUCUUUUAAAGCUAACCUUGAAAUGAAAAGGCACCAAUUCAGCUUUGAAUUAAUAUCAUUUGCAAAGUGAAAACCCAUCCCAGUGAACGAUCCUAGAGCCACUAUGCUAUAGUAGCUUUGUCUUUGCUACCCUAGUAUAUGGUGUAAUAGGUUAUAAAUUUUGUUGAUUACUCCCUCAAUCAAGGAGCACCAGCUGGACAUGAAUCAGUUGAGACACCAAAUGGGCACGAAUCAAAUGGCGCCGUUGCCGGGGAUCGAACCCCGAAUCAAAUGGUGCCAUUGCCACUGCCGUUGCUAGGGACGAAUCAGCUCCUUCUCAUCAAUUAUUAACAUGUACUUAGAGGAAGAAUAUCUAGUAAAAGGACAAUACUCUCUAGUAGACCUCUUAGCUUGGGGUACCAAAGCCUCCUGAUGAAGUGAUUGCUCCCCCUACUCCUCAUGCUCAACUGGCUCUUGUGUAGCUAUGUCAUUUGCACUAUCAUCUCUUGGUAGCUCAUCAAUUUCCUCCUCUUCAUUUUUGGGCUGCUCUAAUGAUGAAGGAAUAAGUACCAACUCAAUAAAGUCGUUACUUAUAGCUUUGGAUUGAUUAGGUUUGUCAAAAUCUCCUAAAGUUUGAUCUUUUUGAAUGACCAUAUAUCUACUUCUUACCAAUUUCUUCUUGGUUAGAUCCCAAAAUUUGAAUCCAAAGUCUUCAUCACCAUACCUAACAAAGACAUGUGGAACUGUCUUAUCAUCAAGUUUGGAUUUAUGUUAUUUGGGAACAUGGACAAAAGUUUUACACCUUAGACAACUUUGCAAUUUUUAGCAUACACCUAUCCCUCUCAAUGAUGUGGAGUGAUUCAUCCUUUCAACCACACCAUUAUGUCGUGGAGUGCUUGAGAUUGUUUUCUCAUGUCUUAUACCAUUUGUAGUGCAAUAAACUUCAAACUCCCUUGAGUUGUACUCACUUCCAUUAUUAUACCUAAGACAUAUCAAUUUCCUUCUAGUCUCUUUCUCAAUCAUGGGAUGAAAUUGUAGAAAAUACUAAAAUACUUGAUCCUUUGAUCUAAGCAAAUAAAUCCAUACCUUCCUAGUAGCAUCAUCAAUAAAGGUGAUAAAGUAUUUAUUUCCUCUAAGAGUUUCCACAUCCAUGGGGCCACAAACAUCAAAGUGUACCAACUCCAACUUUUCUAACUUCUUCUUAUAUCUACUACUAAAGGAAACCUUAUGUUGUUUUCCAACCAAACAAUGAUCACAAGAAGACAAGGAUUCAUUUUUUGCCAAGGGAAUUAAGAACUUCCUUGCCAAAACUUGCAAUCCUUUCUCACUCAUAUGUCCCAAACUUUUAUGCCACAACUCCAAGGAAGUACCCUUUAUAGCAUGUAACUCCUCAUUACAAGCUUUCCCUUGGGUCUUGUACAAAUUAAGUGCAACAUGCUUCUUCUUUUGCAACAACCAAUGAGCCUUUAGUGAGCUUCCACACUACAAGAAAAAAGCUCUUCAUUGACAGUUUUUCAUCGUCAAGAUAAGGGAUAUCUGUUAAGGUAGAUCAGUGUUCACAUAUGUCAUCUAUGCCAGUGUCAAGAAAUGAUAAAAGCUAGCUUGACAUAUGCAUAUGUUAAGGUAGACCUUAUUUCUAUCAAUGUAGGAAUCUUAUUAAUAUGACAUAUGUGAAUGUUUCAUCCAUUUUAGUCAAGGUUAGGUUAAACAUAUGUGAAGGUUGACUCAUUGUUUUAUCAAGAUUAUAUUCAAUAUAUGUUAAGCUUAAGUAUGAUAUAUGUCAAUGUUGUUUUAUAUGCUUUUAAAUUUAAUUUACACAUAUGUCAAGGAUUUUUUUUUUCAAAGUUGAAAUUUUAAUAUGUUAAGGUUCCUUUAUUCUUAUGUCAAGGAAUACAAUUUCUUUUAUGUCAAGAUUUCUUUAUUCAUAUAAAGGAAAUUGUUUUAUUUCAUAUCAAGGUUGCAUAUGGAACAUGUCAACAACCUAACCUAUUGCCCAAAUGAUCUACAAAAAUUGAACUUGUUGUGUGUGUGUGUGUAUAUAUAUAUAUAUAUAUAUAGAUAAACUACAUGAAUGUAUAAAGUAUAUUAUAUAUAUAUAUAUAUAUAUAUAUAUAUAUAUAUAUAUAUAUAUAUAUAUAUAUAUAUAUAUGAACAUGUAGGCAAAUAUAUUGACAAAAAAAAAAAACUUAAUAUCCUUGCAUAAUCUUGUAUUAUCAUCACAUGCAUACAAAAAAAGGCAAAUAUGUACCCAAAAAUUCAAUAGUUAUACAUGAUAAAUAUAAUGUAUGCAUGAUCUUGUGCCUUCAAAAGUGUUGUAAUUGCUGCAAAUGCCACCUAACCUUCUACAAGUAAGAAAAAAACAUUAGUAUAUGUUUAUAGUUGAAAGAUUAAUAAAAGGAUAUAAACAUGUAUCCAAAUGUAUUCCUAAACAACCUAACAACUAUAUAUAAUCUUGUUAUCUUAUCAAAUAUAUAUGAAAAAAGGAUAGAUAUUUACCAAAAAAAAAAAACAAAUAUCAAGUAAUUGUAUAUGAUAACAAAAAUUUAUGCGUGAUCUUCUCCUCUAAAAACUGCAACUACUGCAAAUGUCACCUAACCUCUAGCAAGAAAGAAAAAAGUAACAUUAUUUUAUGUUUAUGUUUGAAAGUUCAUUAAAAAUAUAUAAAUAUGUAUCCUAAAUAUAUCGAAAUGUAUCCACAAACAACCUAGCAGGUAUACAUGAUCUUAUAGUAUUAUCAUAUAUAUAUAACAUAUUUACUAAAAAAGAACCAAAAAUUAAAUAAUUAUGCAUGAUAACAAGAAUUUAUACAUGAUCUUGUACUUGUAUCAAAUAUAUAUAUAUAUAAAUGAUAGAUAUUUACCAAAAAAUCUAAUAGUUAUACAUGAUGACAAAAACUUAUGCAUGAUCUUGUACUCUAAAAAUUGUAAAUGUUGCAAAUAUCACCCAACCUCUUGCAAAUAAGAAAAAAAAAACAACAUUAGUUUAUGUUUAUAUUUAAAAGUACUAAUUAAAAAGAUAUAAACAUAUACCAAAAUACAUUAAAAAAAUAAAAAAUAUAGCAAUGAACUUUUAGGGAAAAAAUAUAGAUAAGAUAUGUACCUAAAAAUAUCCAAUAAAAGAAAAAACUAAUUGCAACUUUACAUACAUGAUAGUAAGAACCUAUGCUGAUGUUGUAUUCUCAAAAUUGCAACUACUACAAAUGUUAUUCAACUUCUUGCAAGUAGAUAAAAGAACUACAUUAUUUUAAGUCUAUAUUUGAAAUUUUACUAAAAUGAUAUUAACAUGUACCAAAAUUUAUGUAGAAAGAAUCCAACAAACAUACAUAAUAAUAAUAAAAAAGAACAUGACUUGGUAAUUUCAUCAAAUGUAUCUUUUAAAAGAUAUAGGUAUGUACCCAAAAGUAUCCAAAACUUCAACAUCUAUGCAUGACAAUAAGAUCUUACGUAUGAUCUUGUAAUCUCAAAAUUGCAACAAUUGCAAAUGUCACCCUAUACCUUGCAAAGAGAAAAGAUGCAACAUUAAUUAAAAUUUAUGUUUGAGAUUUUAUAAUCUUGCUUAUCCAAGGCAGAACAUAACAUCAAAUUAAGGCAUGAAUCUGGAACAUGCCUUGUAUAUUUCAAUGUCAACUUACACUUCAUAUUGGUUGCAAAGAAAACACCACAUAUCCCUACAAUCUUGGAGUGACUAGAGUUUCCCAUCUUAAAUGUGCCAAAGUUUCUAACUCUAUAAUAAGAAAACAACUCCAAGUGAGGAGUAGCAUGGUAGGAGGUUGCAGUGUUUACAAUCCACUCAACUCUUUGCUCAUCUACAUGCAAACACUCAUUUGAGAGCACUAAAACUUAAUCACUGUUGGAUAUAGAGGUUGUGAUAUUCUUGUUAUCUUAUUUUUCCUGAUUCUAUCUAUUCUGUUCCAUUUUCCAAAUUUGAAAAUUCUUUUUCAUAUGCUCAUCUUUUCCACAAUGGAAACAUUUUAUUUUAUCUCUGGACUAAGACUUCCCCUCGAACUUGUCAUGACCUUUUUGUCCUCAAUUCCUGGUUCUUCCUCUACUUUCUAUGAUGAGGACUUGUGCAUUUUCUGGAUCAUAAGCCUUCCUUCUUGUUUUUUCAUUGAACAAAUUUCCCUUCACAAGCUCCAUAGAUAAUACACCAUUCGAAACAGAGUUACUAAUAGUCACAACAAAAGUUUCUCAACUGUCUGGUAGUGAACACAAUAACAAAGAAGCUUGUAUCUCAUCAUCCAUAACCAUUUUCAUAGCAACCAAUUGAUUUGCAAUACUCUAAAAACAUUCAAAUGAUCUGUCAUUAGUGUUCAUUCCUUUAACUUCAUGUUCUCUAACUUCUUUAACAAGAAAAUUUUAUUCCUAACAAUUUUUUGUUCAAACAUUGAUUCCAGUUUCUUCUAGAGACUAUGGCCAUUUGUUUUAUAUGCCACAUAAUGACGUGGGGUUGCAUCAAUCCAUUGCCUAAUGUAGGCAAUUGCUUUUUUGUUCAUCUUAUUCCACUCCAAAUCAGAAAUAUCUUUAAGCCUAACUUUUUCACCCUCAAGAGUAUCUAACAAAUCUUUGAUGGUGAGAAAAUCUACCAUCAUGGACUUCCACAUAGCCCAAUUUGAAUUGUUAAGUUUUACCAUGGUUACUAAGUUCCUUUCUAUUUCCAUCCCUUUCAAAAAUAAAAGUUCCCACAACUAGACUUUGAUACCACUUGUUGGGAAGUUAAAGGAAGAGAUUUAGAGUAUUCACCUGCCAAGGUUAAGAGAUUCCUCCACAAUAAUAACCAUCACUCAACAAUAAUAACAACUUAACAAGAAUCAAGAAUGAUAAUCCAAUAACAUUCAACCAAAAAGAAGGGACACCAAAUAUAAUAUGAAAAAACCAUGGAGAAAUUUCUUUUAAUUACCAUGACAUAAAUUUCAUCUUUAAAACUCUUUUUUUUUUUUUUUUUUUUUUCUUGCAUGAUUGUAACUUCAUCCCUAAAAGAAUAUUUUUUUAUCCAUGACUACAAACCUCAUCCUUUUUUCUAUAAAUAAAAAAUUCAUGUAAAAAUGUUAUAAAAAUUAUUUGCCAUGAAUACAUGAUGGGAUGAAAUGUAAUCUUUCUGUCAUGAACCAACCUUCAUCAUUGAGAAAACCUUUGUUUUCCAAGAAUAUAAACUUCAUCCCUCAAAAAUAAUUAUUGUGACUAUAAACUUCAUCCCAGGUACAAGUGUAAUAGGAGCAUCCAUUGACAAAAGGUUUACCUUAAGAUGAUCAUCUCAUGGCUAUUGAGAACGAAUCAACCUUAUUUCUAUGCAAAAAAAUUUUGAUUGCAAAAACUUCUUUUUGUGCCUUAAAAUUGCAUUCAUGAUUAAAAUUAUAUGAGAAGUUUGUUGUAGUAUAAGGACAAUAUUUUUUGUGGAGGAAGAACUUUUUUUGUUCCCCUUUUCAAUGAGAUGUUACAUGUUAAAAAGAAGAAAGAUGAAUUAUGUACAAACAAACACCAACCAACUCCAUACAAACCAACAAGGAAUAACAGAGCUAGAAAUAUUUGAGGAAAUAUUAUUUGUUUAGGGAUGGAGAAAUAUUUUCAUUUCAGAAAGGUAGAAUAGUUGUUUUGGAUUUUUGGAAUUAUGUACAGAUUAUCAAUCGAUUGUUUAUGGAGGAUCUGAGCUGUGACCUGGUGUCGAUCUGAUUGGAUCAUGUCAUUUUUCAUUCUAUGUUGGAAAAUGACAUUCUAUACUUGUUUUUCAUUUUAGAUUGCUUGAUCGAACUGGUUCCUCUCUAAAAUUCAAAAAAUACAACACCAUAUAAUUCAUUAUAUUAUUUAUUUGAAAUACAAAAACAGAUUGAUAAAUUACACCAAUUAACCUUUAAAUACAAAGCAAAGAAUAAUUUAUUUGUACCCUAUGUUAUAAGCAUCAAGCCCAUAAUGGAGAGGAAACAACAAAAGAAUAUUCAUGGCUCACCCUUAAUUAUACAAACUCCACCCAAACUGUUCUAGAGAUUAAACCUUGAGUGCUUACACUCAGGAGGGACACCUUGAGGGAAGCGUUUGAGAUCAGUGCAGUAGUUGUAAAUCAUGAAGUUCUUCUGAACCCAUCUCAGCCUUCUUCUGCCGUAGGCAUCAAGUUCCUGGGUCUGGAAGGCACUGUCAGAGAAUGUGCUUGUAGAGGUGGAAGUGCUGGCUCUGAAGUUUCUGUAGUAUGCUGUGAAGGGUGCCUUGGACCAGUCAGUUUUCACCAACCCUCCUCUUGUGGCCCAGUCAUCCGCAUUCCAGAGGCUUGAGUAUAUCCUCAUUGGCUGGUUCUUUGGGAAGGGAACUCCCAUUGAUUCUGCAUUCUUGAAUAGCCUUAUGGGAACGUUGUCUACCAAGAAACUGAUGAAAAAACCAACACCCAGUUCAGUUUUAGUUUAUAGAAAAAGAAUGGAAGUAGCGUUGGAAUGUAGGGUUACGUACAUGAUGUGUUGGGCGCUCCAGGCGAUGGAGUAGGUGUGGAAGUUACGGGUGGGGUCGAACCAGAGGUAGAAUUGUUGCUCCCUGUUGCCCUUCCCUUGAGUGAAUACAUUGGUGUGGAGGAUAUAAGGAUCUCCACUUAGGUUUCCCAAGAACUCAAAGUCGAUCUCAUCAUGGGUUGGCCC